UAAUCAUGCAGCUCUUAUGUACCUACUUGCAAAGAAGGAUUCGAAGCCUAGACUCAUGCGAUGGAUUUUGCUCUUACAAGAAUUUGACAUUGAGAUCAAGGACAAGUGCGGAAAAUAAAAUCUUGUGGCUGAUUAUCUUAGUAGGAUUGUCACUCCCGAUGACCCAACUCCCAUCCAUGACAUAUUUCUGGAUGAAAAUCUCUUUUCAGCAAAAGUUGCCCCAUGGUAUGCCGAUAUUAUGAACAAAAUCACCACAAAUCAAUUUCCAUUAGAUUUGAAUCGAUGACAAAAAUACAAAAUCAACAACGAAGCGAAGAGGUAUGUAUGGGAUGAUCCAUAUUUAUGGAAAUAUUGUGUUGACCAAAUGAUCAGACGAUGAGUUGAACAACAUGAGGUAUCUUCUAUCUUAACAUUUUGUCACUCUUAUGCAUGUGGAGGGAAUUUUGGUCCUUAAUGAACUGCAAGAAAAGUGUUAGAGAGUGGUUUUUAUUGGCCAAGUAUCUUCCAUGAUUCUUAUGUUUUUUGUGCAAGUUGUGAUAAAUGUCAAAAGAUGGGUUCUUUAAGCUCAAAGAAUCAAAUGCCCAUUUACCCCAUUUUAGUUUGUGAAAUUUUCGAUGUUUGGGGCAUUGAUUUCAUGGGUCCUUUCCUAUCAUCUUUGGGUUUUACUUACAUUUUUUGGAUGUGAAUUAUGUUUCUAAGUGGGAAGCCAUCCAUACUAAUGAUUCAAAACUUGUGAUAGAUUUCAUGAAGGCUAACAUUUUUUUCCAUAUUUAGAGUUCCUAAAGCCUUAAUCAGUGAUUGUGGCUCACAUUUUUGCAAUCAGAUGCUUGGAAGUGUUUUAAAAAAGUAUAGAGUUACUCAUAAUGUUUCAACAGCAUACCAUCCACAAACGAAUGGUCAAGCUGAAGUGAGCAAUCGACAAAUAAAUGGUAUUUUGGAGAGAUCUGACAAUACAACAAGGAAAUAUUGGAGUAUCCGUCUUGAUGAUGCUUUGUGGGCAUACCGUACAACAUUCAAAACUCCAAUUGGGAUACAUCCGUACCGCAUUGUUUUUGGAAAGCCAUGUCAAUUACCCGUUGAGUUGGAGCAUAUAGCCUAUUAGUCGGUCAAUCAAUUCAACAUGGAUUUAACUGAAUUGGGAAAGAAAAGAAAGCUUUAUAUACAAGAGCUUGAGGAAAUUCACAAUGAGGCUUAUAAGAAUGAAGUUCUUUACAAAGAGAAGACAAAAGCAUACCAUGAUAAGAUGAUUUCUCGCAAGGGAUUUGAAAAAGGUCAAACAUUAUUACUUUACAAAUCUCGUUUCAAAUUAAUUCCUGGUAAAUUAAGGUCUCGUUGGGUGGGACCAUUUGUUGUCAUUUAUGUUUUUGAGCAUGGUGUAAUAGAAAUAAGAAGUAAGAAAACUGGGAAGAUUUUUAAGGUAAACGGACACUGAAGUAAGCCUUAUUAUGAAGAAUUUAAAGUCAAGAACAAGGAAGUGGAGGAAGUUACAGAUCUGAAGUACCAAAACUGACAGAUCAUUGGGGUCCAUGUUGAGCCACCGACUUAAAACAAGGGCAGCUACCCGAGAGACAACUCGUCGGUAUUUUGGUCAUUUGUAAAAGUUUUAUACCUACAUUUUUCUUUCAAGUUUCUAUGUUAAAAGGUUCUUAGAAUAAUUAGGGGAGUCUAAAAAUAGUUUUUUUUGAGGCUCAGGAUUGAGCGAGCAUUAAAUUGAAAACAAAAUGGGUCGUUUCUCAGGUUUUUACACGGACCGUGUAAUGCUUGCUUUUGCAAUACACGCCCGUGUAAUGGGCUAAUCGCAUCAUGAAUUUAUAGAAGAUGGGCCAUGUAAUGCCCCCAUUUUCAAAACACGGGCCGUGUAGUAUGUUCAGGCAAAAAAACUUUGAUUUUUCCUUAAAUGAUUGCAACCUCUGUUUGUUCCUCAUUUUUUUCGAGUCCCGUUCUGUUCUUUCUUGCUGAACGCAUGCAAGUUGUAACAUUCGUAAAAUUCUUGAAAUUUAGAAUUUCAAAAAUUAAACCACAACCAUCAUUGUUUACAAAUUGUUUUCAAAAUAAGUUUCACAUUAGAGAAAUCCGAAAAUAAUAAGAACAAAAUAUGAGGAGGUUCACGAUGGCGCCUUUUCCUUCCCACGAUCCUCUGAGGCACCUGAAACAUAUUCCAAAACUGUAAGUCUUAAGCUUAGUGAGUUCCCCCAAGAUACGAAUACAUAACAAAUAGCACAAAAUAUAAUAACAUCAUGCAACGGGUCCACAACUUAACAUAUUGGAUUACCCCUAAGCCCACAACAUAAGUCUGACUUGCCAUCGGCCCACGGCUUAUGUCUGGCUUGCUCCCCGACCUAAUCAGUCCUUGGAUUGAAUACCUCUAAGCCCUCAGUACGAGUUUAGCAUGCCCUUCCCUUCCCUUAGCUCGUAUCUAGAAUGCUCAUGAGUCCUUAGUAUGAGUCUGGCAUGCCCUCCCUGGCCCUCAACUCAUAUCUGGAAUACUCUAGGGUUAGUUGUCUACAACACAGAGCAGUACAACCUCAACCUAACCCACACAAUAUGUCGACAUAUAACAGAUAAUUCCCUAUACAGAUAAACAGACAAUAUCACAGGUAGUUCUACAGACCUACCAGACUAGCUUAUCAAUUCUAGCAUGCAAUCUACAUCAUACUCAGCAUGUCAACAAUAUCAGGUUAUCAAACCCAUGGGCCAACUUUGGUGCCUUUGACCCGAAAGUAUAGUGAGGAAGACUCACCUCUAAAGUAGCUGAACUGAUAAGAUCUAACUCUGAAUCUCGGCUACCGACUCAAAUGCCUACAACCACCAUGUUACCAUUCCAUCAAAAUCUCAAAAUAACCAAAUGCCCUCAAAAGUACAACUUGGUCAACCAUGGUGAAAUUCAAAAUCAACGGUCAAGGUCAACAGUCCAUGUUGAUCCAACUCAUCGAGUGCACCUCUUGGACUCGUCGAGUUCUAUAGAACUCAGAAAGCCGAGGAAAACCCUAGCCAACUUGCCGAGUAGGCUGAACUACUCGCCAAGUUUUCCUAGUCUUAACACAUAUAGGUAAUUCUUCGAUUCCAGAGACUCUAAGGCUCAGAUGUAAACUCUAAGUGUGUCUAAAAGGAUAAAGUUUCCAACUUUAUCCUUUGGGACUACUCCAAAUGCUCAGAAACCCAUCCAUAAGGCUUGAAAACUCAAAAACUUAACCAUUAAGCACAAAUCCUUGAGAUCUAGAAUCCAACUUUAUCCAAGAGAGAUUCUAGGCUUAAAAACGUCCCAAAGGUGGGUGCUUUAUAGACAUGCAUGUCCAAUGCAUGUCUUGAACCAAAAAUGAGCCAAAAAGGGGAAAUAUGACCUAAAGUCCAUGCAUGGCAUCAAUACUUGGCAAAGGACGAGAUCUAACCCACUCCAAGGUCUCCAUGACCUCGAGAUUCAUAAAGUUGCAAACUUUAUGAAGCACAUCCAUUGCAACACCCAAUAAUAAGGAGAAAAGGUACCAAACUCAAGAUCUAGCUACAUAGAUAGAUAAAUAUUUGGAUCUUGAAUACUUACAAUGGUCCAAAGAGUGCCAAACUGCAGAUGUGAGCUUAGUUUGCUAGAUCCUUGCCUCCUUCCUUCAAUCUUCUCUCUUUAGUCCAAAAAGCCACACACUAACUCACACAAUGAGGUGGAAUGAAGAUUAGGAUUUACAAGGUUGAUAUUAGGGUUUAGAGGCUGCUAAAAGAUCAGCCUCAAGGACUUAAGGAGGUUAUAUAGGGCGCAAACCCUAAAAUUUAUGGUUUCUCAUUCAGCUACCAACUCGUCGAGUUUUCCUCACCAACUCGUCGAGUUGGUCCAAAAAGAUGUACGGUCGAAAAGCCUUCAACACAUCGAGUUGAGGUCAUCAACUCGACGAGUUCCAAGGGAAACUUGUCUUUUGAUUAAUAAAUCUCAUACCUGGGAAUCAGGAUGUUACAACUCUCCCCCACUUGGACUAGGCUUCAUCCUCGAAGCUUGCUGCGGUGAACAAAUCUGGAUAAUGCUCCCGUAUCUCAGCCUCUGGCUCCCACGUCCACUUGGAUCCCCUUCGAUGUUGCCACUGUACCUUUAUCAGAGGCACCUCCUUGCUACAUAGAACCUUACCUUCCUUUCUAGAAUAACUACUAACCUCUCGACAUAGUUCAGGUGCUUAUCAACCUGAAUAUCACCCACAUAUACCACUAUAUCCUCGUCUAAAAUGCUCUUCUGUAACUACGAAACAUGGAAAGUGCUAUGAACCUGACUGAGAUCAUCUGGAAGAUCCAAUCUAUAAGCAACCUUGCCAAACUUGGAAAUAAUCCUGAAUGGUCCAAUAUAUUGGGGGCCCAACUCCCCCCUCUUCCUGAAGCGAAUCACACCUUUCCAAGGUGAGACCUUCAGCAACACAAUGUCACCGACCUGAAACUCCAAAUCACAUCGACGUCAGUCGGGAUAACUCUUCUACCAACUCUAUGUAGUCUGCAAUCUCUGUAUGAUCUACUGGAUCAUCUCGAUAGUCUGCAGAACCACCUCGGUCCAACCCAUGACUCUGUGACCAACCUCGCCCUAACAGACCGGGGUGCGACAUCUCCGCUCAUACAUGAGCUCAAAAGGCGGAGCAUUAAUGGUAGAAUAGAAGCUGUUGUUGUAGGAGAACUCUACAAGAGGUAGGUAGGAGUCCUAGCUCCCACCAAAAUCAAUAACGCAUGCCUGCAACAUAUCCUCUAGAGUCUGAAUGGUACACUCACUCUGUCUGUCGGUCUGCAAAUGGUAAGUUGUGCUGAAAUGUAGCCUCGUGCCCAGUUCCUCAUGAAACUUCUGCUAGAAUCGAGAGGUGAACCGAACAUCAUGGUCCGAGACAAUAGAGACCGGAACCCCAUGGUGAGCAACGAUCUCACUAAUAUACACAUCGGCCAACUUCUCAGCCGAUGAGCUCUCCCGAGUUGCUAGAAAGUGGGAACUCUUGGUCAAUCGGUCCACGUUGACUCAAAUAGCAUCAAAACACUUUGCCGUCUUCAUCGACUUGGUGAUAAAGUCCAUCGAUAUCUGCUCCGAUUUCCACAUGGGAACCUACAGAGGAUGUAGCUUUCCAUGCAGACUCUAAUGCUCGGCUUGAACCAUCCUAUAGGUCAACCAUCCCUCAAUGUACCAAGCUAUCUCUCUCUCAUUCUCUCUCUCUCUCUCUCUCUCUCUCUCUCUCUUCAUACACGACCACCAAUAACUCAAUCUCAGAUCCUGACACAUCUUGGUGCCCCCCCAAGUGAAUAGAAAAGCGAGACUUAUGAGCCUCCUCCAGCAUGAUCCGCCUGACCUCACCAGACGUAAGAACCCAUACCCGACGACAACGGGUCAACAAACCACGACUAUCCGAAACAAAUAUGGUAAUCUCACCCCUGAUCCUCUCAAUCUUCCAAUUCUCCUCUCAAACACCCUCGGUCUGAACCUCGCUAAUCAAAUCCACAAGUGGAGAAUCCACAGAUAUCCUCAUACAUGUCACUGGAACAGAAGAUCUAGCUGACUUACAGCUUAGGGUAUCCGCCACCACAUUCGCUUUACCCAGAUGGUAAAGGAUUUCAUAGUCAUAAUCCUUGACUACGUCCAACCACCUGUGCCGCUUCAUGUUUAGGUUAGGCUAAUCCAUAAUGUGCCUCAAACUCUUGUGAUCCGUGUAGAUAGUACAACAGACCCCAUAAAGGUAAUGUCUCUAAAUAUUGAGGGUGUAAACCACCACCCCGAACUCAAGAUCAUGCAUGGGAUAUCUCGUCUCAUGCGGCUUCAGCUACCGUGAAGCAUAAGCUAUCACCCUUCCUCUAUGCAUGAGAACUGAUCCCAAACUGGUGAUGGAUGCAUCACAGAAAACCACAAAAUCCUCAAUUCCCUCCUGGAGGGUCAAAACUCGGGCCUCGCAAAGUCUCUGCCGAAGGGUCUCAGAUGUGGACUGCUGCUCAGGGCCUUACCGGAAAUCCACCUCCUUGCUCGUCAGAUGAGUGAGGGGUACUGCAAUCUUGGAGAAAUCCUGAAUAAAUCUCCGGUAGUACCCUGCCAAACCCAGAAAACUCCUGAUAUCUGAGGGAGAUUUCGGAACCUCCCACUGCAUCACUGCCUCGAUUUUGGCCGGAUCGACCAAAAUCCCAUCUUGGUUUACGAGGUAUCCAAGGAACUGAACCUCUUGCAACCAAAACUCGCACUUCGAGAACUUAUCAUCAAGUCGUUCUCACCUCAAAACUCCUAAAAGAUCGCAAAUAUGCUCCUCAUGCUGCUCUAUGGUCUUGUAAUACACCAAGAUAUCAUCAAUAAACACAAUAAUCGAACGAUCAAGCAUCGGCCCACAUACCUGAUUCAUCAAAUUCAUAAAUAUCGCAGGCGCGUUGGUGAGCCCGAAUGGCAUCACCACAAACUCGUAAUGCCCAUAACGAGUCCGAAAUGUGGUCUUUUCCAUGCCCUCCACCCUUACCCUGACCUGAUGGUACCCAUACCUUAUAUCAAUCAUGGUGAAUCAAGAUGCUCCCCGCAACUGAUCAAAGAGAUCAUCAAUCUGUGGAAGGGGAUAACGGUUCUCCACUAUUAGCUUGUUCAGCUCCCUAUAAUCUGUGCACAUCCGAUGCGAACCAUCCUUCUACCUGACAAAUAGAAUCGGCGCUCCUCACAGAGAUCUGUUCGGAUGGAUGAACUGAUUGCCUAACAGCUCCUGCAGCUGAGAUGAUAGCUCCUACAUAUCAGGCGGUGCCAAUCGGUACGACGCCAUGGAAAUAGGGGCCGCACCUGGCACAUAGUUGAUCCUGAACUAGACCUGUCUCUCAGGAGGUACACCGGGUAGCUCCUCUAGGAAUACAUUAGCGAACUCCCUGACAACUAGCAGAUCAACAACCAACACAUGAUCCCCAACCCGCAUGUCCACCACAUAAGCUAAGUAACCUACGUACCCGUGAUGAAUAUAAUGCGGAGCCCUGGCUGCCGAACAAAAACUUGAACCCAACAUCGUGCCCUCUUCAUAAAUAACUAUUUCUCCCCCACUUGGGGUUCGAACUACGACACAAUGACCCUUGCAGUCGAUCAUGACACUGAAAUGGCUCAGCCAAUCCAUACCCACAAUCACGCAGACAUCCCCAUGGGAAUAGGAAUCAAAUCGAUCAGAAAGGAUACCCCGAAGAUCUCUAGAACGCAACCCUAAUAAAGUGAAGAAGCAAAAACCCUGUGUUCGUUGGAGAUAGAAAAUCGCAAUGGACACUCUAACUCCCCUAUAGGAAAAGCAAACACCCAACUAAAACUCCGAGAAAAAAAAGGACCGACUCGCAUCUGAGUCAAACAACACUAAAGCAGGCAAUGAGUUCACUAGAAAUGUACCUACCAAAGGUACAAACAAAUGAGUAUAAAGCAAACAUAAUAAAUAAGAUAAGGGAUAGAAACAUACCAGUCACAAUAUAUGGUGCUAUCCUAGCCUCCUCGACAGUGAGCUAGAAAGCGCGACCUCAAGACCUCGAGGGUUCCGCCCUAUCCUGACUCUCGUUAGUGAUCCUCAAUGUAGUUGGUGCUGGAGCCUACGCCGGCCUAGCAGUAAGCGAUGGACAUUUGGCCUUCACAUGGCCAACCUGGUCGCAAUGAUAACUGUUAGGCUGUCAAACCAACAAAUAAUGGGAUAAAAUAAUAUUAAUAAAGCUCAAAUCACUGCUAUUUCUUAUACUAAAGAUAGUAUAGAGUAAGCAGGGUCGGUCCAUAGGAAUACAGGACUUCUUAUCUUGCCAUAUUUUCACACAUAAUACAAAUAAUAUUAAAAUGGGGGAUUGUGUUUGCACUAGAUUUAAACUUCAUAAAUAAACAAGAUUGUUAACAGAAUUUAAUAAAAGAAAUACAUUUCCGAUUCUGAUUCUUAUACAUGUAUUAUGUGGAAAGAUGCAAAAUGAAUAUGAUUGUGUUCUAUCUAGGAUGGUAAUUUAGAUACUAAUAAACUCUAAUAUCCAAGUUGACAAAAAAUAUUUUAUUCAAAACAUGUUCUUCAAAUAAAACUUCAUUUAAUUGAUUUGAUUCUGUAGAUGUAUGUUGUAAAAGUCGAAUAGUCUGUAUUGUAAUGAUUCACAUUUGUAUGUUAUUUUACUAAGUCAAUUUUGUAUGCGAAGUGUAGUAUGCGAAGCGUAAAUAUUUAGACUUAGUAUAUUUUUUGUAAGUUCCCUAUAAAUAGGGACUUAGGCUUGAAGUAGAGUGAUGAGAUCGAAACACAAUAUUUCUCUUCAACUUACUUUGUAAUCAGUCUUAAUAAAAAUGAGAUCUGAUUAAUAUUUACUUCGUGUGUUCAUCAUCUUUCAUCAUUCAAAUCUAUUGUUUCGUUUCUUAAUUCUCGAUAACAAUUCUCUACAAUUGGUAUCAGAGCAGGAUUCAAACUGCUUAGAUUUGAUUUUCGUAUAAGAAUCAUUUGCUUUUUGAGUUACAAAAUUUUCUCAAAAUUUUCCGCGCAAUUUUGGUUUUGAAAAUCACUUUUGAUCUUCAGAUUUGAAUCGAUUCUGUAUUUGAAUUGUUAAGUCAAGUAAUCGAUUAGUCAUUUUUGAUCAAUUCAUUUGAUCGAAUUCUGAAAUUCAUCAAGUUUUCAAGUUUUCAGAUAUUUUCUGUGUUCAUCAAUGGCGAACUUCAACAUGAAUACAAUGACUUCUUUCUCUCACUUGCUUGGUUCCUCAACCAAAAUUCCGAUGUUGAUUCCAGAAUACUAUGAUCAGUGGGCUGAUAGAAUGGAAGAUUACUUAAAUGGAAUUGAUGAAGAACUUUGGAAUUGUAUCGAUGGAACAGUACAAGCUCCUGCUAAUGUUCAACAAAUUGGAUCAUCCACUGCAUCUCCUGAUGUUGAAGAACAACGAAAACGACUGAAGAAUAAUGAAAAGAGGUGCAUGAGGGAACUAAGAGGUGCUCUACCUCCUGUGGUUUACAAUUACAUUCGUAGUUGUAAAACAACAAAAGACAUCUGGAAUACUCUAAAAGAGAAGUAUCAAGGUAGCGAAAAGACGAAGAUCAAUUCUGUGAAGCAAUGCCUGGUUGAACUGAAGGAAUUCAGACAAAAGGAUGCAGAAACUCUCGAAAGUUAUUAUGAUCGUCUGAAUGAGCUUAUGUUUCGAUGCAAUAGGUAUGGUAUCACUAGAUCUCUCAUGGAAUUCAAUUUAACUUUCAUUAUGGGUCUUCGCAAGGAAUGGCGAAGUGUGAGCAUGAUGAUUAAGAAUCAACAAAGUUUUGAUACAACUAAAUUGAAUGAUCUCUACAAUCAACUGAAAACACAUGAAUGUGAGGUCUCAGAAAUGUAUGAAGAAUCAAAACUAGCUAUUGGUGGUCCUUUGGCUCUUGUUUCAAAGGUAUCAGAAACUGAUGAAAAAGAUGGUUCAGAUGAAGAAGGAUUUUUGAUGAACUCCGAUGAUGAAGCUGUAGCAUUCUAUUCAAACAACAGAGUUAAAAAGUUUUUCAAAAAGCCUUUUAAUCCAAAAGGAAAGAUGAAUGAUGCGAAAAAUGUUAUCACAAGGACUGGAGGGGAAGAAAGGAAGAAAAUGGAGAAAAUUGAUGAAAAACAGAAAAAUGCGAAUGAAGAGAAAAAGUUGAAAGGUGAUUCAGGAAUUUAUUGUCAUUAUUGCAAUGGUGCGAAUCAUUUCGCAGCUGACUGCAUGUUGCGAAAGAAAGAAGAGAAGAAAGAAAAAGUCAAAGAUGAAGCAUACUACUCCGAGAAGAUUGAAGAAUUACGUGCUAAGACCAAAGGAGUGUCAUUAGUUGCUAAGGGAGAAGCUGCUGAAGAAGAAAGUGGAACUUAUCAGAUCUGGUCUUCAGGAUCUGAUGAUGAGGAAAUGAGGCAUCCCACACAUGGAGCAAUGUUCGCAAGUUUUGAGGAUUGCGAAGAGAACAUUUCAGGGAGAUGUUUUGUGUCUAAAUCCACUGACAAGUCACCCAUGACAACCAAGGUACGUGCAAUUCUUGAAUCUUUUAAUAUUCCUUUAUCUGCUUAUGAUGCUGAAAUUGUUUCAUUUGAUGAUACUGUGGCUUAUUUUGAUUCUGUUAUUGUGUCUGCUAGUAAUGAAGCUAAGAAAUUAAAUGUGCAACUUAGUGAGACACGAAGAGAUUUAGAAAUAAAGAAGAGCAGAGUUGAAAAAUUGGAAAUGCAAGUCAAAAAUAUAGAUUGUGAUAGGAAUAAUCUUACUAACGAUGUUAGGUUAUUACUAGCACAAAGAAACAUAUAUUGUAAUUCUGCAAAACGACUGUAUGCAAAAUUAACAGCUUUACAUCAUUCUUCUGAUAUUAGCAAAGAACAACAUAGGAAACUUUUACCUUUUCUUGAGUAUGAACGUGAAAAAGUUGAUGUUGUUUCUUAUGAUUGCGAAAGCACAAUUGCUCAAUUUGACAAAAUACCUGAUGAUAGAUAUGCUUAUGGUAUUGUCAAAAUUGAUGAAUUUCUGAAUGCUGAUGAGUUGGUUAACAUUGUCAAUGAAAGUUUGACAAAGAGUGAACAAGUGAAAAUCAUAAAGAAAACUGAAAAUUCAACUCUUGCCUCACAGUUGAAUUAUGCUGAUAUUGAUGAAAAUUCUGAUAAUGUGAGUGAAAUCAGUGAGAUAGAAGAGGAAGAAGAGGUUGAUUGUUCUCAAUUGUCAAUCAUUAAUAUCACAUCUAAGAUCAAAGGUAAAGAAAUAAUAGUUGAUUCAAUAGUAGAGGAUGAAAUUGAUAAACCUUCAACUUCGCAACAUUGUAUGUUUGAUAAUGUGGAAGUUGAAAGCUGGAAAUCUGAUGACACAGAUGUAAAUAAAGAAGAAAAGAAAGUUUCAACUGAAACACCUCAAAGGAUUGUUGUUGAUCAAGUGUUUGAAAAUACAAAAGAAUUUGAUAAAAUUUUAAAUGAUAAAGGCGCACAUUAUUUGGAAACCAACACUGUGGUAUAUCCAAAUUUUGUAUGUACUGAUAAAACAAUUUUUCCAAAUCAAGUUUUUGUCACUACUGGAAAUGCUGAGAAAGUUCAUCCUGAGUUUAAUAAAAUGAUUGAAAAAGAUAAUCAAAAGUCCACAACCGAAGGCUUUUUCGCAAAUCAAAUNUUUUCGCAAAUCAAAACACAGAAGAAAACAAUUUAACGAAAAAUACUUAUGUGUUUCAAAAACAAAAAUCAACACAAAAAUGGGUGGUUAAAGGUGAAAAAUCAAACAAAGUUUUUGAAAAAGAUGAAAAACCAAAGGUUGAAGUGAAACUAAAUUCUCAUGAAUUCAAAUUGAUGGUUGGAAACUAUUCAACAGAAAAUAAUGUUUAAAAAAGAAAAGCAAUAUUCUGGCAAGUUGUGUCUAAUGAAAAAUCAAGAGAUGAAAAAGAACAAAUUUCAAAAACAUCAUCAAGUUUUCAUAAACAAAUAAACUCUGUUAACAAGGUUCCAUAUAUUCGCAAAUAUAACAACAAUCGAAAAUUUGAGAAUUCGCGAAAAUUUGCAAAUAAUCAAAAGUUUCAAAAUGUUGGCAAAUUCACGAAUACUUCAUCAAGUUUGAAGAACUCAACUCAAGUCAAAAAGAAAUUUUCACCAAAACAACCAAAUUUUCCAAAUCCUUCAAUAUCAAAACCAAACAAAGUUUCAUAUACAAAAGGAAAAUCUGAUGUUAGAACGUUCAAUCAUUGGUUUGAAGGAAAAGGAAAGAAAUAUCAAAAUGGAAAAUUUUCAGAAGAACAAAUCAAAAGUGCAUUUGAUAAGUACACAAAUAAUUCUUCAACUGAGAGUACAUCAUCUAAUAAUUCGCAAGUUCCAGUUCAAAAAUGGAAACCAGUUAUCAAAAAUGCGAAUGUUGUGAAGGAUAAGAUUACAAUUAAUGGAAAUCCAAAAUUAUUGAAUGAUUAUAUUUCAAAAUCUAGAACUGAUGAUGUUGAUAUAAUUGAUUCAGUUACAAACAAAGUGAAAACAUGGUUCUUAAAUUCCAAAAAUUUGUUUCAUUCUACUAAUGAUGGACCCAAAAAGUCUUGGGUUCCUAAAUUUUUUCAAUAAAUGCAGGUGAUAUGUGACGAGCAAUAUGACAUGAAAUGGUACAUUGAUAGUGGUUGCUCUCGUCACAUGACUGGAAGGAAAGAAAAUUUGCGAGAUUACAGAAGCUUGGAAAAUGCUGGAGUUGUCAAAUUUGGAAAUAAUCACAAGUGUCAAGUGAAAGGAUAUGGGAAAGUCACAAAUGGAAACUUCACAGUCAACAGAGUGGCAUAUGUUGAAGGACUUCAACAUAAUUUGAUAAGUGUAUCACAACUUGUUGUGGGUACUGGAAAUCAAGUUGUAUUCAAUGAAGAAGGUAGUAUCAUUUCAAAUGUCAAGACGAAUGAAAUACUCCUCAAAUCCAAAAGAUAUGGUGAUAUGUUUACACUGGACAUCAAACCGAUUGUGGGAAAACCAGCUGUGUGUUUACUAUCAAAAGCAUCAAAUGAUCUUAGUUGGCUUUGGCAUAGAAGAUUGUCACACUUGAACUUUCGAAAUAUAAAUAAACUAGUAACUGAAGAUUUAGUUCGAGGAUUACCAGUACUGAAAUUUGAUAAUGAUACUUUGUGUGCAGCUUGCGAACAAGGAAAACAACAUCGAAAGGGUCAUCCGAUUGUGAUAGAUUCAAAAAUAGUAGAGCCAUUGGAACUUCUUCACAUUGAUCUAUGUGGACCAUCAACUGUUGCAACAAUAAACAAAAAGCGGUAUAUUUUAGUUGUUGUAGAUGAUUUCUCUAGAUUUACGUGGGUGUUUUUUCUCAGGUUGAAAUCUGAAGUUGCUCAGACGAUGAUUGAUUUUAUCAAAAAGAUUGAAGUUAGUCUGAAGAAGAAUGUGCGAAAAAUUAAAAGUGAUAAUGGUUCUGAGUUUAAAAAUCAAACUCUUGAAAGUUUUCUCACAAGCAAAGGCAUUUCGCAUAAUUUUUCAUCACCGUAUACACCACAACAGAAUGGUGUAGUUGAAAGAAGAAAUCGAUCUCUAUGCGAAGCUGCCAGAACAAUGUUGACAUAUGCGAAUCUACCUCAAUAUCUUUGGGCAGAAGCUGUGUCCACAGCAUGUUUUACUCAAAAUCGAUCAUUCAUUCAUCGAAGAUUUAAUGUUACUCCAUAUGAAAUAAUCAAUAAUCGGAAACCUAAUGUAAAAUUCUUUCAUGUUUUUGGUUGCAGGUGCUUUAUCAUGAAUCUAAAAGAUAAUUUGUCCAAGUUUCAAGCUAAAGCUGAUGAAGGCAUCUUUUUAGGAUAUUCACAGAAUUCAGUUGCAUACAGAGUGCUAAACAAACGAACAAGAAAAAUUGAAGAAACGUUCAAUUUAACAUUUGAUGAUUACUAUCUUAAACAGAUUGAUAGUAAAUUUGAGAAUAAACCAAUACUUGUAGAUUCACAUAAUCCAAUUGAUAAUUCUGAAAUCAAUGAUUUUGAUUAUGACUUGAUUUUUGGAAUUCCUGACAGGGCCAUUGAUGCAGAAAGUAAUGCUCCUGAUAAUCAAACAUCAGAAUCUUCAAAACAUACUGAUGAAUCAACGAUAACUUGUGAAAGCACAUCAGAUAUUCACAAGGAACAAGAACAUCCAGUUGAGGGGGAGCCUUCGCAAAAUCAACUAGAACAUCAAGUUGAGGGGGAGCCUUCGCAAAAUCAACAAGAACAUCAAGUUGAGGGGGAGCAUUCGCAAAAUCGACAAGAAUAUCAAGAUACAGAUCAUGUUGAGGGGGAGCAUGAUGAAACAGAGACAAUUAAUCUUGAUAAUAAUGACGAAUUUCAUGAAGUUAAUGAUAAUUUUUCUGUUGCAGGAUCUGAAAAUGAAGAUAUGUUUGAAGAUGCACCAUUAGAAUUUGAUCCAAAUUUUCCACCACUCGAGAAAUGGACAAGAAAUCAUCCAAAAGAACAGGUAAUUGGAAAUCUACAAGAAGGUGUGUUGACUAGAGCUCAAAUUCGUGCGAAAAAUGAGGUACUGAAUGCAAACCAAGAACUUUGCAUGUUUAAUGUUUUUAUUUCGAAAAUAGAGCCAAAAACUGUCAAGAAUGCUAUGGAACACUCAGAUUGGGUUGUUGCUAUGCAAUCUGAAUUGGCAGAAUUUGAACGAAACAAGGUUUGGAGAUUAGUUUCUAAACCCUCUGAUGUUUCAAUUGUUGGAUUAAAAUGGAUUUUUAAAAACAAAACCGACAAAGAUGGCAAUAUUAUUCGAAAUAAAGCAAGACUAGUGGUUAAAGGUUAUUCGCAACAAGAAGGCAUUGACUAUGAAGAAACAUUUGCACCUGUUGCAAGACUUGAAGCAGUUCGCAUAUUUUUAGCCUAUGCAGCUCACAAAGACUUUGAUGUUUAUCAAAUGGAUGUUAAAUGUGCAUUCUUAAAUGGAAAACUCGAAGAAACAGUGUAUGUUGAACAACCACCAGGGUUUGUAAACAGUGAGUAUCCUGAUCAUGUGUAUGUCCUUGACAAAGCUGUAUAUGGGUUAAAACAAGCACCAAGGGCCUGGUACGCAACACUUACAAAUUUCUUGAAACAAUCUAAAUUUAAACAAGGAUCAGUUGACCCCACAUUAUUUCGCAAGAAAGUUGGGUGUCAUCUAAUGCUUGUUCAAAUUUAUGUUGAUGAUAUUAUCUUUGGUUCAACUGAUCCAGCAUUGUCAAUUGAAUUUGAAAAUUUAAUGAAAAGUCAGUUUGAAAUGAGCAUGAUGGGAAAAAUUAAUAAUUUUCUUGGUUUAAAUAUAAGGCAGAACAGAGAAGGAAUCUUAAUCAAUCAAGAAAAAUAUACGAAGAACUUGCUUGAAAAGUUUGGAAUGCUAAAUAGCACAAAGCUCAGAGUACCUAUGGCAGUAGGAACAAGACUAACUCCUUCGUUAGAUGCUCCUGCUGUUGAUCUAACACUGUAUCGUAGCAUGAUAGGGUCUUUAUUGUACUUAACUGCAAGUAGACCUGAUAUUAUGUUUUCGGUUUGUUGUUGUGCUAGAUAUCAAGCUAAUCCAAGAGAGCUUCAUUUGACUGCAGUGAAAAAUAUUUUUCGCUAUCUAAAGGGAACUGUUUCUUUAGGACUUUGGUAUCCUGUGAAAGCAGGAUUCUUCAUUCAAGCUUUUUCAGAUUCCGAUCUAGGAGGAUGUACUUUGGAUAGAAAAAGUACGACUGCUGGAUGUCAACUAUUGGAUGGAAAGUUAGUGAGCUGGCAAUCAAAGAAACAGACUUGUGUGGCUAUAUCAACCGCUGAGGCAGAAUACAUAUCUGCGGCUGCUUGUACUUCGCAAAUUAUUUGGAUUCAGAGUCAACUUCGUGAUUAUGCAAUAAACAUGAAAAAGAUUCCUUUGUAUUGUGAUUCACAAAGUGCAAUUCGCAUUUGUCACAAUCCAGUGCAACAUUCAAAGACAAAACACAUUGCUCUUCGAUAUCAUUUUAUUAAAGAUCAUGUGGAAGAUGGGAAUAUUGAAAUUCAUUUUGUCAAAACAACUGAACAACUUGCUGAUAUUUUUACAAAACCUCUUGAUAAAAAAUCAUUUGUUCGAAUUUUAGCAGGUUUGGGGAUGAUUAAUGCGAAUUCCAUUUCUUCAACACAAGAAUAACAUUUUUUUCAGCAGCUAAGUGUCAAAAUCAUUUAGAGGUUACUGUUCAUCUAGAGGCUUCGCAUGGCUUCACAACCAUAUCUUUUCGCAUAAUCACUACGGUAAGGUUUACGCAUAUGGUUUUAUUUUUGAAAAAUCAAAAAUCCAAAAAGAUUUUAUUUUUGUUCUUUAUUUUUGAAAAAUAAAAAAAAAAUUAUUUUUGUUCUUUAAUUUUGAAAAAUCAAAAAUACAAAAAGAUGUUAUUUGUUUUGUUUUGAAAAAUUCAAAAAUCACAAAAAUAUUUUUGUUUUCUUUGUUCUUUAAACUGUGUGUUGAGAAAUUAAUACAGGGCAACGAUGCGAAGAGGUCAUACAUUUGUGUUUCUGUGGGAAGGUAUUAAAUUUCUUUUACAAACUAGUUAGGAUGUCCCUAGAAGCAUGCUGCUGUAUGUAGACCAAAAGCCUCAACAUGACUCUAUGUGUGACAAGAAAGCCUUAAUGAAAUUAUCCCAAGAAAAUUUCUUCCCAAAACAAGGCUUAUAUUCGCAUAAGUCAAAACGAGCUACCUUACUCUUUUCAAAUGAGUUAAGAGUUUUCUGUUUUGUCCAAAUAUAACAGAGGUACACAUCGAGUCUUAACCAAUAUUUUUAAACCAAACUGUUCUUCAAAUCCAAAAAAAUUUUUAACGAAGAUUUGUCCUUGAGGUUUUUGGUCAAACCAAUCAAAACCUAGACAAAUCACAACUCUGUGUUUAAGAUCUAACAUCAUGAGUCCGUGAUGAAAGUGAAACCCAAAAAUCAUACACCUUUAAGGAAUUGACGGGGAACUUUGUUCCAGAUUUUUACGAAACCUUUGUUUCAGUAUCAAAAAUUUCGAAACUUCAAAUCAUAUUCAAUUCGCAUGCGUGGUCUUGAUCAAAUAUUUACAACCAAGAAUAUUUGUUACCCAACAAGAUCCAAAACAAAUUUUCUCUUGAAUAUGAUUUCAGUGUAAGUUUCAUUCGCAAAUUCUUGUCAUGAUAAAUAUUUUCACAAGCCAACUUGUCACUGACUACACUGGUCAAACAAGUAAUUUCAUUUACAAUUUCUCACCUUAUGUUAAGGCUGAUAUGUAAUGAAAUUUCAAACCAACCCAAAAUGACUUUUAAAAGAAGCCCUUUGAUACUUCUUUACAAGUAUUCGAUUGUAAUUCACGGGAAAAUACACAAGCUGUUGAUUAUCUUUCUUGAUGAUUAACGAAGCAACCUUUGCCUGGGGUUUUACUGCAUUCAUGUCAAAUUAACUUUUUGACAUCACAACAUUCCAAAGUUUCUUGAUUGUUAUCUUAUUCAUUGACACAUUGCACACACGAAAUCCUUGAGGUUAUGAGUAAAACCAACUUAGACUGAUGAUUUCGCAAGUCUGGCAUAUGACUUCACUUUAAAUCCCAAAAGUGAAAGAGCCUUGCUUCCAUGCGAAGGGUUUUACCGAUUCGGAUUCUAUAACGGAUACUUGAAAGGCUGUAUACUAAAUGUAUCCCGCUUUAAUUUCAAAUCAAGUUUGAGUAACCUAUAAAAGGGGGAUCAAGAACACUGUGAACAGUUACGCAAACAAGAAUUCUCACAAAACUUCAAAGCUUUCAUCUUGAUUCAAACUUCCAAUUUCUUUCAAACCCUAACAAUGGCAGCCACAAAUUCCAACACUGAUGAGGUCCUUUCUCAAUCACUAAUGAAGUUUCAAAGCACAAAUUACCAAGUUGAUCCUACCGUUUCUAUGUAUCCAGAAGACUUAAAGAUGCUUAUUGUGGCUUUGAAACGAUCACCGUUAUCAACUGCCAUGUUCCGAUCAUUCCCAGUUCCGAUUGUGUGGUUAUCUCGUGCUGCAUCCACGGCUUCAUACAAUCACACGGCAGAUGUGAUUACCUUCAAUCUCAUCAACAACAAGAAGGUUAAACUGUCAAAGAACUUGUUUGUGGAGUUCUUGCAGAUUCCAAACAACCCACCGUUUGUUAAACCUGUAAACUCCCAGAUAAUCCAUAUGUUCAAUGAGAUGGGACAUCAACCGGAGUUGGAGAAGAUCAGUGACUUCUGGAAGUCGGGAUUACCAUGCAUCUGGAAUUUUCUUUUUGGCAUUUUUCUACGAUGCCUUACCGGAAGAUCAUUCGGCUUGGAUAGAGGAAGAGUCGAAUGCCAUGGUAAUGGGUAUCUACUAUGACAUCAAUGUCGACUACGCAACACAGCUGUGGAAAGAAUUUGUGAAAAGCUUGGAAAACACAAAUUCGAAGAAGGGGAUAUCUUGUGCCAGAUACUGGAGUUUGAUCUUGGAGAAAGUUUACGAGAAAGAAGUUAUUCCAAUAAUGCAAGAUGUCGAAGUUGCGGAAUUUUCUUUCUACCAGUUUCCCAAAGUGGUUGAAGAUGAUGAAGCCAUUUUUACCCGUGUAGCUCGUAUUCCGGAUGCGAUGCUUCGCAAAGUUUCUCCCACUCACAAAGUGUUGGUGAGAUAUUUGCGAAACAUUGAUACAGCUAAUCAGACCGGCGUGCUACCAGAUGUUGCUACACCGUCAAAGAAGAAGAAGGUUAGCAAGAAAACUGCGAAGGGUUCAUCCUCACCAACUGUGCAAGAUGAAGUAUCGAAGAAGGAAGUUUUACCUUCCAAGUCUGGGGUUUUAAAACAAAUUCGCAAAGCGGAAGUGAGUAGUAAAGGAGUUACUAUUCGCAGUAUUCCCGCCCCAGUGUCUCCAGGAAAGAAACGCCAACGGGCAGAAGAUGUUGCGAAAAACAUGCAACGAACACUGGUCAAGAAGAUGAAGAUGGUGAUUCGCAAUGAAUCAUUAGAUGAAGAAGUUGUCCCAGAAACUCCACCUGUCACAACUAUGGUAAAUGUCUCUUUACCAAUCAUUUCAACUUCGCAAAUUUCCACUACUAUUUCACAAACCCAACCACUCGAAAUAGUUCUUACCAAGUCAGUUACUGAGGAGGUACCUAUUUCGGAUAUGGUUGUCAACGUAUCUGAUACGGGGGCACCUAUCCCGAGUGUUGCACCCAUAAUCCAAACAUCCUUACCUAUUACCACUUUAUCCACCACUUCAUCUAUUUUUGAUCAUGCCCUUCAAAACCCAUUCACCACACUUUUUCCAUCACAAUCACCUGAAAAUCCUCCACCUUCGCAACAAAUGUCUGAUCCUGAAGUCGAAGGAGGUGCUUUUGGAGGAAUUCUCGAUGACAUUCCUUUUGAUUCAGACGAAGAAGAUAUUCCUGAUCAUAUGCUGAUGACAGGAAAGCAGUUUAAAAUACUGAAUCAAAAGUUGAAGGCCAUUAUCCAAUCGCAAGCCGAUUCCGGGAGAAUGUCUUCAAUCUCAGCAAUGGAGGUGGAUGUCAUGCUUAAAGGUGCUGAGAAGCGAAUCAUGGAGAAAGUAGAUCAGUCCGAUAAAAACAAUGAGCUGAGAAUGAAAGCACAAGGGAAUAAUUUUACGUCUGCAGUUCAAAAUCUUAAAGCUGCUACAAAAGAACGCCACAUUCUUUUUGUGCAAGACGUCAAGAAAGCUCAUGAGGAUGUCAACUUCAAAAUUCAGGAAUUGAAGUCUGAACUUGCGAAGGAUCUUCAAGAUGUGCAUACGAGACAAGCAGAUCUUCAAAAGCAAAUUGUGGAAAUUUCUUCUCAACUCAACAAACUCAAUAAUAUUCCUGUUAUUGAAGAUCAGAAAGCUGCUACAAUGGAGAAGUUUGAUCACUUGAUCAAAUUGGUCACUGAGCUUAAAUCAGCCGUUUCGCAUUCAUCAUCUUCGCAAAUCAUUACUCCAUAAUUCUUGUCUCUAAAGAUUAACACUUUAGAACAAGCUAUUCAAAAAGCUCUUGCUCCGCUCACAAACUUCACUUCUUUACUUCCGAAGGGUGCUCCACCUGUUUUCAAAGGGGUGCAAGGGGGAGAGAAAAGUCGAAGUAAAGAAGAUGAGGCUAAGAUAGUGGGAAAAGUGAUUUCGACUCAACUGGUUGCAACUCUUCCAAUUCCUACAAAACCGAUUUCUUCAACAACAAUCACCACAAAAACAAUUUCCAAGGGAAUUGUUAUUGGAGAAAACGAAGGAGGUUCAAACUCAAAACCUCAGAAAGAUGUUUCAGGAAAAGGAAAAGGCAUCUUGUAUGAAAAGUCGAAGGAGGAAAUAAAAGCUGAUGCUGAGGCUGAAUUGGAGAGGAUGAGACAAGUUCAGAGCAUCAUGAGACAAAGGGCAAGUGAUCCUCCCUCCAUGAACAAAGGAGAUCCUGCGAAACUUUACUCUUACGAAACUAUAGAGUCGAAAGUUGUAGGAAGGGAGAUGUAUGAGUUCGAGAAGAAGCCUAAACGAAGUUACGAUAUUGCGAACUUAGAUCACUGUCAGCUGGACUUCCCAAUUAACGAAAUGUUAUUCAUCACAGCUCAAUACAAGACCAGUGAGAAAUUCGAUAAUCCGGAUGACUACACUCAUAUGAAAAUCAGAUUUCAUGCUGUUCUUGGGAAGAAUCCUGAUGAAGUUUGGACCCUGAUGAAGAUCAAGAAGGUGCUUACAAUAAAGAAGGAUGUUCUAUUUGAAGACAUGCUGCAAAAUUUUCGAUAUUUUGUCAUCAGGGCUGACAACAAACAAUACGACUUCACAGUUGCUGAUUUUCCGUUGAUGAAUUGCAACGAUCUUAUUCAAGUAGCUCUUAUUCUGAAGCAUAUGGAAGAAAACAAACUCAAAGGCUCGGAAGCAGAUGUGUUUAAAGUUGGAUUCGCACAUGUGAAGACGUUUAUAGACAACUAUUUCGACUGUUUGGCACUUACUGAUGAAGAUUUAGCUAAUGUGCUAGGAAGAGAAGUUAAAGUUCCAUGGGAAGACACUUUGACACAAUCUGCUCUGUCGAAGUAUGUUGUGGGUGAGAUAUGCCUUAAACCUUUUGGCAUGGUGUUUUCGGGAAGAGACACUAAAGGAAAACCGAAGAAAUUUUUGUUCAAAGCUUCAGAGAUUGAAAGAUACAAUUCUUCGCAAUAUACGCACUUCAUUAUACGUAUUAACAAUUGCAAGAAAAACAACGAAGGUGACAAGAGAGAUUUGAAGAAGGUGAUCUCCUAGUAUGGAGAAGUGCGAAGAACAAUUCACUCUGCAAUUCAAAAGCUUUUGAGUUGAAUUGCAUCGACUGUUUACAAAGGGGGAGAAUGUAGAUGUAUGUUGUAAAAGUCGAAUAGUCUGUAUUGUAAUGAUUCGCAUUUGUAUGUUAUUUUACUAAGUCAAUUUUGUAUGCGAAGUGUAGUAUGCGAAGCGUAAAUGUUUAGACUUAGUAUAUUUUUUGUAAGUUCCCUAUAAAUAGGGACUUAGGCUUGAAGUAGAGUGAUGAGAUCGAAACACAAUAUUUCUCUUUAGCUUACUUUGUAAUUAGUCUUAAUAAAAAUGAGAUCUGAUUAAUAUUUACUUCGUGUGUUCAUCAUCUUUCAUCAUUCAAAUCUAUUGUUUCGUUCCUUAAUUCUCGAUAACAAUUCUCUACAGAUUCAAAUAAGCUCUUUCAUCAAAUCGUUAAAUGGCUUUAAGUUCUUACAACAAUUACCAACAAUAUUCAAUAUACCUCAUAAGCUUGGGAUUAUGAACAUUUAAUAUUUGAUUACACUCAUUUUGAUUUAAUUACAAUCAAUUAAGUGUAUGUUACUAACAUCAAAUCAUAAAACAUAUACGAAUUUUACAAUUUGAUUAACUAGAUUGAUAAAAUCCCUAAUUCAUUGAUCAAGUGAAAAAGAGAAUAAACCAAACACAUGAUUAAGAUCAAAUCAAAGAUUACUAGAUGUUAAACACAAAUCAAGUUCAAGUUACAACCUAACAACACAUACUUAAGAAUUCAGAUUCGGAAAUGAUAAUGAAAUCAACCACACAUGUCUAGGUUAAACUACAAAUCAAAAGGGUUUAAACAUCAAAUUGACUUACAAAAAGGAAAUUAAAGUGUUUCCAAGUGUUAAUCUACUUCCAAAAGUUCUAAAAAUUGCAUUCUCUCUGCCCAAAAUCCGACCUAACUUCCCACUAAACUGAUUGUCUGAAUUAUAUGAGAGUUAAACUUCUUUAAAAACUGUCGAGACGUUUACACGGCCCGUGUAAAUUAAAGGGUGCCAUUUACACGGCCGUGUAAACAAGAAAAGUAGAAUGCUCAAUCCUUCCAGGCCUUCGGAGUAGAAUGCUCUUGUAUAUACGUUUACACGGACCAUGUAAAUUAUAAGCUAUCAUUUUCACGGUCGUGUAAACUCCUGUGAAGCCAAAUUCUUUAUUUCUUCAUUCUCUCUCUCUUCAAUGCUCCAAAACUUCUGAAACUUUGUCUCCAACUCUUUAUAACUUCCUCCAUCAAGAUCCAACCUUUAAAAAUCCCUGAAAUAUCAUAAAAGUGUGUGAAUGGAAUUGCAUCAUGAAAAAUCCCGAAAAAUAUGCAAAAUGCAUGAGUUUAAACCUAAAUGCAAUGCACUUUUAUGAACUAAAACUACAAAAUGAAUGCAUGAAAUGCACUUAACAAAUAUCCCCAAGCUUGAACCUUUCUUGUCCUCAACAAAGAACAAGAAGAUUUAAACUGGAGAAAAUAAAAUAGAAUAGAAGAAAAGAAAAUUAAAGUUAAAACUAUUUGAAACUUAAUGCAUGAAAUCAAAACAAACAUGAAAAGAUCCAACCCAAUUACCCUGUUUUGUACCAUAGUUGAGAAUGUACCUGUCAUGCCUUGAUUCAACUUGGCUUUAGUCUCAAAAUAUUAUAUGAUAAUAGAAACAAGACUUUGGCCACUCCCUAGUACAACUCAACAGAGUCGAAGAUCACAACACUUAUUCCUUUUCAAUAUCAUCAAGUCAAUUCUUGGAAAAAAUUAUGGUCUUACUCUUGUGAAAUUAUAUGUGACAAAACAUGCUCAACCAUCUUUGUUUCAUAAAAUAUAACAAUGUCCGAUUCCAGCUAUUUGUUGGUCAACAACAAUCUUUUUCUGAAAAAUAUUUUGUAAAAAUUCCCUAAUAUUUAUCCAGUUUGGUUGCAAACUUCAAACCACUUACACCUGUCGAAGUAAUUAACAUUCAGUCCAAUGUCAUAAAUUCAAAUCCAAGUCCAAGGGAAUCUUUUGACAGCCAAGUAUUUUUCCUAAACACAAUAUUCAAUUAAACUAUAAACACAAUUAUAUACAAACUUCUUAAUUAUAUAUUUUUUUUUACAAAUAAAGCUCAUGGCUUUCUUUGAAAUCUGUGUAACGGGCUUCCAACCAACACACCCAAAUCAAAUGACCUUAGUAUGCUAGAUUUAAAGAGAUCCCUCGGGUUUACUUGCCCGAACCUCAAAGGCCACAGAUUAGCUUUAUUUGCUAUUAUUAAGUUCAUCAUUUUCUAUGGAACCCAUGUAACGAAUUUUCAACUCAACCAGUCUCAAACUAUUCAGCUUUAGGCGAUUAGGUGUAAAACACCCCUCAGAGUUUACUUGUUCGAAUCCCAAAGGUUACAGAUUAACUUAAUAAUAGUUUUUUUUCAUUUUUAUUUUAUUUUAUGUAACACAUAUACAAAUAACUAAGUUAACACAUAACACUCUUAUUAAUUUAUUUAUUUGGCCAAUUUCUUUAUAUUUUCGUCCUUCACUUUUCUAUUAUGGGACAUCUCACGGUUUAUUACCGUGAGGGACUUCUAGACAUUUUUCGGGGGACUAAAUGUUAACAUGGGAAUGAGUAGAAAGUUAUGUUCUCAAGCAGGGUAUAUAAAAGGGAAUGAGUAGAAAGGACUUUUAAGAGUGCUGGAAGGCGGGACAUUGAGAUUUUGCAUUCUUUUUAUGAACUUUUGAAUUUGGCAUUUUAAGUUCAAUUGAGCAUUACUACUCAUAAGACCGGUCAUAUAUCCCAAAGAAUCGACUCAUACCUGCUGUUAUGCUCCAGUGUUGACAAUCUUCUCAUUUUUUGUUUUGCACAAGUAGCUUCGGGAGAUGUGCUCGUGUGUGAUUAACUUGCUUUUAGAUUUUUCAAUAAAAAGAGCAAGCCAAUUUCAAGGCACAUGACUCAUUUACCAGCUCAACUGUUUUGAAAAGAUUCGGUUGCUUGGGAUUGGAUCUAAUUAUUAUUAUUAUUAUAAUUUUUAUUUUAUUUAUUUAUUUAUUUAUUUUUGUUAUUAUUAUUUUUUUUUAUCAUGCAAUACAAAAAUUUAGAUGCAGAAUACAAAAGUAUAAUAAAUAUAGAGUAGAAAGAAAAAUUAUUGAAUUUUUUUUAAAUGACAAAGAAAAAUAAUAAAAAGAAAAAUAAUGCAAUGCAAAAUGUACAAAAUUACAUGCAACGGGAUAAUGCAUGGAUGGAUGCCCCUCCCCAAGCUUAAAAUAAGCAUCGUCCUCGAUGCUUGGAGAGAGGCAUAGCCGGCCUAUUGAGGACCGGGCGGUGGAUAUGGAGGGAACAGUGAAGGAUAAUCUGUAGGAUAAUAAGGAGGCCAUUGGGGUUGGGAUGAUGAUGGUGGUUGCGGCUGUGUGGGGAGCACAAGAACUCUAUGGAUAUCGCUCAGCAGGUGAUGAAUGUUGCGGUUGUGCUGCUCUUAAGCGGCCUAUCUCUGAUCCUGUUCAGCCCACCGCAGCUCUUGUUGGGCCCAAUGCUCUUCUUGCAAGUUACGGUAGUCCUGAAAAUCAGAAGUGAUUUCAGCGACACCCGUAUAAAUUUCUCUGACUUCCUAUUGUAGGCUGGUGUAAUGGUGGUUCAAGCGUGCAAACUCGCCCAUAUAAAGAUUGUGUUCAGAAGAAGGAAUGGGGCAAGAUGAGAUAGAGGCACCAGCAGUAGGAGCAGGAGGAGGAGAGGGUGGAGGACUAUGAUCUACUGUAACACCUAAGUUAGAUUUGAGUUUCCAAGUGGUUGAUGGAAUGUCAUUGGCUAAAUUGAGUAUCUUUUUGUUUCUGCUGUCUAUGCGUAGAUACUUUUUCCCAUCUACUGUCCAAUGAACAUCCCCAGUGGGAAGGCGGUGGAAAAGAUGCAUUGUUUCCAUAACAUCAAUUGAUAGACGAGUACGACCCAUGACUAUAUUUGUUGGGUUAUUGGGUAGAUGGAGGCCAAGAUGCUCAGAAAUAAUAGAAACCAUGCCUCCACAAUGUAGCUGGCCACCAUUGCUCGUAGCACUUCUGAGCAUUUUCUAAAUCACCCAACACCCAAAAUGAGGGACUUCUGCAGGCUUGUUAAUCAUACACCACAAGACUUCUAUCUCUUUCUUAUUAGCCUUGCUAAUCUCUUCUUGAGGGAAUAGGAGAGAAGCAAUGAUCUGGUGGGCGACUUUCAAGACCAGAUGGAUAAUGCUAGAACCUUUGGCUGUGCCUGACUGAUACUCAUACUCACAAGAGAUGCUUCUCCAAAACUUGCACGGUUAUGCUCAAACACAACAUUUUUUCACAAAGGAUGCUAUGUAUACAUCCCUUCUUGCUUUGGGAGCACCAAUCAUAUCACAAAGGAUGUCAGCAUGAAACUGAUGGGUUUGAUUGAGUAGACGGAAAGUCAGGAGAUGGGUUUGAUAGUCAAAGGUAAUGGAGGACAAAAGUUCCAACAUUGGUGUUUGAUAAUUAACUGCAUGUAGAUUCAAAAGAGCUUCCCAUCCUAUGUUUUUGAAGAGUUUGUGGACACCCUUAUAGAUAUGUAAAUCCUUGAGGGCUUGGAUGUCCACAAACUUUUGAGCAUCCAUUGUUCUGCUAACAAGAUUUGCAUACAAGAUUUCUUGUCGAUUGGUCUAAAAAAUAAGACCAAAUUCAUAAGGGUUGUCCAUGGCAUGUGGGUCUUGUUCAGCAUGUGAAUUUCCAAUUCUAGGUCUUUUACCCCGGGAAGCCAUUACCCAAAUGAAUCAACAAAGUAUUGCACACAAUUUAGGACAAUUGAAGCACAAGAACUAGCAAGUUUCACCAAAAAUCACCCAAAAAGGAAUAUGGUUCUAUCUAAAUGCACAAAGUAAGAGUUUGGAACAAUUAUACCGAUUUGUGCUUGAAAAUGGUGGUAAGAGGAUAUCCAAUGCUUCACCAAGCUAUCCCCAAGCUUAUCCUACAAGAAAUUUCAAGCAUUAGGUCGAGAUUUUGAAGUUCACAAAUUCUAGGGUUUUGCUCAAAAACCCCAAAAUCGACCAUGAAAAGGGUAGAAUAGAGGUGGAAGAUAAAGAAGAUGAAGAAAAGAGAAAAAAUCCAUACCUUGGAGCUUGAUUUUUGAUGCAAAAUUGAGAAAGAUUGAAUAUUUUGAAGGGUUUUUUCGAAGGGGGGCAGUAGGGAGGAGAGGAAUCGCAGGUUAUGUGAAAAGAAUGAGUUAAAAAAAUCGAGUUUUAGCCUUAAAAUCGUCCAGCUCUGUAUUUACGUUUACACGGUCUGUGUAAACUAAAGGGGAGCAUUUACACGGCCGUGUAAACUCCUGAAUCUGAUAUACCGUGUUUGGUCGUUUACACGGCCCGUGGAAACUAUAGGCAUAAGUUUACACGGCCGUGUAAACCUCUGAGAAGGCCAAGAAAAUUUAAUUUUUUCACUUUUUCAAAUUGCAACCCGCUAAACCACUACUGCCCGGAAAAUGAUUUUUAACCCUCUUUUAGCAUGAAAAACAACUUGGAAGCUUGAAAACAAAGAAAAUACAAUGAAAAUAUACGAAAUGACAAAAAUACCCCCGGGUUGCCUCCCGGUUAGCCGGCCCUUUUUAAUGUCGUUGGCUCGACUUGGACCCCAACUAUUUGUCAAUCUUGAUACUUUGGAUCCAUUACUUCCUCCACCUCUUCAUUCUUGACUUGAAAUCAUUCAUAAUUAGGCUUCAAACGGUGACCAUUUACCUUAAAAAUCUUCCCGGUUUUCUCACUUGUGAUUUCUAUUGCACCAUGCUCAAAAACAUUAGUGACAACAAACGGUCCCACCCAACGGGACCUUAAUUUACCAGGAAUUAAUUUAAAAUGCGUGUAAUCGUUUUGUCAUGGAAUGCUUUGGUCUUUUCCUUAUAAAGAACCUCUUUCUCAUACGCUUCAUUGCGGAUUUCCUCAAGUUCUUGUAUGUCCAACUUCCUCUUCUUUCCCGGUUCACUUAAAUCCAUGUUGAACUGCUUGAUCGCCCAAUAGGCCCUAUGUUCCAACUCAAUGGGUAAUCGACACGGCUUUCCAAAAACAAUACGGUAUGGAGACAUUCCAAUUGGAGUUUUGUAUGCAGUGCGGUAUGCCCACAAAGCAUCAUCAAGGCGUGUACUCCAAUCUUUCCUUGUUGUAUUCACGGUUUUCUCCAAAAUGCCCUUGAUUUGUCGAUUGCUCACCUCAGCUUGUCCAUUUGUUUGUGGGUGGUAUGUUGUGGAAACUUUAUGAGUGACACCAUAUUUUUCAAAACACUCCCGAGCAUACGAUUGCAAAAAUGUGUACCACAAUCACUGAUCAAGGCCUUUGGAACACCAAAUCUGGAAAAAAUGUUAGCCUUCAAGAAAUCUAUCACAAAUUUUGAAUCAUUAGUACGGGUAGCCUUUGCUUCCAUCCACUUGGAAACAUAGUCCACAGCCAAAAGAAUAUAAAUAAAACCCGAAGAUGAUGGAAAAGGUCCCAUAAAAUCAAUGCCCCAAACAUCAAAAAUUUCACAAACUAAUAUGGGAUUUAGGGGCAUUUGAUUCUUUAAGCUUAAGGAGCCCAUCCGUUGACAUUUAUCACAGCUUGAACAAAAGUCAUAAGAGUCAUGGAAAAUACUUGGCCACUAAAAUCCACUCUCUAACACUUUUCUUGCAGUCCUUUGAGGACCAAAAUGUCCUCCACAAGCAUUAGAGUGACAAAAUGUUAAAAUAGAAGGGACCUCAUAUUGAUCCACACAUCGUCUAAUCAUUUGGUCAGCACAAUAUUUCCACAAAUAUGGAUCAUCCCAAACAUACCUCUUGGCUUCUUUCUUGAUCUUGUCUUUUUGCCAUCGAGUCAAAUCUGGUGGAAACUGAUUUGUGACGAUGUAAUUCACAAUGUCGGCAUACCAAGGGGCAACUUUUGCUGAAAAUAGGUUCUCAUCGGGAAAUGCAUCAUGAACGAGAGUAGAUUCAUGGGGAGAAACAAUCCUGCUAAGAUGAUCAGCUACAAGAUUUGACUUUCCGCUCUUGUCUUUGAUUUCAAUGUCAAACUCUUGCAAGAGUAAUACCCAUCGAAUGAGUCUAGGCUUCGAAUCCGUCUUUGCAAGUAGAUACCUCAUAGCUGCAUGAUCAGAAUAAACAAUGACUUUAGAACCUAGCAGGUAUUGAUGAAAUUUGUCUAAAGCAAAGACAAUAGAUAGCAAUUCUUUUUCAGUUGUUGAAUAGUUGGCUUGUGCACUAUCAAGUGUUUUUGAGGCAUAGUAAAUAACAUUAGGAACACGGUCUUUUCUUUGCCCUAACAAUGCACCAACUGCAUGAUUGCUGGCAUCACACAUGAUUUCAAAAGGCAAACUCCAAUCCGGUGAUUGAAGUAUUGGUGCUGUUAUCAUCAACUCUUUCAACUGAUCAAAAGCUUGGUUGCACUCUUUGGAAAAUUCGAAUUCUGACUCUUUUUUUAGGAGCUCACACAUGGGACGAGAUAUCUUGGAAAAAUCUUUGAUAAACCUUCUAUAAAAUCCUGCAUGACCAAGAAAUGAGCGUACCUCACGAACACAAGUGGGAUAAGGUAAAGAUUUUAUGACAUCUAUUUUUGCUUUGUCUACUUUUAGACCCUUAGAUGACACAAUAUGACCUAAUAUGAGACCUUUGUCAACCGUAAAGUGACACUUUUCAUAAUUCAAAACAAGAUUGGUCUCAAUACAUCUUUGCAAAAUCUUUUUCAAAUUACCCAAACACUCAUGAAAAGAAUUACCAUAAAUUGUGAAGUCGUCCAUAAAAACUUCAAUGAUUUCCUCAACAAUUUCCGAAAAAAUACUUACCAUGCACCUUUGAAAAGUGGCUGGAGCAUUGCAAAGUCCAAAAGGCAUUCGCCUAUAUGCAAAUGUUCCGAAGGGACAUGUGAAAGUAGUUUUUUCUUGGUCCUCGGGUGCAACGGGUAUUUGAUGGAAACCGGAAUACCCAUCCAAGCAACAAUAAUGUGUUUUUCCCGCUAACCUUUCCAAUAUUUGAUCAAUGAAGGGAAGUGGGAAAUGGUCUUUCCGGGUUGAGGAAUUGAGUCUUCUAUAGUCAAUGCAAACUCUCCACCCGUUUUGCACACGGGUGGGGACUAACUCACCUUGGUCAUUCUUUGUAACGGUAAUACCUGUCUUCUUGGGCACAACUUGGACCGGACUUACCCACUUGCUAUCUGAUAUAGGGUAAAUCAUCCCUGCAUUCAACAACUUCAAAAUCUCCUUUUUCACAACCUCCAUCAUUGGAGGAUUCAAACGCCUUUUAGCUUCUCGGGAAGGCUUGUAAUCUUCUUCCAUAAGGAUUUUGUGCAUGCAAAGCGAAUGACUUAGCCCUUUGGUGUCGGCUAUAGUCCACCCAAUAACUUCCUUAUACUCUUUCAAAGUGGUGACAAGAUCUUCCUCUUCUUUUGUUGACAACUUGGUGGAUAUGAUCACUAGCAAAGUUUCUUUGUCUCCAAGAUAUGCAUACUUGAGAUGCUCGGGUAAAGUUUUGAGCUCCAAUUCCGAUGCCUGCACAAUAGAAUGAACAAGUUUCUCAUUAGACAUUCAUAUUUUCAGCUUUGGAACAUCAAACCUCAUUUUCUUCUUCUCAUCCAUGCAAGACACAACCUCCAUAAUCUCUUUAUCAAUUGUGAAUUGAUUGGCAAGUUUUUCCACUUUUUCCUUUUGAAGAUUCAUGUCUAAAAUGAGAGCUAACACAUCAAGACUAGACAAAUCAAAACACUCCUCUGUCAAUGGUUCAAUGACAUUCACAAAAUUCAAAGAUGAAAUAUCACUUGGAUAUCUCAUAGCAUCAUAAAUAUUGAAAUUUAUCACCUCCCCAUCAAAUUCCAUGGACAAUGUACCAUCAUAAACAUCAAUUUUCGUCCUGGCUGUUUUCAAAAAGGGUCUUCCUAGGAGAAUUGAACUCAAAUUUGGUGAGUCAUCAUCAUCCAUGUCAAGGACAUAAAAAUCUGCUAGAACCACUAGUUCAUUCACUUGGACUAACACAUCUUCUAGCACACCUUUGGGAUGUACUAAAGAUCUAUCAGCCAAUUGAAUGAUUACCUCGGUCUUCUUCAAUGUGCCAAUAUUUAAAGUUUUAAAGAUGGAAUAUGGCAAAACAUUGAUAGAAGCUCCAAGGUCUAGCAUAGCUCGUGGAACAUGAAGAUUACCUAAUUUUCAAGGAACCAUGAAAACACCCGGAUCGUUACAUUUUUGAGGUAGUCUUUUUUGUAACACUACGGACACAUUUUCCCCUACUUUAACAGUUUCAUUCCCUUUCAAAUUUUUCUUGGAUGUACAUAAUUCCUUAAGGAAUUUAGCAUACCUAGGGACUUGUUUGAUGGCAUCAAUAAGAGGAAUAUUUACCUCAACCUUCCUGAACAUCUCCAUGAUUUCAUUGUCUUCCCUUUCACGCUUUGACUUGUUUAAUCUUGAAGGAAAUGGAGGAGGAGUGACUUUUGCUUCAAUAGGAACUUGCUUUGAAGGUGUUUUUGACUUUUCUUCUUCUUUCUCUAGCUCCAUCUCUUCUUCUUCUUCAAUCAUUUUAGGACCUUCAUAUUCUUUGCCAUUCCUCAAACUGAUGGCAUAUGCACUAUGUUUUGGAUUUUUCUCGGUUUGCGCGGGUAGUUUGCCUUGUGACUCCAAUUUACUCACAGAAGUGGUGAGUUGAGUCAUUUGUUGCUCCAAAGUCUUGAUGCUCGCCUUGGUCUCAUUUUGAAAUGUUUGAGUACUUGUGGCUAAAUCUUAACAAUGUCUUCUAAAGACAUUCCUGAUCCGCUUGAACUGCUUCCUUGACGCAUGUUUUGAGGUUGGAAUUAAGAUUGAUGAGGGGGUUGAGUUGGUUGGAAAUGUGGUUGAUAACUUUGUUAGUGAUGCAUUUGAUUUUGAAAUGGUGGUCUUAGUUGAUAAGGUGGUGGUCUUGGCUGAAAAUUGGCAUUAGGUUGAUGCCAAUUUGGAUUGCUUCUUGGCUGGAAGUUCCCUUGUUGUUGACUUGAAAGUCCCAUAGCUUGAACUGGCUCUACAUCUUCUUGUCACAUUGGGCACAUAUCAGUGGGAUGUCCAACUUGUGUACAAAUACCACAAGGUCUAACUGUUGGUGGUUGCACGCCCUUGUCCUUUGCAAGCAUCAUUACUACCUUAGUCAACUCAGAAAGUUGACUUUCAAUUUUUCGGGUAGAAAUUUCUUUCACUCCUCUUGGUGCAUCACUGUACCAUUCUUCUUCUUGGACUGUAUGCUUGGACUCUUCUGCCAUGUUCUUGAUAAGAACUCUGAUUUCUGUUGGAGUCUUAUCAGCUAUAGAUCCACCACUUGAUGCACUGAGUAAUCUCCUAUCCCAAGAUGACAUUCCUUCACAAAAAUACUACAACAACUGAUAUUCUGUAAUCCCAUGUUGUGGACAUCUUGAGCACAAUUUCUUGAACCGUUUCCAAUAAGUAUGCAAGGGUUCUCUCUUUUGUUGCUUGAUACCAAUUAUCUCUCUGCGUAAAGCUGAAGCUCUCAUUUCUGGAAAAUAUUUAUCCAGAAACAUCCUUGCAAGUUCAUUCCAUGUUGUGACUGACCCCGGUGGUAAGUCAUAUAACCACUCCUUGGCUGAAUCUUGUAAAGCAAAAAGGAAUGCCCUUAACUUGAUUUGAUCUUCUGUAACUUCAUGCGGCUUCAUACCCACACAAACAACAUGAAAUUCCUUAAGAAAUUUAUGUGGGUCUUCAUUCUCAAGACCAUAGAAUGAGGGUAACAAAUGGAUGAGUCCAGACUUGAGUUCAAAGUUGAUUGCUGCAGGGUAAUUUGUGCACAAAGGUUGUUGGGUGACAUCUUGAGUGGCCCAUUGUCUAAAGGUUUGUUCAUGUGGUGGAUGCGGACGAUUUUGAUUUCCUCCAUGGUUGUCUACCAUGGUAGGAGUAGGUGAAGAUGGUGGGGUGAUACUUUUGGAUGUUGGAGAGGAUGUGGUUGAUGGAUUUGAUGAAGAAGCUCCAGAUUGUUGUUGUUUCUUUAAAAGUCUGGCUUGCUUCCUUCUUUGUUUAGCAGAUUUCUCUAUCUCCAAAUCAACCGGUAUAGUUUUACCUGUGCGGAAAGAUCUUGGCAUAAACAAUUAGUACUACUGUAUCCCCGGUAACGGUGCCAAUUUGUUUUGCUAUCAAACUAACAAAUAAUGGGAUAAAAUAAUAUUAAUAAAGCUCAAAUCACUGCUAUUUCUUAUACUAAAGAUAGUAUAGAGUAAGCACGGUCGGUCCACAGGAAUACAUGACUUCUUAUCUUGCCAUAUUUUCACACAUAAUACAAAUAAUAUUAAAAUGGGGGAUUGUGUUUGCACUAGAUUUAAACUUCAUAAAUAAACAAGAUUGUUAACAGAAUUUAAUAAAAGAAAUACAUUUUCGAUUCUGAUUCUUAUACAUGUAUUAUGUUGAAAGAUGCAAAAUGAAUAUGAUUGUGUUCUAUCUAGGUUGGUAAUUUAGAUACUAAUAAACUCUAAUAUCAAAGUUGACAAAAAAUAUUUUAUUCAAAACAUGUUCUUCAAAUAAAACUUCAUUUAAUUGAUUUGAUUCAAAUAAGAUCUUUCAUCAAAUCAUUAAAUGGCUUUAAGCUCUUGCAACAAUUACCAACAAUAUUCAAUAUACCUCAUAAGCUUGGGAUUAUGAACAUUUAAUCUUUGAUUACACUCAUUUUGAUUUAAUUACAAUCAAUUAAUUGUACGUUACUAACAUCAAAUCAUAAAACAUAUACGAAUUUUACAAUUUGAUUAACUAGAUUGAUAAAAACCCUAAUUCAUUGAUCAAGUGAAAAAGAGAAUAAACCAAACACAUGAUUAAGAUCAAAUCAAAGAUUACUAGAUGUUAAACACAAAUCAAGUUCAAGUUACAACCUAACAACACAUACUUAAGAAUUCAGAUUCGGAAAUGAUAAUGAAAUCAACCACACAUGUCUAGGUUAAAGUACAAAUAAAACAAGUUUAAACUUCAAAUUGAUUUACAAAAAGGAAAUUAAAGUGUUUCCAAGUGUUAAUCUACUUCCAAAAGUUCUGAAAAUCGCAUUCUCUCUGCCCAAAAUCCGACCUAACUUCCCACUAAACUGAUUGUCUAAAUUAUAUGAGAGUAAAACUUCUUUAAAAACUGUCGAGACGUUUACACGGCCCGUGAAAAUUAAAGGGUGCCAUUUAUACGGCCGUGUAAACAAGAAAAGUAGAAUGCUCAAUCCUUCCAGGCCUUCGAAGUAGAAAGCUCUUGUAUAUACGUUUACACGGCCCGUGUAAAUUAUAAGCUAUCAUUUACACGGUUGUGUAAACUCCUGUGAAGCCAAAUUCUUUAUUUCUUCAUUCUCUCUCUCUUCAAUGCUCCAGAACUUCUGAAACUUUGUCUCCANUAAACUUCCUCCAACAAUAUCCAACCUUCAAAAAGUCCCUGAAAUAUCAGAAAAGUGUGUGAAUGGAAUUGCAUCAUGAAAAAUCCCGAAAAAUAUGCAAAAUGCAUGAGUUUAAACCUAAAUGCAAUGCACUUUUAUGAACUAAAACUACAAAAUGAAUGCAUGAAAUGUACUUAACAAUAACUAAUCCUGGAACUAUGUGUGUUGGAGCCUGCUGGCGGCAAUCCCUCGCCAUGUGACCCUACCAACCACAAUUGUGGCACCCCGAUGAUGAUUAACAAGCACCCUCGUGUGCCUUGUUGCACUUCCGCAAGUGCGACCUUUCGACCCCCAGAUCUGACAUCAGCAGCGUUAAUCGCUUUAAUGCAGGCUGCGACUAUGUUGGGGCUGACCUCUGCUCUCUCGUCUGCAUAUCAAUCUCAAUCUCAUGCCGCCCGGUGGCCUCCUGCAUCUCCAACAAUGAACUAUAGUGCCGAGUAGAAACAAACUGCCUGAUCUCCGUGUUGAGAAUGCUCAAGUAAGGGGUCAUAUGAGCCUGCUCAGAUGCAGCAAACUUAGGGCAGACAUAGCCCUCUCCGCAAACAUCUUUGUAAUCUCCAUCACCGUCUCAGAACCCCGUCUUAAAUCUAGAUACUCUUGCACUAACCUCUCCCGCUCCACCAACGUAACAUAUCAGGAACGGAACAUCUCAGAAAACUGCUCCCAAGUCACAGUAGCCCUCUUCUCAACAAAAUAAGAACUAGUAGUGAGCCUCCACCAAUCCUUUGCUCCGGACCUCAGAAGGUUCAGAGCGUACCUGGCCUUCUAAUGAGCAGGGCAUGAACAAGUGAAGAAAUAUCCCUCCACAUCAGAUAACCACCUCAUGGCUAUAAUUGGGUCCUGGAAUUCAUUGAAAUUCGAGGGCUUCGUAUCAUUGAAGUCCUGAUACUGAAAGACCCACCCUAUCCCAACACCUGCAGCCGCCACGACUGUGCAGGCUGUAAUAUCAACCAUCUUCGAAAUGGUUGCAUAGUGAUCAUCAAAAAACUCCAUCAUCACGGUAUUGAUAGACCUGAACAUCUCUAGGAUCUGACCCCAAACAAUAGCAACCACCUCCUCGCGGAUGAUAUCCUUGACGCGGUCCUCAGACAAUGCUGGCCCACCAUGACUGCCAGCUCCUGAUCCCGACCCGGAUCCGAUCUCAACAUGUCUCCUGGUCACCAUAUUGAAAAUACACCAGGAAGAUAGCAGAUAAUCCAUAUAGCAUAACGAGGAACCAACUCCCACGAAUCCCGAGGGGUUGUGACUUCCUUGGUAUGUGUACGAGUCCUGUGCUUUCAGUAGUAUGAGCCCAUACUACCUUCUCCACCUACCCGUAUUUGUCUCAAGGAUCAUCACAACGCCCUAACAAUACUCAUAAGAAUAGACGAACACUCAAUCCUCACUCCUUAGAGGAAAAGCUGAACAUCUCACAACUAGCCGACUGAACCCACACAACUCGUGAUGAAACUUCCACCAACCCUGCAGCACUCGUGUAUGAUAGCCAUACGUAACACUAGAGCUUAUAAAUAUUCAAAUACAUGAUCCUACCCUAAGCCCUUCUUCAAACAAGAACAAGAAAUAAGGUCAAACCAGACAUUCUCAGGCUAUAAGAUCAUAGUUAUAUAUAACCAUUAUGCAUACUCUAAGCAACUACAGGAAUGAUGUCAAUUCCAUAAAAGAAAGGUCCUAGGCUAUCAAGCAUCAUAUAAUCAGGCAACUCAAUCAUGCAAUUCCUGAAGAUCCCUAUCCUAUCACUACCAUGUUAUUCUAACAUAGCACGAUAUCAAAUAAUAGUAUGAUACUUUGGGGUUAACUUACUGGCUCCAGCUGAUCGUACACAUCGCAUCCUCCUUGAGUAUUUUUAAAACCAUUUGAAAAUCAUUUUGGAAAAUCUUUUCCUUAGUUUGAGACUGGAUUCACACGAGCAUUCCUCCAAUUCACUAAAACCAAGGCUUUGAUACCAACUUGUAACAUUCGUGAAAUUCUUGAAAAAAUUUAAACUUUUAAAAUAAACCACAACCAUCAAUAUUUACAAAUUGUUUUCAAAAUAAGUUUCACACCAUAGAAAUCCUAAAAUUGUAAGAAUAAAAUAUGAGGAGAUACACGAUCACGCCUUCGCCUUCCCACGAUCCUUUGAGGUACCUGAAACAUAAUCCAAAACUACAAGCCCAAAUCUUAGUGAGUUCCUCCAAGAUACCAGUACAUUACAAAUAGCACAAAAUAUAAUAACAAUAUGCAAUGGGUCCACAACUUAACAUAUUGGAUUACCCCUGAGCCCACAACAUAAGUCUGGCUUGCAUUCGGCCCACAACUUAUGUAUGGCUUGCUCCCUGGCCUAAUCAGUCCUUGGACUGAAUAUCGCUAGGCCUUCAGUACAAGUCUAGCAUGCCCUUCCCGACCCUCAGCUCGUAUCUAGAAUGCUCAUGAGUCCUCAGUAUAAGUCUGGCAUGCCCUCCCUAGCCCUCAGCUCAUAUCUGGCAUACUCUAGGGUUUGUUGUCUACAACACGGAGUAGUACAACCUCAACCCAACCCACACAAUAUGUCGACAUAUAACAAAUAAUUCCAUAUAAAGAUAAUUAGACAAUAUCACAGGUAGUUCUACAGACAUACCAGACUGACAUAUCAAUUCUAGCAUGCAAUCUACACUAUACUCAACAUGUCAACAAUAUCAGGUUAUCAAACCAAUGGGUCGGCUUUGGUGCCUUCGACCCGAAAGUAUAGUGAGUAAGAAUCACCUCUCAAGUAGCUGAACUGAUAAGAUCUAACACCGAAUCUCGACUCCCAACUCAAAUGCCUACAACCACUUUGUAAACAAUUCCAUUAAAAUCUAGAAAUAUCCAAAAUACCCUUAAAAGUCCAACUUGGUUAACCAUGGUCAAAGUCAAAUUCAAAGGUCAAUGUUGACCCAACUCGUCGAGUGCACCUCUUAGACUCGUCGAGUUCUAUAGAACUCAGAAAGUCGGGGAAAACCCUAGCCAACUUGCUGAGUUGGCUGGAAAACUCGCCGAGUUUUCCCAGUCUUAACACAUACAGCUGAAUCUUCAAUUCCAGAGUCCCUAAGGCUCAGAUCUGUAAGUCCCCAAUUUGCUUGUGUAUCAAUCAGAUCCGUUUGAUGGUGCGGAACCAAUCAAACGGAUGAUGCCAGAUCAAAAUAGAAGAGAAGGAGAAGAAGAAUAACUUGAAUCUAUGAUGAAUUAAAGAUAUGAAUGAAGCUCCUUACAAUAGAUUCACACAUUAUCUUCUUCUCUCUUGUUUCUCUCUCUAAAACACACCUUAGAAUACACACACUUAAGCUCCUUUUCCUUACACCCACAUGCACUCCUCACCCUAUAUAUAAGACAUGGGCCGUGAACAAGUUCACGGCCGUAAACCUGUUCACGGCCGUAAACACAGUCGUAAACUCAUAAAACAAUACAAAAAAAUACAAUUGCCUAGAAAAGCAAAGUAUAAACCAAAAUUUUGACCCAACAAUCCUCCCCCCCCCCUUUUUGAAGUCGCAAAAUCCCCGAAAAAACAUUUAUUUCACAUCUCCAAAAUUACAAAGUACAAUGCUAAAACAACAAUGGAUCAAAACCCACACGUUUAUGUUAGUAAAAUCCAUACCUCAAAGUAACAACGGGUCACAAGAAGCAAGUCAUCAAAAUUACUGAUAACUGACACCAUCACCGCUUAUAACUUCACCAAUAUGAUACACCAUCCCACCUUCUUCCUUAAGUACCCUUUAAGCAGCCUCUUUACUAACAACCAAAACCAUCCCGAAUCCCAUAUUAAAAGUCCUUUUCAUUUCACCAUCUUCAAUCCCCCCAGCCUUUUGGAUCCAUUUAAAAAAUGGGGAAUCGGCCAAGAGUCAUUAUAAAGAAGAGUGCCAAGCCCUUUUGGGAAAACACGAGGGAUGUUAUCUGUGAAGCUGCCACUUGUUAUGUGUGCAAUUCCUUUUAUACCCUUAUUGCCCUCCUUACUUAUGAUAUCAAGCACUUGUUUUACAUAUAUUACAGUUGGUGCCAUUAAGGCUUCUGCUAAUGUGACUGAUUCUUCACCUGGGAGUUUGUCUUUCAAUGAAAGCCCACUUCUCACUAGCACCCUUCGAACAAGUGAGAACCCAUUUGAGUGGACCCCACUAGAUGGGAGGCCAAUAAGCACAUCUCCAACUUCUAUAUUCUUCCCAUUUAUAAACGAAUGCUUUUUCAUAGUUCCAACUAAAAAACCACUAAGAUCGUAUUCUCCUUCUGCAUAAAAAUCUGGCAUUUCUACAGUCUCUCCACCCAAAAGAGCACAGUCAGAUUGUUGGCAACCAUCAACAAUUCCUUUUAUAACCUUUUCAGCAAGAUCAACAUCAAGGCGACUUGGUUCAGAGUAAUCAAGGAAGAAUAAAGUCUUUGCUCCAGAUGUGAUGAUGUCAUUCACACUCAUCCCCACCAAAUCAAUUCCAAUGGAAUCAUGGAUUCCAGUCUUGAAUGCCAACUUAAGUUUGGUUCCUACACUAUCUGUACCAGCUACAAGAUACGAAUCCCCAAGUGGAAAAAGACCACCAAAGCCUCCAAUUCCAUGUGCCAUUUUGGCAGUCCUGCAUACAAGCUCUGAACCAGCAUCUAUGUCAACACCAACUUCUUUAUAUGUAAGGCCCUCUUCACAAUUGCUUUUAUCAUGUUGACAAAUUGUUACAAUGCUCUUUCAUUACUCAUCUCCUCUCCAGGUCAAGCAUUUGUUGCUCAACAACCUCAGAAUCAAACUUUUGUUACUCCAUCAGCAACAUUUUUUACUGCUGCAUCAACCAUGCCUCACUCACAAAGUCAGUCGUCUGUUGCUCCACAAGCUGUUUCCUCCCUCAAUGUACCAUUUAUGGCUUCUUCUUCAAACUCCUAGGAAAGUGAUGAAAAUCUUGCUCUUGCCACUGGACUUGUCAACUGUUAUAAUGCCUUUGUAGCUGGAGAGCUCCCACCUCAACUCUCAUUUGCUGACCUGGAUCAAAUUCAUCCAGAAGAUGUGGAAGAGAUGAAUAUUACAUGGCAGAUAGCUAUGGCAGUGUUCAGGACGAAGCAAUUUGCAAAGAAGACGGGAAAGAACAACUGGGGAAUGAAUGCAAACCAGAUAGAAGGAUGAACAAUGAUAGAAAGAUGGUUACCGUGGGAAAUAAUCGUGGAGGGGCUGCUGUCAACAGUGAGACUGCAAUGGUUGCUCAGUCUUUUGACUGGGAGGACCAAAUUCAGGCUCUAAAUAUUUCAAGACCUGAAAAUGCUCACUUGGCCCAGAUCGAUGAUGAUGUUCCUGUGAAGAAUGUUGAGGCUGAUCCAGAAGAAAAUAUGAUGGAAUUGUAGUUUGCUCUAAUAGUAUCUUCUACCUUAGAAUCCAAGGAGAAUGAGGUAAGUUUAUCUUCUUGUUCUCAAGCAUGCAUUGAUUAUGUUAAAAUUCUUCGUGAGGAAAUAAAAUCAUUACGUAGGGAAGUUGAGGACCUAAAAUACAAAGGUUAUUAACUCAGGAAAGGACAAAAACCCCUAAAGGCUCAAUUAGAAGCAAAAAUCAAAGACUUUAGGAGUCUUUAGGAAGACUAUAGCAACAAAUGUGAAAAUUAUGACUAUGUUAAGAGACAACUUGCUGAAUUGACUACUGAGCUUGACACAUUAAAAGGGUUUAGGAUACGAUAAAUUGCUUGCAAUUUAAACAUAAUCAGCAAAAGGGUUUAGGAUACGAUAAAUUGCAUCCCCCUUUCAAUCAUAAUUAUCAGUAUCACCCUCUGACUGAAGAGGAGAUUGCCAACGAACCAUUCAUGUUUUAUGGCAAACCAACUGGUUUUGUUUCAAGAGGAAUUAUUAAUAUUGAAAGUACUAAUGUUUCUACUUCCCCUGCAGAUCAAUCCUUAACUCAGUCAAAGAAAGAAGCUGAAGGAUAUGUUUUUGAUAAUAAAACUAUGUCUGGACCUGAUAAUAAAACUGUGUUUGAACCUGCUGUUUCUGUUUCGAAUGAAAACUUUAGUGUUUCUAAUGUUAAAAUUGAUGAUACAUCUUGUGAUUCUUCUGCAUUGGAUCAUGUUGAGUUGAAUUUUUUUGACAUAUUUGAUGACUUGUUUGAUAAUCCUUAUGCUCCUGAUGUUUCUGUUACAAGCACACCCACUCCACAAGUCACACAAUCUGAUGCACCCUCACUUAUCGCACAAUCUGUUUCUUACACAUGUUCUUGUGGGAAAAGUAAGGAUGUCAUUAAAGAAAAUAAAUCAAAAAAGGGAAAUACCAAUUUUAAUAACAAUAAACAGAUUUGUUUUAAUUGUGGUACUGGCGGUCAUAUUGCUAGGAAUUGUCACAAUCAAGAUUUUGUGCAUUUUCUGUCACCAAGAGGAGAGAACGAGUCUCGAGGAAGGUCUUUAACCAGAAAUUCCUCAAGAACUUGUUCUCGAGAUGAUGAUUUGAAGGAUGAUCAAAACAAGAAAAGGGCAGUUUUUCAAAGGAACAAACAGGUUUUUAAUAACAAAGUCAGAAACGGUUUGCCAAAAUCGAACAAGGCUCUGCAGAGAUCGGUUUCGUCAAAGAGCGGAUUUGGGUCUUCAACCACUUAUGGUAGAAAAUCCAGAUGCUUAAUGUAAACUGAAAGGAAAAAUGAUUCAAAACCACCAUGUUAGGGCUUCAACGGUUUAACCCUGUGUUGAAUCCCUCCUUCUCCUCCAGACACUUCGGUCACUCUGUUUCGCGCUCGCAGUUUCGUCUUCUAUAACACCACAAUAAAAAGGCAUCAUGAACGCCACAACAUUUGGAUAAAAUAUAGAGACAUCCAAGUACACAAUCAAGCCUUCUUGUCAUCAAUCAUCAUAUACCUCUCCCUUUUCUGCAACAACACACAAGCUUUCUUACUUGUCUAAGAAACCUACAAACUUAUCAUUCAGAAGAUAUUUUUGAGCCGGCUGCUCAAGAGUAUACUUCUAUGGUUGCUGAUAUCAUAAAAAAAAGGAUGUGGAAACGGGGCUAUGGGAAAAUCAGAUGUUCUUCUUGUCGACAAAGAUGGAGUCAAGCUAGUCCUAAACCAAGGGGAAGAUUGAAGGGUCCAGUUUAUGGUUUGGUCUAGGAUUUCCAUUGUAAAAGGUCUUUUGAGUCAUUUUAUGUAUUUUCAGGUUAUUUGGGUGUUUACAGCCAGGUCAUGUGUUUACGAUCGUAAACCCUGUUUACGGCCAGUGUCUUCUAUAUAUAGGGUUGGUCAAGGUCUUUUGUCGGUUGUUGAUGGUUUAGUAUUUGCGGCCUGAGUAUUCACAAGUUGUACCAGAUGUUUUUAUGAUAUAAACAUGUGCAAGCUUCUUUCUUCUUCUUCUUCUACUUCAAUUCUUACUCUUGUUGAUUGAUUGAUUGAUCACUAAUUAAGAUCAGUUUCUAGAACCUUAAAAUAUCUAAACUACAAAUAUGUCUAAAAGGAUAAAGUUUCCAAAUUUAUCCUGUGGGACUACUCCAAAUGCUCAAAAACCCAUCCACAAGGCUUGCAAACUCAAAAGCUUAACCAUUAAGCACAAAUCCUUGAGAUCUAGAACCCAACUUUAUCCAAGAGAGAUUCUAGACUCAAAAACGUCCCAAAGGUGGGUGCUUUAUAAACAUGCAUGUCCAAUGCAUGUCUUGAACCAAAAAGGGGAAAUAUGACCUAAACUCCAUGCAUGGCAUCAAAACGUGGAAAGGACCAUAUAUAACCCACUCCAAGGUUAUCUUGACCUGGAGAUUCAUAAAGUUGAAAACUUUAUGAAGCCCAUCCAUUGCAAUACCCAAGAAUAAGGAGAAAAAGGGACCAAAGUCAAGAUCUAGCUAAAUAGAUAGAUAAAAAUUCAGAUCUUGAAUAGUUACAAUGGUCCAAAGAGUGCCAAACUGCAGAUGUGAGCUUAGUUUGCUAGAUCCUUGCCUCUUUACUUCAAUCUUCUCCUUCUUUACUCCAAAAAAUGACACACUAAAUCACACGAUGAGGUGGAAUGAAGAUUAGGGUUUACAAGGUCGAUAUUAGGGUUUGGAGGAUGAUAAAAGAUCUGUCUCAAGGACUUAAAGAGGUUAAAUAGGUUGCAAACCCUAAAAUUUAGAUUUUCUCAUUCAACCGCCAACUCGUCAAUUUUUCCUCACCAACUCGUCAAGUUGGUCCAAAAAGAUGCACGUUCCAAAAGCCUUCGACACGUCGAGUUGAGGCCAUCAACUCGAUGAGUUCCAAGGGAAACUUGUCUUUAAAAUAAUAAAUCUCAUACCUAGGAAUUGAGAUGUUACAUAAGUACACACAAUACACACUCUAAUCUUUGAUUUUCCAUGGAUUUAAGCAACGAAGGUAUGGAUUUUUACCUUUUUUCUUCUUCCUUACAUUCAAGAAGCUUCAAAACACCAUUACAAUGGUGAUUUUCGGAUUUUUGGAUGAACCCUAGAAAUAUAGGUUUGGAAAUUUUGGUUAAAUUUAUUCAAUAUCUUUGUAGGAUAAGCUUGGUGAAGCAUUGCGGAGGAGAUUGCAAGUGUUUACAAGCAUCAACUUCGAGUUUCAAGCUCCAAAUAGAAUAUUCUCUUUCCAAUUACUUGACUUUGCAUUGUUAGUCAUAUAAGCUUGAAUCUUUGUGCUUAAGCUUUCAAAUUGAGUGUUAACUGUGUGUUGGUCCCUUGAAUUGGUUUUUGCAUUGUGCUUAAGAGUUAAAAUUUUCAUCUCUCUAAUGGCCUCAACAUCUUGUGAGGGUGGUAAGAAGGAUAAAUCAAAGCGUUCUAGAGUUGUUCACUCUAGUGAUAGUCAACGUGACCCAAAUCCCCCAUGCCAAUAUUUCGGUGACUUGGAAUUUUCAAAUCUGAAAUAAGAAGCUAAAUUUUAUAAUCUCUUCACUCGUAAACGUGUAACAUAGAGAUUCACGGAUAUUCCCGCUCUUGAUUACCUUCGUAUUCACGAUCAAGUUCACACCUUGUUUCAUCUUACUGGGUGGAAAGGUUGUUUUCACUUCAAGAUAUUGGUUAUGUACAACCCAUUCUUGAAUUUUUGUCAUCUGUUGCUUAUGAUCAACGAAUAGGAUAUCUUUCUUUCCAAGAAUUUAGUUGUAUCUAUCAGUUGCACAAAAAUCAAAUUUACGAGCUUAUUGGUGCCCAAAAUGCCAAUACUUACAUGCCUUUCCAAUACACAAAUGCUCUCUUCUCUGAAGAUAUCAAGUCUUUUUGGGAAAGAAUUGCAAGAUUGAGAUAUGUCGCAAGCUCUACGAAGGCAUUGGGUAUCAUUCAUCUUGUCCUUAAGGUCACUCAUCUAAUCCUUGCUUCCACUAUCCUUCGUCAACAAGAGAUUAGAAAGGCUGGACAAAAGGAAUUAGAACUCUUGUUGUGCACAAUUCACAAUCAGAAACACCUUCCAAAUUUUGGAUUGUGGGUAAUUUUCAAAUUGUUAAAAUUGUCUCGCAGCACAAGUGGACAAUUACAUUGUGCAUGUAUGAUCACUCUCAUCCUCAUGCACACAUCUCUAGGCAAUAUCUAUCUAUCCGGUCUUGAUGCCAUUCCUGUAGAAAUUCGCCUCACUAUGGAUGCUCUCCAUAAUAUGUGCCUAUUCGCAUGACAAUACAAGGUCGUAUUUAGACUGUUGAUACUUGUGAUUAUCUUAGCGUUGAUGAUCCUAAUAAUUAUCUUCUUACUUUGUCCGAUCCUAUCCAAAACACAACUUGGACUCUUAGGUCAAAUUUAGGUGUUUCAUUACCUUAACCUGAACUUGAGUCUAAGUCUAGUGAGGAUGAACCAAUUCCUAAUGUUGUUGCGCUAGUGCAACAAGAGCCUAUCAUGCACCCUUACCAUGACAUGUACAUGCAAGAAUUUCAAAGGUUGCAUGCUGACAAUAGGCGAUUACAUUGUGACAAUUUCGACCUUUAUAAUAGUAUUUGUGAGAUGAAUACCGAGAUUGUUGAUAUGAAAGAGGAUUUUUAUUCAUAUAGAGAGAGCCAACAAACCCACAACUCGCACGUGGAUACUCUUAUGUUUGACAUACAUCGAGUGCUUUGUAUGGGUGGUCAACCCACACAACCACCCUAUUAUCCCCAAUAUCUGCCCCUACACCCACCUCAAGAUCCUCAUCAAUGGUUGGUCCUGCUCUCUUUCCAAGCAUCAAGGACGAUGCAACAUUUAAAGCUUAGGGAUGGGUGAAUUUCAUUGCAUUUUUAUAUAAUUUUUAAAAAAAAAUCACAAAAAUAUUUUCAUUUUCAUCAUUUUGCAUUCAUCUCAUUAAAAAAACAUUAGAAAGUAGACCCGUCAAUCGUAAAGCAUGUGAGUGGUUAACCAUUUUGAAGCCAAACACAUACAAUANNNNNNNNNNNNNUUUCUCACUUCAAGGACUCUCACAUAAACAGAGAAUAAACAUUCUGAAGGUGUCCUCCAUGGUGACCCGUGGUGGUUUGGUUACUCAAAGUUAGAGGGUAGAUGAUUUUCUGUGUAAAGUUAGGGAGUGAAGGAAGGUAAAAAAUGUUUUAAAAACAUCGAUUCCCUUAAAUCCUGAUAAUAAAUACCGACUUCUUUUUAGAAAAGUCAUUUACCCAUUAUUAGAAAUUACUUUUAGGUAGACCUCUUUAAAGGGGAUUUCGUUUGUAUCCACAUGUCCGCAUGUUGAAUAAAGUAUUACAGAUCUAUUGGGCUACAAAAUCAAGCCAAAAUUUAAUUUCCCUCAUCAAAGGUCUCAAAGAGUUCAAUAUCUGAAAAGAUCGAUGAGAGAACCAUAAGCCAAGUCUUCCAACAAAGAGAUUUAGAAGCAAGCCAAUCAAAUAAAAGAAAAGUCUGAAUAACAACUUGAAGAAAUGAAAUAUAGAAGUUCAUCAAUAAAGUCAAAGAAAUCAAUUUGAAGAGUAAAAAAGACUAGAAACACAAAGAAAAUGGGUAGAUGCGGUGAUUGGUACUUUUAAGAGCAAGCCUAAGAUGGACAAUAAGUCUGGAUUGGGGAACAUGGUUGAGUCAACCUUGAGUUCACUAACUGAGUUUUGAGAAACGGUCCCUUUUUAAAAUAUGAUACCUUCCAAACUAAAGUAGCUUGACAUCGAGGUAGUCUAGAUUUUCUAAACCAUUGAAUCAAUGAAUUUCAUGUAAAGUCUCAUAACCCUCUAACUUGAACUCUAACCCACAUGACCGUCACUUUUAAGGACAACGUCCAAGGUGUGACUUUGUUGAGAUUUUCUUGAGAGUGAGACUAAUAAUUGAACAAUUUUUUUGUGUGUUUGGAUGAUUGGUAUUUGACUUUUAUACCCUUGGCGAUUGUUGAAAUUGCAAGUAAGAUUUUUGGACAAAAAACAAGGAUUUAAUUUCUUUUAGUUUAACCCUUACUAUUUUUUUCGUUUCAAUUAUGUUUUCAUGUAAAAUCAUUUUCAUUGCAUACAUUCAUUCUUAUUCUCAUAGGAUCUAUCUUUUACUUUCUUAUCUUUUUCGUUGUCUCUUUUGCCACCUAUAAACUGUCCCUUUCUUCCGGUUCUCGUUCUUUCUUAAGGAUAAGAAAAAUUCAAGCAUGGAGAGAUUUGUUAGGUGCAUAAAGUGCACUUUUUUACAUGCUUAUUUCAUGUUUAAUUAUAGUAUUGUAUAGCAUUUGGUGUAACUUUGUAUGCAUUUUUCAUUUUCGGUGCAUUAUCAAGGAUAUAUCUACUUUUCACCAUUUUGUGGAUGUUUCAGGGUGAUUUAAGGAUUGGAUCAUGCUUACGAUGUUUGUGGGAAGCUCUUGGCCAAGUUUGGGAUUUUUUGGAGCUAAAUUGAAGAAAUUGGAAAAUCAGAAAAAAUGCAUUUUUUAGGUAUUUACACGGCUCGUGCUUUCACAAAGGCAUAAAUUAUGUGGCCCGCGCUUAGCAAACCAUUCAUCAGGAAAAUACAUUACAAGGCUUAUGUAAUUUUAAGCGUGCCAUUAAAUGGAUCGUGUAACGUUGUCUGGCAGUUUUCCACAUUUUCAACUUUUGAUUUAUCUUGUCUUUUGGGGCACAUUUGAGGGGAAUUAGACCAUGUACUUAAGUAAUUUUGGGAGAUCAUACCACUACUUAGCACUUUGGAAACACUUUGAUUUGAAUUUUGUAAGUUUGUUUGAAGAUCAAAACUUGUUUAAUUUGUAUUUUGAUUUAACCAUGUGUGGCUAACUUUUUCUAUCAUUUCCGGUUCUAGAUUCUUAUGUGCUUGUUCUUUAGAUUGUAAUUUACACUUGAUUUCAUGUUUAUCAUCUAGUAAUCUUUGAUUUGAUCUUCAUUAAAAUGUGUGAUUUGUACUUAAUUUCUCUUGAUCAAUGGAAUUAGGGUUCUUAUUAUUCUAAUUAAUCAAAUUGUAAAAUUCGUAUAUGUUUGUAAGUCCCACAAACGCGAACAAACCAGUGAUCAAAUACAAUCAAGAUGCAAAAAUAGUAAGAAUUAGAAGGAGUAGAAGCAAAGAAGUUCCAACAAUGCACACGUUGUAUUCAGCUGUAAACGUCUAGUACACUUGGAACAGACACAGACACGUCUGACUCAUCUGACACAUCUGACAUGUUAUUUAUAUGACCACCAGUCACAAACACGUUCAUGGCCGUGAACAGGUUCACGGCCAUGAACCCUAUUCAGCCAUAAACACAACUACAAACACCUAUUACAUGACUUAAAACCCUAUCAAGACAUAUAUACAGAUUGAUGCCUAGCACAAUCCAACAAAAUGUGACCUAACAGUCCCCCCCUUGGUUUGAGCUAGCAUAGAUUUAGUCUUUUUCGAUUACCAACACAUAUGAUCUCCCCAUAGCACCUAGCCACAUCUUUUUAUCGAUGAUCUCCGCUAUCAUGCUAGUGAGCUCUUUGGCAGCAACCUCCAUGAUCUCCUGAUCGCAUAAAAUCUGAUGUGCAACCAAGGUAUGGAUGUCCCUUUCUCCAAACUGAAGCAGACCCUUCUUAUCAACAAGAUGGAAGCAACCAUCUUUGAACCUGAUUAUUUCAGUAGUUGUGGCUUCAUCGUAAACCCAAUAUAACAUGUCGCGUAGCAAACCAUCACAAAAGUUCUUGGUGAUGGGAAUCUUUGUUAUCUGCUUCGUUAAAGGCCACAUUACAUUCUUGAAGGGCUUGUUGGUGAUCGGGUCAAACACAUCUUUGGUUGUCUUCAAGAAAGACUUUGCGGUCAUCAUUCCAUCAAAUCCUCUCCUUACUUUUCUCUCUAAGAAGAGUUUAAAAUCAUUUGCAUGAGGAUCAUUGGAAGGGUUGGCGAAUGGAGCUUCAGAUAGCUCAGCGAGAUCCACCUUGGUGAAGGAAGAAAAAUCGUUCUUGUCUUUGUAAUAUUCUGAUAUGAGCAUAUUUAGUCAUAAAAAUCAUGCAUGAUCUUAAUACUUUAUGUUAAUUUUAUCUCAAAUAAUGAACCAAAGGUGCUUAAUUAGCUUAAAUAUUUCAUUUUCAGCAACAAAGACAUGCUCGAAAGGAAAAUGAAGCGGAACUAGCGAUUGGAAGCUUGGAUCUUCGAUUUUGAAGAAAGAAGGAUGUUGCUGGACAUUCCAUGCUAUUACUUUUUCGUUUCACCAGGCAGCAAUUGAGUUUAUCAUGAAAACCCCACAUAAGAAUUCUUGACCGAUCGCAGUAUUUGUGUUUGAACUUCUUCUUGUCGAGCUCAGUCAUUGUUAGUCUAGGUUAGUCCCCACAAAGAUUUUGAUCAAAAUUCUUCAUGAAAAGCAACCUUCCCCUCCUCUGUAAAGUGACCUGAUUCACAGGUCUUUUGAUUGUAAUUCUUAGAUGGGCUUGCUACGGUUCCUUUUCAAAAUAGUCAAUGAUUCGUGUGGUUCUGACUGUAGUAGAAUCGAUAACGGGAUCUUGUUGAGGUGUCUGGGCAGGGGUCUCAGCUCUGCCUGGUUCUAGGGGUGAGCAUAAUAACCGAACCAAAACCAAGUUAACCGAUAUAACCGAACCAUAAUAACCGAACCAUUUAAAGAACCGUUGGUUUGGUUUCUAUUUUUUGUUAACCGAUAACUAACGGUUCGGUUAUGGUUUUAUAGUUUAACCGAACCAUUAUUAACCGAACCGCUAACUUUAUAUUUUAAUAUAUAAAAAUUAUGGAUUAUAUAUAAAAUAAUAUAGUCAGACUUAUUUAAGACCCAUUAAAAUUUCAAAAUAUAAUCCAGUAAUCCUCACUUAUCAAGAGACGAACGAGCAAUAAGACCAUCAAAGGUUGAUCGCACAGACACACACAAUCUUCCAAUCAUGCAUUGAUCGAGUUGGAUUGUUGAUUAAUGUUGUAAUUCGUAAUCGGCUAAUUCUACAAUUUGCAAACAUUAUUUACAAUUAGUUUAAUCUUUACACUCAUAAUCUUAAUCGAAGGGUUCUUACACCGUUAAUCAUAAUCAAAGAUUGUUUUGAUUUUAUAGUCUUAUUCGAAGGAUUUUUUGACUUAAUAAUCAAGACUUUUAUGUAAGUUAAGUUUUUGGUUCUUCUUGACUCUUUGAUAUUAAGAAUGUACUUUUUUAGCUUUAUUUAUUUAUUGUGUUAACUUAAUCACAUUGAAUGUAUAAGUGAUUGGCUUUUUCUUAUCCAGAUAACACAUAAUAUGAAUGUUUGGCUCUUUUACUUGAUAGUUUUUGAUUUAAUCGCAUUAAACGUGUAUGAUUGUUUGACUUUAUUUUAAUAUUAACAUCAAUUAUCAAUAUAUGAAAUUAUUAAUGUCAAUCUUUUUUAUUGUUUUAUAUUUUUAUUGAAUGUUUUUGAUUUUGAAUGUGACUAUAUGUUAUCUCACUCUAAGUAUUAAAGGUACACAUUCUAUUACUAUAAGUUAGGUUACAAACAUUGGCGUCGAUGACUUUUUGGUAUUCUAUUUUCAUUUUUUAUGCCAAUAUAUUUUCGUCAUUUAUAUUAUUUUGAACAUUAUGGUUAACCAAUAUUAACCAUUAAUCAAAACCGUUAACCGAUAGAAACCAUUAACCAUAACCAAUAUUAACCAUACCUAAUGGUUACCAAAAUGAAUUAACCAAUCAUAAUGGUUAUGGUUCAGUUUUAACCAAUAACCGAACCAAACCGCCCCAUACACACCCCUACCUGGUUCUCCGACAGAUGAUUUGAAUUUGUUGCCAAAUUCUUCAGCUAGUUUGUGUUUAAGGUCGAAGUAACAGGCAGUCAAAGCUCCAAGAUGAUUCUGCAAGUCAGAAAUUUGUUUUGACUUUAGAGUAUUGUCUACUUCAAGCCCAGUAACUUGGGUGUCGACUUUCUCAAUAAAAACAUCUUUUUCAAUGAGUCUCUGAUUCAUAACACCAAUUUCUUCCUUGAGCUCUGACACAGAUGGGUCUUCUCUCCCUGAACUUCCUUCCCCUAUUGAUAUACCUUUGCCUUGUGGAGAAGGGUCUGAGUCAUGUUGAGCAAGAAACUUGGCAAGUCUUUCAGAUACGACAUCAUGCGCAGGUCGGAGAGGAGAACCCCCAGGAGCAGAAGAACUCCCAACUUCGAAUGAAGAUCUAACACCACUUGGUCCUUCUUGGGUUGGUCGUUCUUAGGUUGUUUGAUUGGUAUAGCAGCAUAAGUAGGUUGUUGAACUGGUGGAACUUGUUCUCUUACUAGCACUCCCGGCUUGGGAUCAGCUCUUCUUCUUUUCAGUGGAGGCUGGGAGGCUUGUGUCAUUAAAGGAUCACUUUCAAACAACACAGAGGAUGGAGUAACAACUGGGAGGAUGGGAUCCUUGAAUUUGUAUCCACAUUCAUUGAAGGAUCAGCCAACCAUUUGUUUAGAGGUAGGAGGUGUCACAUUGAGAACAUCACGAACUCCCUUUAUCUCCCUUGUCGGUUGUGCAACAUCAUGGACAUUUGCGAAGAAAUCAUUGAGGUCCUCAGUACUUAUUCUUAUAUCUUGAUCUUGGUCAGUACCAAAGAAUAGAUCUUCAUUAUCAUAACUAGUAAGAUCUUCACCAUGAUCCAUAUCAUCUUCACCAUCAUCUUCAUUUACAACAUUCUCCAUUAAUUUCAUCUCGAAAUCACUCUCAUCAUCAUCAUUAGCAUCCUCAUCAUCAUUUUCUUCUUCAACUGUUACGGGCACAUGCUCUUCGGCGACAAUCACCACUGGAGCAACAGGUUCCUCUUUGUGUUCAGAAGCAGUAAUCACUUCAUCUUCAGUUUCUUCAUAAGUUGAUGAACUUUUAGUCACAAACGCAUUACUGACUUCUACAAAUUGGCCAAAUUUCACCAAAGGAUAUUUGCCUUGGAACAUGAAGUUUCCUUUUCUAUUUUGCUUCAUAAUCCCAAAACUGUUAGAACCAAGGGAUUUCAAAUCAAGUAUUUCUCCUCUUUUCUCAAGUUCCGGGCAUUUGAUGUUGAAGAUCAUUUGUGGGAACCUCGGAAACAUGAGAAAAUUUUCUUUCUUCUUUCCUUCCAAGUUGUUUAUCAUCUCGUUCAGGAUGUAUCUUGAAAAGUUGAAGUCGAGACCCAUAGCGAGAGCAGCAAUGGCACCCGUGUUUAGUAACGAGAUCUCGUCGGCACCAGCUCUCCGUCCAGAGAUGUAGCUCACGAGCACAUGGACCAGGAACCUCCAAUAGGGUGGCAAUAGUUUCUUGAUCGUAGGAGGAAACACAUCCUCAUAGCCCAUUCGAUUGAUAAUCUCCUCAGUCUGGUCCAUGGGGAUCUCUGUUGGAAAUUCAGACUGGUCAGUGAUCUGUAAUACUUCACGUAUGACUUGCUCUGUUAUAGUGAUCUUCCUUCCAUUGACAGUUGCUUCUACGGAGAUUGGAUCAUCAUCUUCUUUGUGCACCGUAACUAUGUUCCAGAACUGCUUCACAAGAUUUUGAUAAAUCAUUGGACUGGAUGUGAGAGCAUAUGCCAAACAACAUUUCUUCAGUCCAUGAAUCAUGGACUUGAAGUCACCGUGUGCAGCUGGUGGAUCAACCAAAAAGAUGCAAAGGUUAUGGAUGUCUGCAAACUUCAAAUCUGCCAUAGUUGACCUGCACCAAUUGAGCCAAGUAAGAAAAACAAAUAUUUAAGCAAUUAAAAUUAGUUUUUCUCCUUAAUCAAUUAAUUAGGCUUUAAUAUUAAUUUUAAUUGAGCAAAAAUUGUGUUUAUGUCCAAAAGAGGGUUCACGGCCGUAAAAAGUUAAUGGCUGUGAACGGUUUAACAGUCAUGAAUGCCUCAACAGUGCCGAAAAUCAAAUUUCAUUCAAUAAACCCUGUAAACACAAUCGAUUCCUGUUAAAUUUAGUAUGAAUGAUGUCGCCAUGAGAGUACCUACACAAAUCAGCAAGCAAUUUCGAUAGAAAACACGAAAUGAAGAUGAAUUGAGAAAAGCUAUAAAGAGGGAGAGAGAGAGAGAGAGAGAGAGAGAGAGAGAGAAAGGAUGAAGGGUUCACGACCGUUAUCGAAUAAUGAAGCUGAUGAAGGUUAACGACCGAGAACUCAAACCUUUUAUAUUUGGACCCAUACCCGGUCCAAUACCCAUGGGCUGCAAACCCAAGAAGCUUCAAAUCUAAGCCCAAUAUUCCAAUUUUUUUUUUUUUUAAAUAAAAACAUUUUGAAGACAUAAAAAUUAUAAUAAAAUAAAAUAAAAUCUAAAUUUUUUAGCUAAACUAAUUUUGACUAAAUUUUUAACUUUUCAAUUUUUUAGAAAAAAAUAAAAUUAAAAUAAAAUAACAUAACACAAAUUUCUUUUUCACCAUUGCAGAUAUUCUUUUUGUGAUUUUGGGAUCAAAGUUUUAGGACAAUCUUAGUCCGUUUUUCAGUACCUCCACCUUUGUGACUAGAUCUGGUCAAUUGUCGGUAUUGUUGUCCACUUAAACACGAAAAAUUAUGACAAAAGAGGACAUAAUACAAGUGACAAGGUAUUUGACCCUAUGAUCCUAAAUAAUAUUCCUAGAAGACCAUUUAGCUGCUGACGACCACGGAUAUUAUUGUCCACCUAAAUUUAGCAGCGAGAUCUACAGACAACCUAUUAAAUGUUCAAAUUUAGGUGUACUAAAAUGUGUUUCCCGCUUCCUGACAUACUCCGAUAAUCAAGAACUUCCAGAAUACUCCUUACUUUAGGUGAGUAGACAAUUAUUAGGAGGGAAGUUAGAUGUAGAAUGCAUACGUUGUACACCCUGGUCGGAUUUUCCAAUCACAUAGAGGGAAAAACGUAUGACUAACUAGAUAGAGGGAUUGAGACAUAGAAUGAUGCAUAUGUAGUGUUCCAGGUCGGAUAAGGACUUAUCAUGCAAAAGAGACAACAUAUGACUAACAAACAGAAAGAAUUUGCAUAGAUAAGAAGAUGCAUAGAAGUAUAAUUGCAUAUGUUGUAGUGCAGGUCGGAUCUUCCAAUCAUGUAGAGGAGGCAACAUAUGACUAAUAGAAAGAAAGCAAGAAAAUAACCUUCUACAGACCUACUUUUUCGGAAUUCCCCAGUCGCCCUAUCAGUACCAGAAUUAAGGACAUGUGUCCAUACAUCGAGGAAAAAUUAUGCCACAGUUAUAGAUAUAGAUUACUUAAGUGAAGCCCGCAGAUUCCCAUGUAUAUCUCACUGCUCAAUCUACCCGAGUGUCGUAUUGUUAGACCAAACGGGAGUAUCUAAUUCAUAUUUUUUAAGUCCUUUCAUAGUCCAACUAUACCGAGUCUGGUCCAUUUAAAUCUUUCGUGCCUACCAGCGCAUCGAACACAGAUCCUAGACAGUUCAGUGUUUGUACCUUACACAAACCAAAAUUGUCUAUUAUCGGUUGAUAUCACUUACCCACACAUCACCUGCAUACAAACUCCAUUAAAAACAUAUUUUUGGAUUUUUUGAUUUUUAAAAUUUUGUUUUGUUUUUGUUUAUUUCUCCCCUUAAAUUUGUGCGUAGGAGAGAAGGAAAAUGAAAUGCGCAAAUUUAAACUAUUUAAAACAAAAGUUAGCCCUCAAAACGUAACAUUUUUAGAAAACCAACCAGCACAUCGAACUGAGCUUUCUUAAACGAUUUUGUGAGCAGAUUCGCUACACUAUUAUUGACCAAAUGUUGGAAAGGUUGGCGGGAAAAAUACACAAUUAUUGCUUGAUGGGUAUUCCCGUUUCCAUUAAAUACCAGUUGCACCCGAGGAUGAAGAAAAUACCACUUUGACAUGUCCAUGCAGAACGUUUACAUAUGGACAGAUGCCUUUUGGGCAUUGAAAUGCUCCCUCAACUUUUCAAAGGUGCAUGGUAACUAUUUUUUUCGAGUAUGUUGAGGAAAUCAUUGAGGUGUUUAUGGACAAUUUCACUGUUUAUGGUAAUUCCUUUCAUAAAUGUGUGGGUAAUUCAAAGAACAUUUGGCGAAGAUGUAUUGAGACCAACCUUGUUUUGAAUUAUGAAAAUUAUCAUUUAAUGGUUGAUAAAGGUUUCAUACUUGGACAUAUUGUGUUUUCUAAGGGUCUAGAGGUAGAUAAAUCAAAAACUGAUAACAUUAAGUUUUUACUUUAUCCCACUUGUGCUCGUAAGGUACGCUCGUUUUUGGAAAUGCCGCUUUUUAUUGAAGAUUCAUCAAGGAUUUUUCCAAGAUAUCUUGUCCCAUGUGUGAGCUACUACAAAGAGAUGUAGAUUGCAAAAUUUUCAAGGAGUGCAAGCAAGGUUUUGAUCGGUUGAAGGAGUUGUUAAUUUUAGCACCAAUACUUCAAUCACCGGAUUGUAGUUUUCCAUUUGAAAUCAUGUGUGAUGCUACUAAUCAUGCGGUCGGUGCAGUGUUAGGGAAAAGAAAAGAUCCAGUUCCUCUUGUCGUAUACUAUGCCUAAAAAAAAACUGAUGGUGCACAAGCCAAUUAUUAGACAAUCGAGAAAGAAUUGCUAUCUACUGUCUUUGCUUUAGAUAAAUUCCAUCAUUAUUUGUUAGGUUCUAAAGUGAUUGUUUAUUAUGAUCAUGCAACUCUUUGGUACCUACUUGCAAAGAAGGAUUCGAAGCCUGGACUCAUCCGACAGAUUUUGUUCUUACAAGAAUUUGACAUUGAAAUCAAGGACAAGUUGGGAAAAGAAAAUCUAGUGGUUGAUCAUCUUAGUAGGAUUGUCUCUCCCGAUGAACCAAAUCCCAUCCAUGACAUAUUUCCGGAUGAAAAUAUGUUUUCAGUAAAAGUUGCCCCGUGGUAUGCCGAUAUUGUGAACAAAAUCUCCACAAAUCAAUUUCCACUAGAUUUUACUCGUUGACAAAAAGACAAAAUCAAGAAAGAUUCCAAGAGGUAUGUACGGGAUGAUCCGUAUUUAUGGAAAUAUUGUGGUGACCAAAUGAUCAAACGAUGUAUUGAACACCAUGAGGUAUCUUCUAUCUUAGCAUUUUGUGACUCUUAUGCAAGUGGAGGACAUUUUGGUCCUUAAAGAACUUCAAGAAUAGUUUUACAGAAUGGGUUUUACUAGCCAAGUAGCUUCCAUGAUUCUUAUGUUUUUUGUGUAAGUUGUGAUAAAUAUCAAAAGAUGGGUUCUUUAAGCUGAAAGAAUCAAAUGCCCCUUUACCCCAUUUUAGUUUGUGAAGUUUUCGAUGUUUGGGGCAUUGAUUUCAUGGGUCCUUUCCUAUCAUGUUUGGGUUUUACUUACAUUCUUUUGGAUGUGUAUUAUGUUUCUAAGUGGGUGGAAUCUAAAGCCACCCAUACUAACUGAGAGAACAGGAUUGAUACGUAGGGACAAGGUUUGAGAACUCAAACCUUGAGUGAAUGCUUAAGAUCAAUGUCUGCUUGCUAAUGAUAGUUCGUCCUCACAUUUCCUCCUUACCUUCUACUUUUCUCUCUUCGACUUCUUGUUUCUAAGAAAACCCUUUCAACCUUUUCUUCAUAUUUUUCUAUGCUCGCCACUCGUUAUUUGGGAAGGGAUCUUACCAUUAAAGAAUGGUAAUCUUUCGAGUUUUGGUUCGGGUUCGUUCCCGAACACGGAGUGCAAAUCCCUUUACCUGAUGCAUCACUUUACAGUCCUCUCGAGGGAAAAGUCGACAUCCCAAUCGCCUUGUUCGAGGCGGGUCUGCGCAUGCCUACCACAGAUUUCUUCAACCUGAUUAUCCGGGAAUAUGGGUUUUCCGUGAGAGAGUUGACCCCUAUCGCUAUAAACAAGAUAGUGGGUUUUGAACUCUACUGUCGUGCCCUAGGCCACCUGCUGACUGUUCUGACUUUCAAGCACUUCUUCAGUGCCUUUACUCAGUAGGGGACUCUAACGCUUUCUCGUCGACAGGGAGUCCCCACUCUUAUCCACAUUAAGAAGUCCAAGAAGAACUGGCAGGAAAAGUUCUUAUGGGUGAACAACGAUCUCAUGGUGCUCAAUUACCCGAGGGCUAAGUUGUACGUCAACCAUGCUUCGACACUUUUUAGUGCUGAAAAUGAACUAGAUGACGUCCUAGAGAAGAUUAGUAUCAACUGUGAGGAUUGACUUGACUGCUUCUUGGCCUCCGUCAGAAUGAGCGCCGCUUAGAGGGCUCGCUGGAAAAUGCCCGGGUUUUUCUUUGAGAAAGAGGGUAUUUCUCUUGCUCCUCUUCCCCCCCCCCACUUUUUUUAAAUAAUCGGAAAAGCAUGUUUAAAUCAGCAUUCUGUUUAACCGUCGUUUGUCUUCUGUUUUGUUGCCAGGUGUGGAGGAGGUUGUUUCUAUAGAGAAAGCUCUUCAGCGUUUGUUCGACAGUGAGCUUCAUUGUCGCGACAUCGAUCUUGUGGAGGUUCUUCCACCCCUAUUUUUGGCCAAGGAAUUAGGUAAAUGUCGGUUGUGCUACUGUUACCGGCACCGGCGAGGAUCCAGAUCUGCAGGACAUUGUUGUCACUGGUGUUUCGCAGAAGGAUCCUACACCUUCCAGGUCCCCGAGGAGUCUCCUUCGUGUCAAGAGGCAUUUUUCUUUCUUUGAAGCCUCUUUCGCUGGUCGACCUGAGAUGGCCUACACCGGCCCCACUCUUCGUAAGAAAGAUAAUCUGAGUUUCUUACUAAGGGUACCAAGGAUUCCAACCGUUCCCCCGAUGAAAGUCCUCCGGAACUGCUGGAGGGGGCACAAAUCAGGGCGACUGAAACACCCUGUCAUACCAGAGAAGAAAACAUUGACAAGAACAGCCCUGUUCCCAUGACUGGGGGAGCUGAGGUGAAGACUGGAUCUUCGCCUUCCCAAGGUGUCGCAUCAACAUCUUCUAGUAAAACCGUAACCAUCCCCCUUCUUGUGGGUUCUGAUCUAGAUGCCUAUAAACCAGCUUGGAGACUAAUUGACCAAGACCUUUUCUCUGAUCACGACACUGCUCUUGAUUGGUAUAGCACGCUUUUCCUCCUACUACAACUGAGGCCUUGACUGUCAUGUCAGAUGAGCACAUGGCCAACGGCUUGCGUUACGCCGCCUCCCAAGUGUCAUCUUACUUGGCUGCAACUACUGAACGUAUCUCUGAUAUGGAGACCAUCCAAUCUGAUUCUAAUAGGAAAAGCAUUGAAUGUGAAGAGCUGAAAGACCAGGUGACCAAGAUAAAAGCCGACAAGUGUAGCUGGGAGGCCGAGCAGGAGGUGACACUAUUCGAGAAGGCAAGCUUAACAGAGCAAGUGGCAAAGCUGGAGGAGGAGGUGAGGUGCUUAAAUGAUUUUGUGGGAGCCCUGAGUCUAGAGAAUGUCGGUCUGAGCGAGCGAACAACAGAACUUGACGUUGAUCUGGUUGCUAGGAACGCUACAAAAGGAGCGCUGGAGAAGGAUGCUUCGUGGAUCCUUAGCGACGGGCUCAUCCGGGUGGUGGACAGGCUGAUCAAGAGCCCUCAAUUUCUCCAAGGCUUGGUUCAGGUGUGGGUAGCUUGUGUGGCAGAAAGGGUGAAGCAGGGAAAGAGAACUGCGAAAGAGCUGAUGACUGCCGGGGAGUUUAAUCCGGAGGUUGAGGUAGACGUGACCACUAAGACCCAAGAGAUGGAAGAUGGCAUGGCAAGUUUUACUAAAAUAGAUUUCGCUGGCUAUCUCCGCAUGGGCAGUCUGGACAUGGCCGAUGGGUUUGCCCUGGCUAAAGUUCUUCACCCGGUGAUGGUAACACCCAUGCCCACAAGUAGCGUUGUUUAUUUGAUUUGUUGUGAUGUAAUCUCAGUGAACAAUUUUUUUUUGUUUCUCUUUUUUUGUCUUUGCUUCCCUAGAGGCAGACUGAAAGUUCGGGUGUCCGGCAAUCUGACAAUUUCUACUUUUGGUUAUUGGGCAUGAAUGUUUUUCACUACCACAUAUAUUUUUGUUGUUUGGUUGCUUUGUGUAUGGUUUAUGUUGGCGAUCACAUGGUAUUUACGCAGGGUUUGCUUAUACCCUUGGUUUGAGUUCCUUCAUUGAUGAACUCUUUAUGCCUUUCUAAAGCUAGUCUUUGAGAAAUUUGUUCUAAUUUGCUGCUUAAGGACACUAGAUGUAGCCAAGAUCGUCAUCUUGAGGCUCACCCGAUUAUGAUUUUCUCAUUAGUGGAAGGUUAUGACUCUUCUACACUCAUGUCACAUGUUGUUUUGUAUGUUUGCUAUGAUGUGAUUGAUGAGCAUGUUUUGGGAGAAAGGUUAUGAGCCCUUUUUAAUACAAACUCGUUGGUUGCCUCCUUGUAACCAUUUCGGUCGAUAAAUGUACACAACCUCUUUGUUUUAAUUUUCAAGCUUGAAAAUAAGGAACAUAUGAAUUUCCUUUCUGUUUACUCUAGUUUUGUUUAGAGUGUAAUAAGACUGAAAGUAGUAAAGUAAUUCUUGCUGAUUACAUUUACAUGUUAAAACUAAUACACAAUGCUCUUGCUUUCAUUGAAUCUACCUUUAACACUCGUUUUAAGAGUAAAAGUGAUGCAUGCUCUGCGCAUUCCAUGUUCUUGGAAUGGUACGCCCGUCCUGAGCUUCUAGGACAUAAGCACCUUUCUUAUGGGCUUCCACGAUUUUGUAUAGUCCAUCCCGCGUGACACUGAGUUUCCCCAAUGUUUCAGCAUGGCUAGACUCGUUCUUUCUUAGCACCCAUUCUCCAAUUUUCAAGUUCUUGACUCGGACUUGGCGGUUGUAAUAGUUCUCAGUUCAUGAUUUGUAUAGUGCAUGGCACACUUGUGCCACCUCACGCUUUUCAUCGAGCAUGUCCAGGUCCUGGCAUCGCCCUUCUUCUUUGGCUGCUUCAUUGAAACUAUCUGUUCGCAAGGAGCCUACCACUAUUUCUAGGAGGAGGACUGCUUAUGUCCCAUAAGUUAAACUAAAUGGGGUUUCUCCUGUACUUGACCUUGCUAUGGUACGAUAUGACCACAACACGGUCGGGAGUUCAUCCACCCAGGCAGACUUUUAUCUGAGUAACCUUUUAUUCGAACCAUUGAAUAUGGUUUUUUUUAUAUCUCAGUUUGUCCCGUGGCCUGAGGAUGUGCUACUGAUGUGAACCGGUGAUGGAUUUUCUUGUCUUCACGCCACUCCUUGAAGGGACUUCCUUUAAAUUGCAUGCCCUUGUCACUUAUGAGGAUCCUAGGAGUUCCAAAAUGGGCCAUGCUGUUCUUGGUCAUAAAUUUCAUCAUCUGCUUGCCAGUGACAGUGGCCAGUGGUUCCACCUCUAUCCAUUUGGUAAAAUAAUCCACGGCUACCAGCAAAAACUUCACGCCCCCCGGUGCCGGUGGCAAAGAUCCCACUAUAUCCCCCCAUUGAUGGAAGGGCCAGGGGGUGGUGAUGCUAGUUAAUGGCAUUGUCGGUUGGUUUUGGAAAGGAGCGAAUUCUUGGCAUUCUUUUCAUUUCUUGGUUAGGGUUGCGACGUCAUUGUCCAUGUCUGGCCAAUAUACCCCUAGGCGGAGUAUUUUGAAUGUGAGUGCGCGAGCACCUUCGUGUGUUGCUGCGUCCCCGGAAUGGCUUUCUUCGAGGAAAUUUUUCCCCUUGGUUUUAGAGAUGAACUAUAACAUACUGACUCCCAGGUAUAAAAUUUAAUUAAUUUACAUUCAUGUUGUCAGAGAAAAUCGACGAGUUGGAGGCCCCAACUCGCCGGGUAGAGGGAUAAAUGGCCUUGUGAUUUUUAGAGUCUACUCUACGAGUUGGUGGACCCCAACUCGACGAGUAGGAGCUGAGUGUGAAAACCCUAAUUUUCAAGGUUUGUGUCAUAUUUAAAGGACCUGAAGCCUUCAUUUCCGCCUCCCUGAUCAUUUUGACACCUUAAGAGAAACCCUAAACGAGCUGGUAUCAUCCGUGUGUGUGUGUGCGAGAGAGAUAGAUAGAAAGAUAGAGAGAGAGAGAGAGAGAAAGAGACUAAAAGUGUGUGAUUUGGUUCAUUCUUGGAAAAAGAUAGAAGAGCAUAAGUCUUGGAACGAGAAGAAGCCUCUGAUCCAGUGUUUUUUCAAUGCUAGCUAAUUUUUGGAGGUAAAAAGCUAUCACCUUGAUCAUUGUUUGGUUAGAUCUCUUCUUUAGGGAGUUUGUGGCCAUUUCCAUCUUCCUUUUGAGCCUUUGAGUCAUUUGAGCAUACCAUGAAGUUGAAACUUUAGAUCUGGAUAGUAUGAGGUCCCUUGGGCCUAAAGGUGCAAGCUUUAUCAAGCUAUUGGCCAAGUUUUAUGCAUUAAGCCCUCCAUAGAGCUUUGUUUUAGCACUUUGAGUCCUAGGUGCCAUGCAUGGACGUAAAGCUUGCAUCUUUACGUGGUAUAUCAUCCUUGGGAAGCUAGAUCUAGAGUAUGGAACUUUAUUUUUGCUUAAAUUAUCUGAAUGAGAAAUGGACUUAAGGGACUCGAUGAGUGGAUGAGCCUACUCGACGAGUCGGUUAGGGUUUUCCCCGAUAGUCUGGACGCGCUACAACUCGGCGAGUUGAUGAGACAACUCGACGAGUUUGGUUGGAUUUUCCCGAUAGUCCAAAGAGAAUAAAGGAACUCGACGAGUCGCAUAGGUGCACUUGACGAGUUGGGUAAACAUGGACUGUUGACUCGAGCGUUGACUUCUAGGGUUUGGUCAAGACAUGAGUUAUGGAAAUCAUGGAGGGGUAAAAUAGUCUUUCACCCUUCCAAGAGUUAGAGAAGGGUUUAGACUAACUUUUUAGAGUUGCGGUUAUAAAGUGUUAAUUAGAGAUGAUUAUAUUAUGUAGGCGGAGUCUAGACUGUUCGUGGGGUACUAGAUCUACUUGCUUACUUACGAGGCGAGUCUUCUCACUAUACUUACCUGAGUGGUAAUAUUGUGUGACUGAAGGGUCUUAUUUGAGUUAUCAACUAGAGGGUCCUAUGUGCUUAUAUUAAGUUAUGUGAUAUUAUACAUUUUGUCUUACUGAUAUAUGCUAUUUUAUUCUAUGCCUCACUAAGUUAGGACCAGAGGGUCCAAACCGAGUUGUGAGACUAGAAGGUCUUCACUGAGAUACAGGACUGGAGGGUCCAACCCGAGCUGUGAGACUGAAGCAUCUUCACUGAGACACAUGACUGGAGGGCCCACACUGAGUCGUGAGACCGGAGGGUCCUCACCGAGACGCAUGACCGGAGGGUCCAUACCAAGCUAUAACCAUGAGAGGCUUAUUAUUUGUGUAUGUGGUAUUAUGGGGAACUCACUAAGCUUCAUGCUUACCGUGUUGUGUGAUAUGUAUUUCAGGUACUUCUCAGGAUCACGGGAAGGCGUCGAAUUGAUUGUACACACCAGAUAGAGAUCAUGAAUUUGAGGAUUCUGGGAUUUUAUCAAACAUUUGUUGACUUGUGUUUUGAAAACUUAUACAUUUUUGUGGUUUUUAGGAAAUGUGAUAUUAACUUUAUGUGAUUUUAAAAUGAAAAUUCUAUUUGAAAAUUUAUAGUGUUACAAGUUGGUAUCAGAGCCUUGGUUUGAGGGAUUCUGAUGUACUCUCGGGUAUGUCUGGACUCAAACUAAGGAUAUGAGAAAAUUUUCUAAAAAGAAAUGAUUUUUCUAAAACGAGUAACAGUUUAAAGAGAAAACGAGAUGGAGCAGUGUGUACAAUCAGCCAGAGCCUGAACUGUGAUUUCCCAAAAUACCAUUACUUGUUUAUAUUAUGAAAUAUUUAUGAGAUAUUUGAGCUACAUGCUAGAGGAUAGGCUAGGUAUUUCAGAAUUUAGUGCUAGAGUUGCCUGAUUCAUGAUGCCUUAGCUUAGGGUAUGCUAAUGAUUGAUCUUAUCUGCUAUUUGCUCUGUGUGUGUACUGAGUAGAGAAACAUAGUAGGAAUCUUUUACAGAGAGUUUUGAGUAAUCUAGGAGAGAUAGGUAGAUGAUUAUUAAGGAAUCUACCGAGAGAGUAGUUUAAUAUCCGUGAAGGAUAGAGUAUUUAUGAAUUAGGAUCCUAGGAGGAGGACUUGUGACAACUAUUGGUUGGUGUGGAAGGUAGUAUUGGGCUCGUACAAUUGAAAGCACCGGAUCUGUAUACGACCCAAGUAAGAAUCUUAGGAUGCUAAGGAGCGUAUAGGGGCUGGUAAAUGAGUAUGUGUGUGUUUGAGCUAGUCUCUGAUGAUUUUGUGUUUGCAUUUCAGAGAAACUAUGGUGAUUACCCACAACAAUCCCUAGAGCAGUGGUACCAGAGACGAGGAGAUUUGUAUGAUCAUUCAUGAGGAGGUGGCCGCAGCUAUUAGAGAGGCGAUACCAGAAAUUUCCGACUCUAUUAAGACCAUGUUGAUUGAGACAUUCGAUGAGCGAUAUGCUACUGUCAUGGAGGUUGCUGCUGCUGCAGCCACCGUGACCAUAACUGCUGCUAGGCCAUAGGGAGGUGACUUGUUUUUGUUCCGUGAGUUCAGCAACACAAAGCCACCAGAGCAUGAUGGGACGUAGGAUUCGAUUGUUUCCAUGAGAUUAAUCUCCGACAUUGAGGGGUGUUUCUAUACGUGUUCAUUCCCGGAGCAUCUGAGAGUUCGGUUUGCGCUGAACUAGCUUCGCUUGGGAGCGAAGGACUGGUGGAAGUUUGUGAUGACUGAUUUUACCCCUACAGAUCAUGCUGCACUGACUUGGGAGAGGUUCACCAAGUUAUUUAGAGAUGAGUAUGUUCCCCAAGUGGAGAGGGAACGUUUGGCAUAGGAGUUUCUAUCUUUCAAGAGGAAGAAAAAAUCGGUGACAGAGAUUACAAGGAUGUUUCAUGAGAUGGUGUUGUUCUGCCCUGAGUGCAUGUCUACUAAGCAGGCACGUGUGAGCCGAUAUUUGAGCAUCUUGAGGAGGGAUAUUCGGGAGUUCAUGGCGAACUCAUCUUAUCGGACAUUGGCUGAGUUGUAGACCAAUGCCAGGAGGAGAGAGAUUGAUAUGGAGAUUCAGACCAGGGAAGAGGGAGAGCAACAGGGGAGAGAUAGGAGACCAGUACAGUCACAGCCGGCAACAAAGCGGGCUAAGCCAGCUAAUUUGAGAGUUGGAGGGCAGAAGGUCCACACUUGUGGAAAGAGAGAGAAGAGUCAUGAGGGGUCUUUCCGAGCGAGAAUUUGCUACAAAUAUGGCAAGGAGGGGCAUAUGGAGAGGGACUGCCCCAAGGGGUUUUCGGUUUGCUUUCACUGCAACCAGACGGGCCACCGGAAGGUCGAGUGUCCCCAGCUCACUUAGGGAUCAACCCAUGCUUCUGCUCCUGGUGGUUUAUGUGUUAUUGAUGGUCGGGCUGGGAAGGUCGAGCCUCCGAGUGCUCGUGGGAGAGCAUUUUCGUUGACUGCGGAGGAGGUUCGCUCAGCGCCUGAUGUUGUUGCUGGUAUGUAUCUCCUUACUUAUGCUAUUUUGAGAUUUGUUUAUGUUUAUAUUGUGUUGUAUAUAGGUACUUUUCUUGUGAGUUAUGUUCCUUCUUUGGUGUUAUUUGACUCAGGUGCGAGUCGAUCUUUCGUGUCGUUAUCCUUUAGUCAUCACAUUAGUGCCAGACGCGAGGCAUUGAGUCGACCACUAAGGGUUUCUAUAGCUAAUGACCAUGCGGUUUUUGCCACUGAUGUAUUUUGGGGAUGGGUAUUAGAGAAUUUCAGUGUUGAGUUCCUGAUAGAUUUAGUGCCGAUAGUGAUGGGUGAUGUCUGUGUCAUAGUGGGCAUGGAUUGGUUGAGACGGUUCGGAGCUAUGAUUGACUGGGAGCAUUAGAUGGUGACCAUACGAGACCCUAGUGGGGGAGUACUUACUAUGUAUGGCAAGGGGACCAUAUCAGGAUUAGGUUUCUGCUCUGCUGCCAGGGUGAGGCAGAGUCUACAGCAGGGAUGCAUGGUCUUUUUAGCAUAUGUGAUGGAUACGAGAGUUGCCACUGAGAGGCCGAGUUCUAUCUCUGAUGUUCCGGUUCUGUUUGAGUUAACGGAUUGAUGAGAAUUGAUAUCGAGAUUUAGAAAGCAAUCAUGAUUGUUUGAAUGAAAAGUAAGAACACAGAAAGUAAUAUUAAUCAGAUCUUAUAUUGAUGAAGAACUGAUUACAAAAUUAAGCAGAGAAAACUUGUGAAUGAUGAAUCACUCGUUCAUCUGAUUACUCUACUUCUAACCUAAGUCCCUAUUUAUAGGAAACCUAAGUGUACAAAAAAUAUACUAAGUCCUGAACUAUACGCUUCGCAUAAAAGAAGACUUAGUAAAAUAACUAACAUGUGAAACUAAAGAAACAAACACUUCGACUUUUACAACAUUUAGUCUCUACAUUCUCCCCCUUUGUAAACAGUCGAAACUAUUCAGUUUGUAAGAUGCUGAAUAGUUGAGUGCAUUGUUCUUCGGAUUUCUGAAUACCAAGUGAUUAUCUUUGUAAGCUCCUUCUUGUCUCCUUCAUUGUUCUUCGCACAAUUAUUCAUACGAACAAUAAAAUUCGUAUAUUGAGAAGUAGUGUAUCUUUCUAUCUCUGAGACUUUGAACAAAAACUUCUUAGGCUUCCCCUUCGUAUAUUUUCCUACGAAAACCAUUCCAAACGGUUUAAGGCAAAUUUCUCCAUCUGCAUACUUCCUUAACUCCGUUUGAGGCAAGGUUGAUUCCCAAGAGACUGUAACUUUUCUUCCAAGACCCAAUGCAAGUUCUUCAUCAGUCAGUGCCAAGUAAUCAUAGUAGUUAUCUAUGAAUAUCUUGAUAUGUGCGAAACCAAAUCUGAACACAUUAGUAUCAUGUCCUUUCAGCUUGUUUUCUUUCAUUUCUUUGAGAAUAGAUGCCACUUGAAUGAGAUCAUUUAGAUUCAUCAAGGGAAAAUCAUCAAUGGUAAAGUCAAAUGCCUUGUUAUCUGCUCGAACCACAAAAUAUCGAAAGUUUUGAAGCAUGUUCUCGAACAUUACAUCCUUCUUGAUUGUUAAAACUUUCUUGAUUUUCAUUGAAGACCAAACCUCCUCUUGAUCCUUCGCAAGUACAACAUGAAAUCUUAUCUUCAAAUAAGUAUAUUCAUCAGCAUUAUCAAAAUUUUCACUUAUCUUGUACUGCACCGUAAUAAACAUCAUUUCGUUUAUUGGAAAAUCAAGUUGGCUUCUGUCUGAGUUCGAAACAUCAUAACUCCUUCUAGGCUUCUUUUCAAAUUCAUACAAGUCAUUACCCAACACUGUGGACUCAAUAGUUUCAUAAGAAUAUAACUUUGCAGGAUCACCCUUGUUCAUUAUUGGUGGGUCAUUUGCUCUUUGCCUCAUAAUACUUUGCACUUGUCUUAACCUUUUCAUUUCAGCUUCUGCCUCUGCUUUCUUUUCUUCUUUUGAUUUUUCAUGGACAAUCCCUUUUCCUAUCCUCAGUUUGAGGUUUCACACUUGAACUUCCUCCUUCUUUUGAACCAAUUGUGAUUCCUUUGGUAAUUGGUUUUGUUGUAGUUACUGUUGCAGAAAUUGGCUUUGUGAGCACUGGCAAAGAUGUUUUAAUUUGAGUUGAAUGAAUCUUCCCAACAGUUUUCGCAUCCUCUCCUUUACUUCCUUUUAUUUCUCCCCCUUGCACCCCUUUGAAAGCAGGUGGGGCAUUCUUCGGCAAAAGCGAAGUAAAAUUGGUAAUCGGAGCCAAUGCCUUCUGAAUAGCUUGCUCUAAAGUGUUAACUUUGAGAGUUAAGAAUUCGGGAGUAAGAAUCGAUUGUUUAGAAGGUUGUGAAACACAACUUUUUAAUUCAGUAACCAACUGAAUUAAUUUGGAAAACUGCUCCUUAUUGUCUUGAUGUUUGGCUUCGAUAAGGUGAGCAGACGGUUUAUAAUCAGCAGCAAGCUUGGUCUGUGCUUCAGCAAGAAUAUCAACACGUUUUUGUACAUCUAGAUUUUGCGAAUUAAUGUAUUGAAGCUCCUUCACAAUUUCUUUCUUUAACUCCUCAAUUUUGAAGUUAACAUCUUCCCUGACCUUCUUGACAUCCUGUACAAAAAGAACAUGACGUUCUUUUGUAACAUUUUUCAAUUCACGAACAACAUCAUCAAAAGAUUUCCCUUGAGCUUGAAUGUGAAGCUUAUUGUUCUUGUUAGAAUGAUCAACUUUGUCAGUGAAUCGUUUCUCAGCAGCUUUAAUCAUUGACUCAACCUCUAAACCCGAAAUGGAAGACUGCGUGCCCGAAUCGGCUUGAGAUUGAAUAAUAGCAUUUAACUUUCGAUUUAGGAUUUUGAAUUGCUUUCCUGACAUAAGCAAAUGAUCAGGUAUCUCCUCCUCCUCUUAAUCGAAAUGUAAAGCCUCAAACGUCCCUCCAAAACCACCUCCUUCGGUUUCUUCAUCAGACAUAGCUUGCGAAGGUUGUGGUGUUUCAGGUGAUUGUAGUGGAAAUAAUGUGGUGAAUGGAUGUUGUAAAGGAUGAUCAAAAAUUGAGGAAGUGGUGAUAUUUGUGUUUGGAAGAAAAAAUGGUGGUAAUGAGACAGAUAAAUUCUCAGAUGAAAUGGGCAAAGAUGAAGAUAAAAUGAUUGGCAUGGUAGUGUCGACACUCGUGAUAGGUGCCCCCGUAUCAGAUACGUUGACAACCAUAUCCGAAGUAGGUACCUCCUCAGGAACUGAUUUGGUAGUGACUACUUCAAGUGAAAUGGUGGCGGAAGUGGAAAUUUGCGAAGUGAUAGGAAGAGAUGCGAUUACCAUUGGUGAAGUUGAGACAGGUGGAGUUUCAGGAACAACUUCUUCAUCUGAUGAUUCAUUGCGAAUAAUCAGCUUUCGUUUCUUGUAGAGCUUUUGUGUAAUAUGCUUCGCAACGUCUUGAGCUCUUUUUCUUUUUGAACCAGGAGAAACAGGAGUUGGAACGUCUCUAAACACAACCCCCUUACUACUCACCUCAGUUUUGCGAAUAGUAGGAGAGGUAGUCGUCGUCUGUUCUGAUUUGCGAAGCUUCUUUAAUACCCCUGACUUUGUCGGUAUUAUCUCCUUCUUAGUUUUAGGAGAAAGCUCAUCUUUCGCAACUCCUUCAUGUUUUUCUUCCUUUUUAGUUUUCUUCUUCUUCUUUGAGGACUCUCCACUAACUUCGAAAAGUAUUCCAAUUCGCACAUUUGGAUCAAAAGUCUUCAUGUAGCGAACUAAAACUUUGUGGGUAGAAGACACCUUGCGAAGCAUUGCACCAGGAAUUCUUGCAACACUUGUGAAGAUAUUUUCAUCAUCUUCAACCACUUUUGGAAACUGAUAUAAUGAGAAUUCCGCAACAUCUGCUCCUUCAGGAACUGGAAUUCCCUCCUUCGCAUAAACUUUUUCAAGAAUUAAGCUCCAGUACCAUGCACAAGAAAUGCCCUUAUCCACAUUAGUGUUUUCUAAACUUUUGAUGAACUCCUUCCAAAGUUGAGUUCCAUAAUCAACAGUAAGAUCAUAGUAGAGACCCAUAACCAUUGCAUAGACCUCCAUCCUAUCCUUGUCUAGACCAACAGUCCUUCAUGUUAAACACCGUAGAAAGAUUCCAAAUAGAAAGUUCCACAUGCAAGGUAAACCUGAUUUCCUAAAAUCACUAAUCUUUUCAAGAGUGGGUUGAUGUCCCAUCUCAUUGAACAUGAAGAUAAUAUGUGAAUUUAUGGGUUUAAAGAAUGGUGGGUUAUGAGGUAUGUUCAGAAAGUCAAUGAACAUGUUCUUGGUCAGACGAACCCUUUUGUUGUUCAUGAGAUUGAAAGUGAUGAUAUCAGUUGAAUAGUUGUAUGACGCAGUUGAUGCCGCCAUUGACAACCAGGUCAUCGUGAUGAGAAUUGUUAUCGAGAAUUAAGAUGCGAAACAAUAGAUUUGAAUCAUGAAUGAUAAAGAACACACGAAGUAAAUAAUAAUCAGAUCUCGUUUUAUUAAGACUGAUUACAGAGAAAGCUGAAGAGAGUUUUUGUGUUUCGAUAUUGUCCCCUCUACUUCAAGCCUAAGUCCCUAUUUAUAGGGAACUUACAAAAAAUAUACUAAGUCUUAUACUAUGAAAGUUCGCAUGCUACACUUCGCAUAUAAAAUUGACUUAGUAAAAUACAUACAAAAUGCGAAUCAUUACAAGACACACUAUUCGACUUUUACAACUAACAUCUACAUUCUCCCCCUUUGUAAACAGUCGAUACAAUUCAACUUAAAAGUUUUUGAAUUGCAGAGUGAAUCGUUCUUCGCACUUCUCCAUACCGGGAGAUCACCUUCUUCAAGUCCUUCUUGUCCUCUUCGUUAUUUUUCUUGCAAUUAUUCAUACGUACAAUGAAGUGCGUAUAUUGCGAAGAAUUGUAUCUUUCAAUCUCUGAAGCUUUGAACAAGAACUUCUUCGGUUUCCCCUUAGUGUCUCUUCCCGAAAACACCAUGCCAAAUGGUUUAAGGCAUAUCUCUCAUACAACAUACUUUGACAAAGCUGAUUGUGUCAAAGUAUCUUCCCAAGGAACUUUCACCUCUCUUCCAAGCACAUUCGCUAACUCCUCAUCAGUCAGUGCAAGACAAUCGAAGUAGNUAUAAGUCUUCACAUGUGCGAAUCUGACUUUAAAAACAUCUGUCUCUGAGCCUUUGAGUUUGUUCUCUUCCAUGUGCUUCAGAAUAAGAGCUACUUGAAUGAGAUCGUUGCAGUUCAUCAAUGGAAAGUCAGCAAUAGUGAAGUCGUAUUAUUUGUUGUCUGCCCUGAUGACAUAAUAUAGAAAAUUUUGAAGCAUGUCUUCAAACAAAACAUCCUUCUUUAUUGUGAGCACCUUCUUGAUCUUCAUCAGGGACCAGACUUCAUCAGGAUUCUUCCCAAGAACAGCAUGAAAUCUAAUUUUCAUGUGAGUGUAGUCAUCCGGAUUAUCGAAUUUCUCACUGAUCUUUUAUUGAGCUGUGAUGAACAGCAUUUCAUUGAUAGGGAAGUCCAGCUGACAGUGAUCUGAGUUCGCAAUGUCAUAACUUCUUUUGGGCUUCUUCUCGAACUCAUACAUCUCCCUUCCUACAACUUUAGACUCUAUUGUUUCGUAAGAGUAAAGUUUCGCAGGAUCACCUUUGUUCAUCGAGGGAGGAUCACUUGCUCGUUGUCGCAUUAUACUCUGGACUUGUCUCAUUCUUUCAAGUUCAGCUUCAGCAUCAGCUUUUAUCUCUUCUUUCGACUUUUCAUACAGGAUGCCCUUUCCUUUUCCUGUAACAUCCUUCUGAGGUUGAGAACUCGAACCUCCUUCGUUUCCUCCAAUAACAAUUCCCUUUGAAAUUGUUUUUGUAGUAAUUGUUGUUGAAGAAAUCGGUUUAGUAGGAAUUGGAAUAGUUGCAACCAGUUGAGUCGAGAUGACUUUUCCCACUGUUUUGGCAUCAGCUUCUUUGCUUCGGCUUUUCUCUCCCCCUUGCGCCCCUAUGAAAACAGGUGGAGCACUCUUCGGAAGUAAAGAACUGAAGUUUGAAAUCGGAGCAAGAGCCUUCUGAAUGGCUUGUUCUAAAGUGUUAAUCUUUAGAGACAAGAAUUUGGGAGUAAGGAUUUGCGAAGUGGAAGAUUGCGAAACUGCUGAUUUGAGCUCCGUAACCAAUUUGAUCAGGUGAUCAAACUUCUCCAUGGUAGUAGCUUUGUGAUCAUCAGCAACAGGAAUGUUGUUGAGUUUGUGGAUUUGAGACGAAAUUUCCACAACCUGCUUGUGAAGAUCUUGCUGUCUUGUAUUUACUGCUUGAAGAUCCUUCGCAAGGUCAGACUUCAACUCCUGAAUUUUAAAGUUGAUGUCCUCACGAACUUUCUUAACGUCUUGGAUAAAAAGAAUGUGUCUUUCUUUUGUAGCAGCUUUAAGGUCUUGUACUGCAGACGUAAAAUUGUGCCCUUGUGCUUGCACUCUGAGUUCGUUAUUUUUGUCGGACUGAUCGACUUUCUCCAUAAUGCGUUUCUCAGCCCCUUUGAUCAUCACAUUCACCUCCAUUGCUGAGAUUGAAGACAUUCUCCCAAAAUCGGCUUGCGAUUGGAUAAUGGCCUUCAAUUUUUGAUUGAGUAUUUUGAACUGCUUUCCUGUCAUCAGCAUAUGAUCAGGAAUGUCUUCUUCAUCAGAAUCAAACGAAAUGUCAUCAAGAACUCCUCCAAAAGCACCUCCUUCGAUUUCUGGAUCUGACAUUUGUUGCGAAGGUGGAGGAUUCUCAGGUGAUUGAGAUGGAAAUAGGGUAGUGAAUGGGUUUUGAAGGGCAUGGUCGAAUAUGGAUGAAGUGGUGGUUAUUGGUAGUGUGGAUGCAACACUCGGGAUAGGUGCCCCCGUAUCAGAUACGUUGACAACCAUAUCCGAAAUAGGUACCUCCUCAGUAACUGACUUGGUAAGAACUAUUUCGAGUGGUUGGGUUUGAGAAAUAGUGGUGGAAAUAUGCGAAGGUUGAGAAAUAGGUAAAGAAACUGUUACCAUGGUUGUGACGGGUGGUGUUUCUGGGACAAUUUCUUCGUCGGAUGAUUCAUUGCGAAUCACCAUCUUCCUUUUCUUGCCCAGUGUUCGUUGCAUGUUUUUCGCAACGUCUUCUGCCCUUUGUCGUUUCUUUCCAGGAGAUACUGGUGCAGGAAUGCUGCGAAUAGUAACUCCCUUACUACUCACCUCUGCCUUGCGAAUUUGUUUUAACACUCUAGACUUAGAGGGUAAAACAUCUUUCUUUACUUCUUCUUCUUGAACGAUUGGUGAAGAUAAACCCUUCGCAGGUUUCUUGCUCCCCUUCUUCUUCUUCGAUGGAGUAGCAACUUCAGGUAAUACACCCGACUGAUCAGCUGUGUCAAUGUUUCGCAAAUAUCUCACCAACACUUUGUGAGUGGGAGAUACUUUGCGAAGCAUCGCAUCCGGAAUGCGAGCUACCCGGGUGAAUAUGGCUUCAUCAUCUUCUACCACUUUGGGAAAUUGGUAAAGCGAAAACUCAGCCACUUCGACAUCUGAUACGAUCGGAAUUGCUUCUUUCUCGUAGACUUUCUCCAGGAUCAGACUCCAGUACCUGGCACAGGAUAUCCCCUUCUCCAAAUUCGUGUUUUCCAGACUUUUAACGAAUUCCUUCCAAAGUUGAGUCGCAUAGUCGACAUUGAUGUUAUAGUAGAUACCCAUUACCAUGGCAUACACUUCAACUCUUCUUCUGUCUAAGCCGACUGAUCUUCCUGUAAGACACCUUAAGAAAAUUCCAAACAGAAAAUUCCAGAUACAGGGCAAUCCCGACUUCCGAAAAUCACUAAUCUUUUCCAACUCCGGUUGAUGUCCCAUCUCGUUGAACAUGUGAAUGAUCUGGGAGUUGACAGGUUUAACAAAGGGUGGGUUGUUGGGAAUCUCCAAGAACUCCACGAACAAGUUGUUGGACAGUUUAACCCUCUUGUUGUUGACUAGGUUGAAGGUAAUCACAUCUGCCGUGUGAUUGUAGGAAGCCAUGGAUGCAGCACGAGAUAACCAGAUCAUCGGAACUGGGACUGAUCGGAACAUGGCUUUUGAUAACGGUGAUCGUUUCAAAGCCACGAUGAGCAUCUUCAAGUCUUCUGGAUAAGCGGAUAUAUUGGGAUCAACUUGAUAGUUUGUGCUUUGAAUCUUCAUGAGGGAUUGAGAAAGGACCUCAUCAUUGUUUGAGUUUGUGGCUGCCAUUGUUAGCUUUUGAAAGAAAUUUGAAAUUUUGAUCAAGAUGAAAGCUUUGAAGGUUGUGAGAAUUCUUGUUUGUGUAACCGUUCACAGUGUCUUUCAUCCCCCUUUUAUAGGUUACUCAAAAUUUGAUUUGAAAUUAAAGCGGGAUGCAUUUAAUGUUAUCCGAUGUGGCACCUUGAAUCUCAGAUCAUUGCUGUAAAAGAGUACUAGGCAACAAAAAGUAACUGUCACAUCUCCUCGAAAACCGGAUAGAAUACCAACCAUUUUUAGUAGACANACAGCCUGUCAAGUAUCCGUUAUAGAAUCCGAACCGGUAAAACCCUUCGCAUGGAAGCAAGGCUCUUUCACUUUUGGGAUUUAAAGCGAAGUCAUAUGCCAGACUUGCGAAAUCAUCAGUCUGAGUUGGUUUUACUCAGAACCUCAAGGAUUUCGUGUGUGCAUUGUGCCAAUGAAAUAAGAUAAGAAUCAAGAAAUUUUUGGAAUGUGGUGAUGUCAAAAAGUUAAUUUGACAUGAAUGCAGUAAAACCCCAGGCAAAGGUUGCUUCGUUAAUUAUCAAGAGAGAUAAUCAACAGCUUGUGUAGUUUCCCGUGAAUUACAAUCGAAUACUUGUAAAGAAGUAUCAAAGGGCUUCUUUUAAAAGUCAUUUUGGGUUGGUUCGAAAUUUCAUUACAUAUCAGCCUUAACAUAAGGUGAGAAAUUGUAAAUGAAAUUACUUGUUUGACCAGUGUAGUCAGUGACAAGUUGGCUUGUGAAAAUAUUUAUCAUGACAAGAAUUUGCGAAUGAAACUUGCACUGAUAUCAUAUUCAAGAGAAAAUUUGUUUUGGAUCUUGUUGGGUAACAAAUAUUCUUGGCUGUAAAUAUUUGAUCAAGACCACGCAGGCGAAUUGAAUAUGAUUUGAAGUUUCGAAAUUUUUGAUACUGAAACAAAGGUUUCGUAAAAAUCUGGAACAAAGUUCCCCGUCAAUUCCUUAAAGGGGUAUGAUUUUUGGGUUUCACUUUCAUCACGGACUCAUGAUGUUAGAUCUUAAACACAGAGUUGUGAUUUGUCUAGGUUUUGAUUGGUUUUACCAAAGACCUCAAGGACAAAUCUUUUAAAAAAAAAUUUGGAUUUGAAGAACAUUUUGGUUUAAAAAGAUUGGUUAAGAAGCAAAGUGUACCUCUGUUAUUAUGUGGACAAAACAGAAAACUCUUAACUCAUUUGAGAAGAGUAAGGUAGCUCUUGUUGAUUUAUGCGAAUACAAGCCUUGUUGGGUAGAAAUGUUCAUGAGAUGAUUUCAUCAAGGCUUUCAUUUUUCACACAUAGAAUCAUUCGAGGCUUGAGGUCUACAUACAGCAGCAUGCUUCUAGGGACAUCCUAACUAGUUUGAAAAAGAAAUUUAAUACCUUCCCAUAGAAACAUAAAUGUAUGACCUCUUCGCAUUGUAUCCUUGUAUUAAAUGCUCAACACACAGUUUUUUAAAAAAAACUAAGAAAAACAAAAUUAUUUUUGUGAUUUUGGAAUUUUUCAAAAACGAAAGAACAAAACAAAUAAAAUCUUUUUGUAUUUUUAAUUUUUUUUUUCAAAUUUAAAGAACAAAAAAAAUAAAAUCUUUUUGGAUUUUUAAUUUUUCAGAAAAAUAAAAUCUUUUUGGAUUUUCGAUUUUUCAUAACUAAAACAGUAUGUGUAAACCUUACCAUUGUGAUUAGGAGCCAGAUGCGAAAAACUGUGGUUGCGAAGCCAUGCGAAGCCUUCUGAAUGAACAGUAACCUCUGAAUGAUUUCGACUCUUAGCUGCUGAACAAAGCUUUUACUCUUGUGUUGACAAAAUUGAAUUCGCAUUAAUCAUCCCCAAACCUGCUAAAAUUCGAACAAAUGAUUUUUCAUCAAGAGGUUUUGUAAAAAUAUCAGCAAGUUGUUCAGUUGUUUUGACAAAAUGAAUUUCAAUAUUCCCAUCUUCCACAUGAUCUUUAAUAAAAUGAUAUCGAAGAGCAAUGUGUUUUGUCUUUGAAUGUUGUACUGGAUUGUGACAAAUGCGAAUUGCACUUUGCGAAUCACAAUACAAAGGAAUCUUUUUCAUGUUUAUUGCAUAAUCACGAAGUUGACUCUGAAUCCAGAUAAUUUGCGAAGUACAAGCAGCUGCAGAUAUGUAUUCUGCCUCAGCGGUUGAUAUAGCCACACAAGUUUGUUUCUUUGAUUGCCAACUCACUAACUUUCCAUCCAAAAGUUGACAUCCACCAGUUGUACUUUUUCUGUCCAAAGUACAUCCUCCUAGAUCUGAGUCUGAAAAAGCUUGAAUGAAAAAUCCUGUUUUCGCAGGAUACCAUAGUCCUAAAGAAACAGUUCCCUUGAGAUAUCGAAAAAUAUUUUUCACUGCAGUCAAAUGAGGCUCUCUUGGAUUAGCUUGAAAUCUAGCACAACAACAAACCGAAAACAUAAUAUCAGGUCUACUUGCAGUUAAGUACAAUAAAGACCCUAUCAUGCUACGAUACAGUGUUAGAUCAACAGCAGGAGCAUCUAACGAAGGAGUUAGUCUUGUUCCUACUGCCAUAGGUACUCUGAGCUUUGUGCUAUUUAGCAUUCCAAACUUUUCAAGCAAGUUCUUCGUAUAUUUUUCUUGAUUGAUUAAGAUUCCUUCUCUGUUCUGCCUUAUAUUUAAACCAAGAAAAUUAUUAAUUUUUCCCAUCAUGCUCAUUUCAAACUGACUUUUCAUUAAAUUUUCAAAUUCAAUUGACAAUGCUGGAUCAGUUGAACCAAAGAUAAUAUCAUCAACAUAAAUUUGAACAAGCAUUAGAUGACACCCAACUUUCUUGCGAAAUAAUGUGGGGUCAACUGAUCCUUGUUUAAAUUUAGAUUGUUUCAAGAAAUUUGUAAGUGUUGCGUACCAGGCCCUUGGUGCUUGUUUUAACCCAUAUACAGCUUUGUCAAGGACAUACACAUGAUCAGGAUACUCACUGUUUACAAACCCUGGUGGUUGUUCAACAUACACUGUUUCUUCGAGUUUUCCAUUUAAGAAUGCACAUUUAACAUCCAUUUGAUAAACAUCAAAGUCUUUGUGAGCUGCAUAGGCUAAAAAUAUGCGAACUGCUUCAAGUCUUGCAACAGGUGCAAAUGUUUCUUCAUAGUCAAUGCCUUCUUGUUGCGAAUAACCUUUUACCACUAGUCUUGCUUUAUUUCGAAUAAUAUUGCCAUCUUUGUCGGUUUUGUUUUUAAAAAUCCAUUUUAAUCCAACAAUUGAAACAUCAGAGGGUUUAGAAACUAAUCUCCAAACCUUGUUUCGUUCAAAUUCUGCCAAUUCAGAUUGCAUAGCAACAACCCAAUCUGAGUGUUCCAUAGCAUUCUUGACAGUUUUUGGCUCUAUUUUCGAAAUAAAAACAUUAAACAUGCAAAGUUCUUGGUUUGCAUUCAGUACCUCAUUUUUCGCACGAAUUUGAGCUCUAGUCAACACACCUUCUUGUAGAUUUCCAAUUACCUGUUCUUUUGGAUGAUUUCUUGUCCAUUUCUCGAGUGGUGGAAAAUUUGGAUCAAAUUCUAAUGGUGCAUCUUCAAACAUAUCUUCAUUUUCAGAUCCUGCAACAGAAAAAUUAUCAUUAACUUCAUGAAAUUCGUCAUUAUUAUCAAGAUUAAUUGUCUCUGUUUCAUCAUGCUCCCCCUCAACAUGAUCUGUAUCUUGAUAUUCUUGUCGAUUUUGCGAAUGCUCCCCCUCAACUUGAUGUUCUUGUUGAUUUUGCGAAGGCUCCCCCUCAACUUGAUGUUCUAGUUGAUUUUGCGAAGGCUCCCCCUCAACUGGAUGUUCUUGUUCCUUGUGAAUAUCUGAUGUGCUUUCACAAGUUAUCGUUGAUUCAUCAGUAUGUUUUGAAGAUUCUGAUGUUUGAUUAUCAGGAGCAUUACUUUCUGCAUCAAUGGCCCUGUCAGGAAUUCCAAAAAUCAAGUCAUAAUCAAAAUCAUUGAUUUCAGAAUUAUCAAUUGGAUUAUGUGAAUCUACAAGUAUUGAUUUAUUCUCAAAUUUACUAUCAAUCUGUUUAAGAUAGUAAUCAUCAAAUGUUAAAUUGAACGUUUCUUCAAUUUUUCUUGUUCGUUUGUUUAGCACUCUGUAUGCAACUGAAUUCUGUGAAUAUCCUAAAAAGAUGCCUUCAUCAGCUUUAGCUUGAAACUUGGACAAAUUAUCUUUUAGAUUCAUGAUAAAGCACCUGCAACCAAAAACAUGAAAGAAUUUUACAUUAGGUUUCCGAUUAUUGAUUAUUUCAUAUGGAGUAACAUUAAAUCUUCGAUGAAUGAAUGAUCGAUUUUGAGUAAAACAUGCUGUGGACACAGCUUCUGCCCAAAGAUAUUGAGGUAGAUUCGCAUAUGUCAACAUUGUUCUGGCAGCUUCGCAUAGAGAUCGAUUUCUUCUUUCAACUACACCAUUCUGUUGUGGUGUAUACGGUGAUGAAAAAUUAUGCGAAAUGCCUUUGCUUGUGAGAAAACUUUCAAGAGUUUGAUUUUUAAACUCAGAACCAUUAUCACUUUUAAUUUUUCGCACAUUCUUCUUCAGACUAACUUCAAUCUUUUUGAUAAAAUCAAUCAUCGUCUGAGCAACUUCAGAUUUCAACCUGAGAAAAAACACCCACGUAAAUCUAGAGAAAUCAUCUACAACAACUAAAAUAUACCGCUUUUUGUUUAUUGUUGCAACAGUUGAUGGUCCACAUAGAUCAAUGUGAAGAAGUUCCAAUGGCUCUACUAUUUUUGAAUCUAUCACAAUCGGAUGACCCUUUCGAUGUUGUUUUCCUUGUUCGCAAGCUGCACACAAAGUAUCAUUAUCAAAUUUCAGUACAGGUAAUCCUCGAACUAAAUCUUCAGUUACUAGUUUAUUUAUAUUUCGAAAGUUCAAGUGUGACAAUCUUCUAUGCCAAAGCCAACUAAGAUCAUUUGAUGCUUUUGAUAGUAAACACACAGCUGGUUUUCCCACAAUCGGUUUGAUGUCCAGUGUAAACAUAUCACCAUAUCUUUUGGAUUUGAGGAGUAUUUCAUUCGUCUUGACAUUUGAAAUGAUACUACCUUCUUCAUUGAAUACAACUUGAUUUCCAGUACCCACAACAAGUUGUGAUACACUUAUCAAAUUAUGUUGAAGUCCUUCAACAUAUGCCACUCUGUUGACUGUGAAGUUUCCAUUUGUGACUUUCCCAUAUCCUUUCACUUGACACUUGUGAUUAUUUCCAAAUUUGACAACUCCAGCAUUUUCCAAGCUUCUGUAAUCUCGCAAAUUUUCUUUCCUUCCAGUCAUGUGACGAGAGCAACCACUAUCAAUGUACCAUUUCAUGUCAUAUUGCUCGUCACAUAUCACCUGCAUUUAUUGAAAAAAUUUAGGAACCCAAGACUUUUUGGGUCCAUCAUUAGUAGAAUGAAACAAAUUUUUGGAAUUUAAGAACCAUGUUUUCACUUUGUUUGUAACUGAAUCAAUUAUAUCAACAUCAUCAGUUCUAGAUUUUGAAAUAUAAUCAUUCAAUAAUUUUGGAUUUCCAUUAAUUGUAAUCUUAUCCUUCACAACAUUCGCAUUUUUGAUAACUGGUUUCCAUUUUUGAACUGGAACUUGCGAAUUAUUAGAUGAUGUACUCUCAGUUGAAGAAUUAUUUGUGUACUUAUCAAAUGCACUUUUGAUUUGUUCUUCUGAAAAUUUUCCAUUUUGAUAUUUCUUUCCUUUUCCUUCAAACCAAUGAUUGAACGUUCUAACAUCAGAUUUUCCUUUUGUAUAUGAAACUUUGUUUGGUUUUGAUAUUGAAGGAUUUGGAAAAUUUGGUUGUUUUGGUGAAAAUUUCUUUUUGACUUGAGUUGAGUUCUUCAAACUUGAUGAAGUAUUCGUGAAUUUGCCAACAUUUUGAAACUUUUGAUUAUUUGCAAAUUUUUGCGAAUUCUCAAAUUUUCGAUUGUUGUCAUAUUUGCGAACAUAUGGAACCUUGUCAACAGAGUUGAUUUGUUUAUGAAAACUUGAUGAUGUUUUUGAAAUUUGCUCUUUUUCAUCUCUUGAUUUUUCAUUAGACACAACUUGCCAGAAUAUUGCUUUUCUUGCUUUUCUUUUUGAAACAUUAUUUUCUGUUGAAAAAUUUCCAACCAUCAAUUUGAAUUCAUGAGAAUUUAGUUUCACUUCAACCUUUGAUUUUUCAUCUUUUUCAAAAACUUUGUUUGAUUUUUCACCUUUAACCACCCAUUUUUGUGUUGAUUUUUGUUUUUGAAACACAUAAGGAUUUUUGGUUAAAUUGUUUUCUUCUGUGCUUUGAUUUGCGAAAAAACCUUCAGUUGUGGACUUUUGAUUAUCUUUUUCAAUCAUUUUAUUAAAAUCAGGAUGAACUUUCUCAGCAUUUCCAGUAGUGACAAAAAUUUGAUUUGGGAAAAUUUUGUUAUCAGUACAUACAAAAUUUGGAUAUACCACAGUGUUGGUUUCCAAAUAAUGUGCGCCUUUAUCAUUUAAAAUUUUAUCAAAUUCUUUUGUAUUUUCAAACACUUGAUCAACAACAAUCCUUUGAGGUGUUUCAGUUGAAACUUUCUUUUCUUCUUUAUUUACAUCUGUGUCAUCAGAUUUCCAACUUUCAACUUCCACAUUAUCAAACAUACAAUGUUGCGAAGUUGAAGGUUUAUCAAUUUCAUCCUCUACUAUUGAAUCAACUAUUAUUUCUUUACCUUUGAUCUUAGAUGUGAUAUUAAUGAUUGACAAUUGAGAACAAUCAACCUCUUCUUCCUCUUCUAUCUCACUGAUUUCACUCACAUUAUCAGAAUUUUCAUCAAUAUCAGCAUAAUUCAAUUGUGAGGCAAGCUUUGAAUUUUCAGUUUUCUUUAUGAUUUUCACUUGUUCACUCUUUGUCAAACUUUCAUUGACAAUGUUAACCAAUUCAUCAGCAUUCAGAAAUUCAUCAAUUUUGACAAUACCAUAUGCAUAUCUAUCAUCAGGUAUUUUGUCAAAUUGAGCAAUUGUGCUUUCGCAAUCAUAAGAAACAACAUCAACUUUUUCACGUUCAUACUCAAGAAAAGGUAAAAGUUUUCUAUGUUGUUCUUUGCUAAUAUCAGAAGAGUGAUGUAAAGCUGUUAAUUUUGCAUACAAGCGUUUUGCAGAAUUACAAUAGAUGUUUCUCUGUGCUAGUAAUAACCUAACAUCAUUAGUAAGAUUAUUCCUAUCACAGUCUAUAUUUUUGACUUGCAAUUCUAAUUUUUCAACUCUGCUCUUCUUUAUUUCUAACUCUCUUCGUGUCUCACUAAGUUGCACAUUUAAUUUCUUAGCUUCAUUACUAGCAGACACAAUAACAGAAUCAAAAUAAGCCACAGUAUCAUCAAAUGAAACAAUUUCAGCAUCAUAAGCAGAUAAAGGAAUAUUAAAAGAUUCAAGAAUUGUACGUACCUUGGUUGUCAUGGGUGAUUUGUCAGUGGAUUUUGACACAAAGCAUUUCCCUGAAAUGUUCCCUUCGCAUUCCUCAAAACUUGCGAACAUUGCUCCAUGUGUGGGAUGCCUCAUUUCUUCAUCAUCAGAUCCUGAAGACCAGAUCUGAUAAGUUCCACUCUCUUCUUCAGUAGUUUCUCCCUUCGCAACAAAUGACACUCCUUUGGUCUUUGCACGUAACUCUUCAAUCUUCUUAGAGUAGUAUGCUUCAUCUUUGACUUUUUCUUUCUUCUCUUCUCUCUUUCGCAACAUGCAGUCAGCUGCGAAGUGAUUCGCACCAUUGCAAUAAUGACAAUAGAUUCCUGAAUCACCUUUCAACUUUUUCUCUUCAUUCGCAUUUUUCGGUUUUUCCUCAAUUUUCUCCAUCUUCUUCCUCUCAUCCCCUCCAGUCCUUGUGGUAACAUUCUUCGCAUCAUUCAUCUUCCCUUUUGGAUUAAAAGGCUUUUUGAAAAACUUUUUAACUCUGUUGUUUGAAUAGAAUGCUACAGCUUCAUCAUCGGAAUUCAUCAAAAAUCCUUCAUCAUCUGAUCCAUCUUUUUCAUCAUUUUCUGAUACCUUUGAAACUAGAGCCAAAGGACCACCAAUAGCUAGUUUUGAUUCUUCAUACAUUUCUGAGACCUCAUAUUCAUGUGUUUUUAGUUGAUUGUAGAGAUCAUUCAAUUUAGUUGUAUCAAAACUUUGUUGAUUCUUAAUCAUCAUGCUCACACUUCGCCAUUCCUUACGAAGACCCAUAAUGAAAGUUAAAUUGAAUUCCAUGAGAGAUCUAGUGAUACCAUACCUAUUGCAUCGAAACAUAAGCUCAUUCAGACGAUCAUAAUAACUUUCGAGAGUCUCUGCAUCCUUUUGUCUGAAUUCCUUCAGUUCAAUCAGACAUGCUUCACAGAAUUGAUCUUCGUCUUUUCUCUACCUUGAUACUUCUCUUUUAGAGUAUUCCAGAUGUCUUUUGCUGUUUUACAACUACGAAUGUAAUUGUAAACCACAGGAGGAAGAGCACCUCUUAGUUCCCUCAUGCACCUCUUUUCAUUAUCCUUCAGUCGUUUUCGUUGAUCUUCAACAUCAGGAGAUCCAGUGGAUGAACCAAUUUGUUGAACAUUUGCAGGAGCUUGAACUGUUCCAUCGAUACAAUUCCAAAGUUCUUCAUCAAUUCCAUUUAAGUAAUCUUCCAUUCUAUCAGCCCACUGAUCAUAGUAUUCUGGAGUCAACAUAGGAAUUUUGGUUGAAGAACCAAGCAAAUGAGAGAAAGAAGUCAUUGUGUUCAUGUUGAAGUUCGCCAUUGAUGAACAAACAAAAAUUUCUGAAAACUUGAGAACUUGAUGAAUUUCAGAAAUCAAUCAAACGAAUUGAUCAAAAGUCACUAAUCGAAUACUCGACUUAACAAUUCAAAUGCAGAAUCAAUUCAAAUCUGAAGAUCAAAAGUGAUUUUCAAAACCAAAAUUGCGCGGAAAAUUUUGAGUAAAUUUCGUAACUCAAAAAGCAAAUGAUUCUUAUACGAAAAUCAGAUCUAAGCAGUUUGAAUCCUGCUCUGAUACCAAUUGAUGAGAAUUGUUAUCGAGAAUUAAGAUGCGAAACAAUAGAUUUGAAUCAUGAAUGAUAAAGAACACACGAAGUAAAUAAUAAUCAGAUCUCGUUUUAUUAAGACUGAUUACAGAGAAAGUUGAAGAGAGUUUUUGUGUUUCGAUAUUGUCCCCUCUACUUCAAGCCUAAGUCCCUAUUUAUAGGGAACUUACAAAAAAUAUACUAAGUCUUAUACUAUGAAAGUUCGCAUGCUACACUUCGCAUAUAAAAUUGACUUAGUAAAAUACAUACAAAAUGCGAAUCAUUACAAGACACACUAUUCGACUUUUACAACUAACAUCUACACAUCGGAACAGGAAAAGAACUGAACAUUGCAGUUGAUAAUGGUGACCUUUUCAGUGCAACAAUCAACAUCUUCAGUUCUUCUGGGUAAGAUGAGACAGUAGGAUCAACAAGGUAGUUUGUGCUUUGAAUCUUCAUUAGAGACUGUGAGAUAACUUCUUCGGUGUUGGAUUGAGUAGCAGCCAUUGUUAGGGUUUGAAGAAGAUGAAGAAUCAGAGAAUUUGGGAAUUUUUGAGUUUGAUCGCGUAACCGUAUAAGACACUCUUGAACCCCCUUUUAUAUGUAACCCUUAUUGAUUUGAAUUUGAAGCGGGAUGCAUUUAAUGAUAUCUGACGUGGCACCUUGAAAAUCAGACCAUUAUUGCGAAAAGGUAACCAUGCGUCAAAAAGUAGCUGUCACUUCUCCUAGAAAAUCGGGCAGAAUACCAGACGUCAUGGAUACACAGCCUGUCAUCAUCCCCCUUUAUUAAAUUGUAACCAUUAGAACCCUUCGCAUGGAGGCUAGGCUCUUUCACUUUUGGGAUGAAAAGCGAAGUAAUAUGCCAGACUUGUGAAAUCUUAAGCCUAAGUUGGUAUUACUUAGAACCAAAAGGAUUUCGUGAGUGCAUGUGAGUCAAAGAAAUAAGAUAAGAAGCAAGUUAUUUUUUUUUUUUGGAAUUCUGUGAUGUCAAAAAUGCAAUUUGGCACAAAGGCAGGUAAACCCCAGGCAAAGGUUGCUUCGUUAAUCAUCAAGAGAGAUGAUCAACUGCUUGUGUAUGUUCCCGUGAAUUACAAUCGAAUACUUUUUGAUAAGUAUCAAAGGGCUUCUUUUAAAAGUGAUUCUUGGGUUGGUUUAAAAUUCCGUUACAUGUCAUCCUAAACAUAAGGUGAUAAAUUGUAACAGAAAUUACUUGUAUGACCAGUGUAGUCAGUGACAAGUUAGCUUUGAAAAUAUUUAUCAUGACUAGGACAUUCAAAUGAAACUCACACGGAAAUCAUAUUCAUGAAAAAAAAUAUGUACUGGAUCUUGUUGGGUAACAAACAUCGUGGGUUGCGAAUGUUUGAUCAAGACCACUCAUGCGAAGUGAAUAUGAUUUGGAGUUUCGAAUUUUGGUACUGAAACAAAAGUUUCGUCAAUAUCUAGAACAAUAUUCCCCGUUAAUUCCUUAAUGUUGGAAGAUGUUUGGGUUUCACCUUCAUCACAGACUCAUGAUGUCAGAUCAUAAACACAGAAUUUUUGUAUAUCUAAGUCUCGAUGGGUUUGAUCAGAGACCUCUCGGACAUAUGUCUUUGUGUGUGAAUUGUGUGAAGAAUUUUGUGAUGAAAAAGAUUGGUUCUAAGAUCGAAUGUACCUCUGUUAUUUGUGGACCAAACAGAAAACUCUUUACUCAUAUGAGAAGAGUAAGGUAGCUCUUUUGACAAAUGCGAAUAUAAGCCUAAUUGGGAAGAAAUUUUCAUGAGAUAACUUCAUUAAGGCUUUUGUUUCUCACACAUUGAGUCAUAUGAGGCUUGUGUCAACAUGCUGCAGCAUGCUUCUAGGGACAUCCUAACUAGUACAAAGUUGAAAGAAAUGAUACAUUCCCAUAGAAACAUAUAAGCAUGAUUUCUUCGCAUUAUGCUCUUGACUAAAACUAAAAACACACAAAACUUAAAGAACAAUGAAAAAAAAUAUUUUUGUGAUUUUUGAAUUUUUCGAAAAUGAAAAGCAUAACAAAAUAAAAUUUUUUUGGAUUUUUGGAUUUUCGAAAUUAAAAACAAAACAAAAGAAAAUAUUUUUUAUUUUUCAAGUUUUUCACAAAAAAAUAAAUUGAACCUUAGUUACCAGAUGCGCGUAUGCGUAGCAAUGCGAAGCCUCUUAAUGAACAGUAACUUCUGAAUGAUUUUGACUCAGAGCUGCUGAAUGGACCUUUCAUUCUUGAGUUAUUGAUUUUGAAACUGAAUUCACAUCGAUCAUCCCCAAACCUGCUAAAAUUCUUACAAAUGAUUUUUCAUCAAGAGGUUUAGUAAAAAUAUCAGCAAGUUGUUCAGUGGUUUUAACAAAAUGUACUUCAAUAUUCCCAUCUUCCACAUGAUCUUUGAUAAAAUGAUAUCGAAGAGCAAUGUGUUUUGUCUUUGAGUGUUGUACUGGAUUAUGACAAAUGCGAAUUGCACUUUGAGAAUCACAAUACAAGGGAAUCUUUUUCAUAUUUAUAGCAUAAUCACAAAGUUGACUCUGAAUCCAAAUGAUUUAUGAAGUGCAAGCAGCAGCUGAAAUAUAUUCAGCCUCAGCAGUGGAUAUAGCAACACAAGUUUGCUUCUUCGAGUGUCAACUCACCAAUUUCCCAUCCAAUAGUUGACACCCACCACUUGUACUUUUUCUAUCCAAAGUACAUCCUCCUAGAUCAGAAUCUGAAAAAGCCUGAAUGAAAAAUCCAGAUUUUGAAGGAUACCAAAGUCCUAACGAAAUUGUCCCCUUAAGAUAGCGAAAAAUAUUUUUCACUGCAGUUAAAUGAGGUUCUCUGGGAUUAGCUUGAUACCUAGCACAAUUACAUACCGAAAACAUAAUAUCAGGUCUGCUUGCAGUUAAGUACAAUAAAGACCCUAUCAUGCUUCGAUAAAGAGUUAAAUCAACUGCAGGAGUAUCUAAUGAAGGAGUUAGUCUUGUUCCCACAGCCAUAGGUACUCUCAGCUUCGUGCUGUAGGUCAUUCCAAACNCGUGCUGUUUGUCAUUCCAAACUUUUCGAGCAGAUUCUUUGUAUAUUUUUCUUGGUUGAUUAAAAUUCCAUCCCUGUUCUGUCUUAUAUUUAAACCAAGAAAAUUAUUAAUUUUUCCCAUCAUACUUAUUUCAAAUUGACUUUUCAUUAGAUUUUCAAAUUCAAUUGACAAUGCUGGAUCAGUUGAGCCAAAAAUAAUAUCAUCAACAUAAAUUUGAACAAGCUUGAGAUGACUCCCAACUUUCUUGCGAAACAGUGUGGCGUCAACCGAUCCUUGUUUAAAUUUACAUUGUUUCAAAAAAUUUGUAAGUGUUGCAUACCAGGCUCUUAGUGCUUGUUUUAACCCAUAAACUGCUUUGUCUAGGAUGUAGACAUGAUCAGGAUGUUCCUCAUUUACAAAUCCAGGUAGUUGUUCAACAUAAACUGUUUCUUCUAGUUCUCCAUUCAAGAAUGCACACUUAACAUCCAUUUGAAAAACAUCGAAGUCUUUGUGAGCUGCAUAAGCUAAAAAUAUGCGAACUGCUUCGAGUCUUGCGACAGGAGCAAAUGUUUCUUCAUAGUCUAUUCAUUCUUGUUGCGAAUAGACUUUAACAACUAGUCUAGCUUUAUUACGAAUGAUAUAGCCAUCUUUGUCGGUUUAUUUUUAAAAAUCCAUUUUAAUCCAACAAUUGAAACAUCAGAAGAUUUAGGAAUUAAUCUCCAAACCUUAUUUCGUUCAAAUUCAGCCAGUUCAGAUUGCAUAGCAACAACCCAAUCUGAGUGUUCCAUAGCAUUCUUUACUGUCUUUGGCUCUAUUUUUGAAAUAAAAACAUUCAACAUACACAAUUAUUGGUUCGCAUUCAGUACCUCAUUUUUCGCAUGAAUUUGAGCUCUUGUCAACACACCAUCUUGUGGAUUCCCAAUUACCUGUUCUUUGGGAUGAUUCCUUGUCCAUUUCUCAAGUGGUGGAAAAUCAAGAUUAAAUUCCAAUGGUGCAUCUUCGUACACAUCUUCAUUUUCAGAUUCUGCAACAUAAAAAUUAUCAUUUAAUUCAUGAAAUUCAUCAUUUUCAUCAAGAUUAAUUGUCUCUGUUGUAUCAUGCUCCUCCUCAACAAGAUGUUCAUCGUGAUGCUCCCCCUUAAAAUGAUGUUCCUGUUGAAAUUGCGAAUGCUCCCCCUCAGCUUGAUGUUCCUGUUGAAAUUGCGAAUGCUCCACCUCAACUUGAUGAUUCAUAUUUUCAUUCUCCCCCUCGAAAGUUUGGUCUAUUUCUACAUUGGUGAUCGUAUGCUCCCCCUCCAUGCGAACUCCAGGCAUACUUUCGCAAGAUAUUGACUCUAUAGUUAUUGUUGAAUCAUCAGUAUGUUUUGAGGAUUCUGAUGUUUGAUUAUCAGGAGCAUGAACUUCCGCAUCAAUUGCCCUGUUAGGAAUUCCGAAAAUUAAGUCAUAAUCAAAAUCAUUUACUUCAGAAUUAUCAAUUUGAGUAUCUGAAUCAACAAGAAUUGAUUUAUUUUCAUAUUUACUAUCCGUUUGUUUAAGAUAGUAAUCAUCAAAGGUUAAGUUGAACGUUUCUUCAACUUUUCUUGUUUGCUUGUUUAACACUCUGUAGGCUACUGAAUUUUGCGAAUAUCCUAAGAAUAUGCCUUCAUCAGCUUUAGCUUGGAACUUGGUCAAAUUAUUUUGUAGAUUCAUUAAAAAACACAUGCAACCAAAAACAUGGAAAAAUUUUACAUUAGGUUUUCGAUUGUUGAGUAUUUGAUAUGGAGUGACAUUGAAUCUUCGAUGAAUGAAUGAUCGAUUCUGGGUAAAACAUGCAGUUGAUACUGCUUCAGCCUAAAGAUACUAAGGUAAGUUCGCAUAUGUUAACAUGGUUCUAGCUACUUCGCAUAGAGACCUAUUUCUUCUUUCAACAACACCAUUUUAUUGUNUUCUUUCAACAACACCAUUUUGUUGUGGAGUAUAUGGUGAUGAGAAAUUAUGCGAAAUGCCUUUGCCUGUGAGAAAGCAAUCCAGUGUUUGAUUUUUAAACUCAGAACCAUUGUCACUUUUAAUUUUGCGAACACUCUUUUUAAGACUAAUCUCAAUCUUUUUUAUAAAAUCAAUCAUCGUCUGAGCAACUUCAAAUUUUAACCUGAGAAAAAAUAUCCAUGUGAAUCAAGAAAAAUCAUCAACCAUAACUAAAAUGUACCGCUUUUAUUGAUUGUAGCAACAGUCGACAGUCUACAUAAGUCAAUGUGAAAAAGUUCCAAUGGUUCCACGAUCUUUGAAUCUAUCACAAUUGGAUGACCUUUUCUAUGUUGUUUUCCUUGUUCGCAAGCUGUACACAAAGUAUCAUUGUCAAAUUUUAGUAUACGUAAACCUCGAACCGAAUCUUCAGUGACAAGUUUAUUAAUAUUGCGAAAAUUCAAAUGCGACAAUCUUCUAUGCCAGAGCCAGCUAACAUCAUUAGAGAACUUUGANCACAAUUGGUUUGAUGUCUAGUGUAAACAUGUCGCCAUAUCUUUUGGAUUUGAGAAGUACUUCAUUUGUCUUUGUGUUUGAAAUGAUACUUCCUUCUUCAUUAAACACAACCUGAUUUCCAGUACCCACAACAAGUUGCGAAACACUAAUCAAGUUAUGUUGAAGACCUUCAACAUAAGCAACCCUGUUAACUGUGAAUUGUCCAUUUGUGACUUUUCCAUAGACUUUCACUUGACACUUGUGAUUAUUUCCAAAUUUGACUACUCCAGCAUUUUCCAAGCUUCUAUAAUCUCGUAAGUUUUCCUUUCUUCCAGUCAUGUGACGAGAGCAACCACUAUCAAUAUACCAUUUCGCAUCAUAUUUCUCAUCACAUAUCACAUGCAUUUAUUGAAAAAUUUUAGGAACCCAAGACUUAUUGGGUCCUUCAUUAGUAGUUUUGAACAAAUUCUUUGAAUUUAAAAACCAUGUUUUCACUUUGUCUGAGACACUAUCCAUUAAAUCAACAUCAUCAGAUCUAGAUAUUGAAAUAUAGUUGUUCAAUAGUUUUGGAUUUCCAUUGACUUUCAUCUCAUCCUUCACAACAUUCGCAACUUUCAUAACUGGUUUCCAUUUUUGUACCGGGUCUUGCGAAUCAUGAGAUGAUGAACUACUAGUAGUAGACUUAUUCACAAACUUGUCAAAUGUAGUCUUUAUCUGUUGCUCUGAAACUUCCCAUUUUGAUAUUGUUUUCCUUGCCCUUCAAGCCAAUUGUUGAUCGUACAUACAUCAGAUUUUCCUUUUGUAUACGAAACUUUGGUCGGUUUUGAAAUCGAAGGAUUUGGAAAAUUUGGUUGUUUAGGUGAAAAUUUUGGUUUUGCUUGAGUUUUGACAUUCAAAGUUGAUGAAUUAUUCGUUAAUUUGCCAACAUUGUGAAACUUAUGAUCAUUCACAAAUUUUUGCGAAGUCUCAAAUUUUCUAAUGUUGUCAUAUUUCUGAUCAAAUUUAUCGUUAUUUUUCAUUGGAAUUUUGUCAACUGAAUAUAUUGGUUUGUGAAAACGUGUAUCCUUUUGGUGAUUUAUUCUCUGAAAUUUUGAUGAUUUUGUCUUUGAAAUUUGUGCUUUUUCAACUUUUGGUUUAUCAUUAAACAUAACUUGCCAAAAGAUUGCUUUUCUUGCUUUUCUUUUUGAAACAUUAUUUUCCGUUGAAUAAUUUCCAACCAUUAAUUUAAAUUCAUGAGAAUUGAAUUUCACUUCCAUCUUUGGUUUUUCAUCUUUUUCAAAAACUUUGUUUUCUUUUUCACCUUUAACCACCCAUUUUUGUGAUGAUUUUUGACCUUGAAAAACAUAAGAAUUUUGAGUUAAAUUGUUUUCUACUGUAUUUUGAUUUGCAAAGAAACCUUCAGUAGUUAACCUUUGAUUAUCAUUUUCAACCAUUUUGUUGAAUUCGGGUUUAAUUUUCUCAACAUUUCCAGUUGUGACAAAAACCUGAUUUGGAAAAAUGGUGUUAUCUGUGCAUGUAAAAUUUGGAUAAACCACAGUGUUAGUUUCCAAAUAAUGUUCACCUUUGUCAUUAAGAAUUUUAUCGAAUUCUUUUGUAUCACCAAACACUUGAUUAAAAACAACUCGUUGAGGUGUUUCAUGUGAAUCCUUCACUUCUUCUUUGUCUUCAUCAGUGUCAUCAGACUUCCAGCUUUUAACUUCCACAUUAUCAAAGUCACAAUGUUUCGAAGUAGAGGGUUUAUCAUUUUCAUCCUUUACUAUCGAAUCAACUAUAAUUUCUUUACCUUUGACCUUAGAUGUGAUAUUAAUGAUUGACAAUUAAGAACAAUCGACCUCUUCUUCCUCUUCGAUCUCACUGAUUUCACUCACAUUAUCUGAAUUGUCAUCGACAUCAGCAUAAUUGAGUUGAGAAUCAAGAGUUGAAGUUUCAGUUUUCUUUAAGAUUUUCACUUGUUCAUUCUUUGUCAAACUUUCAUUGACAAUACUAACCAACUCAUCAGCAUUCAAGAAUUCAUCAAUUUUGACAAUACCAUAUGCGAAUCUAUCAUCAGGUAUUUUGUCAAAUUGAGCAAUUGUGUUUUCACAAUCAUAAGAAACAACAUCAACUUUUUCGCGUUCAUAUUCAAGAAAAGGUAAAAGUUUCCUAUGUUGUUCUUUGCCUAUUUCAGAUGAAUGAUGUAAAUCUGUUAACUUCGCAUACAAACGUUUAGCAGAGUUACAAUAAAUGUUUCUUUGUGCUAGUAACAACCUAACAUCUUUAUCUAGAUUGUUCCUAUCACAAUUUACAUUUUUCAAUUGUAAUUCAAGUUUAUCUACUCUGCUUCGUUUUAUUUCUAAUUCUCUUCUUGUCUCAACUAGUUGCAAAUUUAGUUUUUGAGCUUCAGUACUAGCAGACACAAUAACAGAAUCAAAAUAAGCAACAAUAUCAUCAAAUGAAGUUAUUUCAGCAUCAUAAACAGAUAAAGGAAUAUUAAAUGAUUCAAGAAUAGCACGUACCUUGGUGGUCAUUGGAUAUUUAUCAGUGGACUUGGACACAAAGCAUCGUCCAGAAACAUUCUCUUCGCAAUUAUCUUCAUAGCUUGCGAACAUUGCUCCAUGAGUUGGAUGCCUCAUUUCUUCAUCAUCAGAUCCUGAAGACCAGAUCUAAUAAUUUCCACUCUCUUCUUCAUUUGCUUCUCCUUUCGCCACUAAUUACAAUCCUUUCGCCUUCGCACGUACCUCUUCAAGCUUUUCUGAGUAGUAAGCUUCAUCUUUGAUUUUGCUUUUCUUCUCCUCUUUCUUUCUCAGCAUGCAAUCAGCUACGAAGUGAUUUGCACCAUUGCAGUAAUGACAAUAAAUUCCUUAAUCACCUAUUAGUUUCUUCUCUUCCUUCGCAUCUUUCUGCUUUUCUUCAACCUUUUCCAAUUUCUUCUUUUCCUCACCUCCAACUUUUAUGAAACCACUCUUCGCAUCAUUUGGCUUUCCUUUUGGAUUGAAAGGCUUUUUGAAAAUUUUAUUAACUCUGUUGUUUGAAUAGAAUGCAACUGCUUCAUCAUCAGAAUUCAUUAAGAAUCCUUCAUUGUCUGAUCCUUCCAUUUCACCAGUAUCAAUUUCUGAAAUCUUUGAAACCAAAGCCAAAGGACCUCCUAGACUCUGUUUCGAUUCUUCAAACAUUUCUGUAACUUCGCUUUCAUGAGUUUUCAACUGAUUGUAGAGAUCAUUUAAUGUGGAAGUAUCAAAACUUUUUUGGUUCUUUAUCAUCAUACUCACACUACGCCAUUCCUUGUGAAGGCCCAUUAUGAAUGUAAUAUUGUAUUCCAUGGGAGAUCUUGUGAUUCCAUACCUGCUGCAACGAUAUAGAAGCUCAUUCAAACGAUCAUAGUAGUUUUCAAGAGUUUCAGCAUCCUUUUGUCUAAAUUCCUUAAGUUCAACAAGACAUUGCUUAACAGAAUUUAUCUUCGUCUUUUCGCUACCUUGAUACUUCUCUUUCAGCGUGAUCCAAAUGUCCUUGGCUGUUUUACAACUAUGAAUGUAAUUGUAAACCACAUGAGGCAAAGCACCUCUUAGUUCUCUCAUACAUCUUUUCUCAUUUUGCUUCAUGCGAUUCUAUUGAUCAACAACUUCACCUGAUGAAGCAGAUUGUCCAAUUGGUUUAACAUUAUCAGGAAGUUGACCUUUUCCACUGAUACAAUUCCAGAGCUCUUCAUCAAUUCCAUUUAAGUAAUCCUCCAUUCUAUCAGCCCACUGAUCAUAGUAUUCAGGGAUUAACAUUGGAAUUUUGGUUGAAGAACCAAGUAAGUGAGAGAAAGAAGUCAUGGUAUUCAUAUUGAAGUUCGCCAUUGAUGAACACGAGAAUUUUUAGAAAGCUUGAAAACUUGAUGAAUUUGUGAAUUGAUCAACUGAAUUGAUCACCGAUUGCUAAUCAAUCACUUGACUAAACAAUUCAAACGCAGAAUCGAUUCAAAUCUAAAGAUCAAGAGAGAUUUUCAAAACCAAAAUGCACGGAAAAUUUUGAGUAAAAUUACUACUCAAAAAGCAAAUCAUUCUAAAAUGAAAAUCAGAUCAAUGCAGUUUGAAAUCCUGCUCUGAUACCAAUUGAUGAGAAUUGAUAUCGAGAUUUAGAAAACAACCAUGAUUGUUUGAAUGAAAAGUAAGAACACAGAAAGUAAAUAUUAAUCAGAUAUUAUAUUGAUGAAGAACUGAUUACAAAAUUAAGCAGAGAAAACUUGCGAAUGAUGAAUCACUCGUUCAUCUGAUUACUCUACUUCUAACCUCAGUCCCUAUUUAUAGGAAACCUGAGUGUACAAAAAAUAUACUAAGUCCUUAACUAUACGCUUCGCAUAAAAGAAGACUUAGUAAAAUAACUAACAUGCAAAACUAAAGAAACAAACACUUCGACUUUUACAACAUUUAGUCUCUACACAGAUGGUUUCCCCGAGGAAUUGUCGGAUGUGCCUCCUGAGAGGCAGGUGGAGUUUUGGAUCGAUUUGAUUCUGGGUGCGACGCCUAUUGCCAAGGAAACUUAUCGCCUUGCAUAGCCCGAGAUGUAGGAGUUAUCCUCGCAGCUCCAGGAGUUGUUGGGGAAGGGUUUUAUUAGGCCGAGUCGCUCGCGGUGGGUAGCACCGAUCCUAUUUGUCAAGAAAAAUGAUGGCUCAUACUGGAUGUGCAUCGACUACCAGGAGUUGAACAAGUUGACGGUCAAGAACCAUUAUCCACUACCGAGGAUCAACGAUUUAUUUGAUUAAUUACAGGGGCGUCUUGGUUUUUAAAAAAUUGAUUUAAGAUUUGGUUAUCAUUAGAUGAGAGUUUCUAGGAGGAUAUCAAGAAGACGGCCUUUAGGACUCGUUACGGGCACUACAAGUUUGUGGUGAUGCCUUUCGGGCUCAACAACGCACUGAAAGCGUUCAUGGACCUCAUGAACCGGGUGUGUAGCCCCAUACUGGACAGGUCGGUGAUCGUGUUAAUCGAAGACAUUUUGGUGUACUCGAGGUCUAGAGAAUAGCACGAGGAGCAUCUUUAGGAGAUUCUUGGAGUAUUGAGGAUGGAGAACCUUUAUGCUAAACUUUCCAAGUGUGAUUUCUGGUUGCGAGAGCUCCAGUUCGGGACACCUCGUUAAACAUAAUGGGAUUUUGGUCGACUUGGACAAGAUUGAGGCAGUUAUACGAUGGGAGGUGUCGAGAUCCUCAUCCGAGAUCAGGAGUUUUCUGGGCCUGAUAGGCUACUAUCGGAGGUUUAUCAAAGAUUUCACCGAAAUUUCCGUUCAUCUUACCAGAGUGACUAGGAAGGGUGUUACUUUUCUUUAGGGGCCCGAGCAGUAGGCUUCAUUCGAGACUCUUUGCCAGAGAUUGUAUGAAGCUCCAGUGUUAUCCCUUCCUAAGGGAUUAGAGGACUUCGUAGUCUACUGUGAUACACCUAUAUCAGGGAUGGGUGUCGUGUUGAUGCAGAGGGGACACGUAAUAGCAUAUGCGUCGAGGCAGCUGAAGCGUCACGAGAUGACGUAUCCUACCCACAAUUUGGAGCUGGGGGUGGUGGUGUUCGCCCUCAAGAUCUGGCGCAACUAUCUUUAUGGUGUCAGGUGUACCAUAUACACAGACCAUAAGAGCCUAAAUUACCUUAUGGAUCAUCCCUACAUGAAUAUGAUGUUGGAUAAGGUGUCUAAGUCCAUAACUUAUUUGGUAUAUACUUGACCCGACCCGGCAUGGUCCAUUUGGGUUGCAUUUCAUCCAAACUAUUUAUGGAUAAUUUUAUGAGAGUUAUACACAUAUGUUUAUUAAUAUAUUGUAAGUUAUAAUAUAUUAAUAUGAAGUUAUUUAAUUAGUCUUAGUCUUAAAUUAAUUAUGAAUUAAUUUAGAGAUUAAAAGGAAGACUAAUUAAAUUGUGGGCUAUUGUUUUAUAUGGUGUGGGCUAAUACUCAUUAGUUAAUGGGCUAGGCUUAUAUGGAAGUCCAUGGAUGAUCCAUGGAGCUUUUAACCCAUGGAGCCUUGGAAAGGAAAAGACAUGGGUUAUUAGGGUUUCACCNUACACUAUAUAAGCAUGUUUAUGUUGCAUGAAAUAGACACUAGUGUAACUAGAAAGUAUGUGUGUUUGUGUGUGACCGAUUUUAUAAGUGUGUAUACACUCUCUCAAAGUUUUCCAAGAGUUUGUGGUGAUUUGUGAUUCCAUUUGAGGCAUUCACACUAUUGGUGCUUGGCCCUCAAACUCCUUAGGAAUCAAACUCAUCAUCAAAAGGUAUGUAAUCUCAUCUAAUUCUUUUAUGUUUAAAAGUACCCCAUGCCAUGUUAGAUAGGUUAUGAACCUUGGAAAAAUUAUUAUUUUGC
RNAcentral lists this long non-coding RNA (89903 nucleotides) under Lactuca sativa (garden lettuce). RNAcentral describes it as "long non-coding RNA (LSAT_LNC007944)". Lineage: Eukaryota; Viridiplantae; Streptophyta; Magnoliopsida; Asterales; Asteraceae. The record is from RNAcentral.